UGCUUACUUCUGAGUACUUAUUCUGCUGCUAGUAGUUCUUCGCUAAGGAAUUUCCUCACCGGCAAAUUCCUCAGUGAAGAAUUCAUAAAAAUCGCCUAUUCACCCCCCCCUCUAGUCGAUAUAACGCACUUUUAGUUUUGGUGUACCACAUCAUACACUCGCCCUCCAUACCAGGUGAGCUUCAUGAUUUCUUGUCUCGGGAGGACGUAUACUUCUAUGGGGCAGCCAUCGAACGGGACAAACAGAAGCUGGAGCCAUACAACCUUGAUUUGAAAAGCAUCGCUCACCUACAAACCAGAAUCAAAAUUCUUGUAGAAGAUUUUGCUAAACAAACACCAUCCCUAUUCGAAGUAGCAAAUUUUGUGCUCGGUACAAAUCUUCAGAAGGGUGACGAGACGGUGGCAUUAAGGUCGUCUGGAUGGGAGAAUUAUCCCUUGACGUACAAGCGGAUAAAAUAUGCUGCCCUCGAUGCCCGUGUGAGUUUCGAGAUAGCUGCAAGGUCCAAAGAGCUUGUUNNNNNNNNNNNNNNNNNNNNNNNNNNNNNNNNNNNNNNNNNNNNNNNNNNNNNNNNNNNNNNNNNNNNNNNNNNNNNNNNNNNNNNNNNNNNNNNNNNNNNNNNNNNNNNNNNNNNNNNNNNNNNNNNNNNNNNNNNNNNNNNNNNNNNNNNNNNNNNNNNNNNNNNNNNNNNNNNNNNNNNNNNNNNNNNNNNNNNNNNNNNNNNNNNNNNNNNNNNNNNNNNNNNNNNNNNNNNNNNNNNNNNNNNNNNNNNNNNNNNNNNNNNNNNNNNNNNNNNNNNNNNNNNNNNNNNNNNNNNNNNNNNNNNNNNNNNNNNNNNNNNNNNNNNNNNNNNNNNNNNNNNNNNNNNNNNNNNNNNNNNNNNNNNNNNNNNNNNNNNNNNNNNNNNNNNNNNNNNNNNNNNNNNNNNNNNNNNNNNNNNNNNNNNNNNNNNNNNNNNNNNNNNNNNNNNNNNNNNNNNNNNNNNNNNNNNNNNNNNNNNNNNNNNNNNNNNNNNNNNNNNNNNNNNNNNNNNNNNNNNNNNNNNNNNNNNNNNNNNNNNNAAGAAGAAGAAGAAGAAGAAGAAGAAGAAGAAGAAGAAGAAGAAGAAGAAGAAAAUGUUGCACCAGCAGGAGGGCACUAUGGAUGGAUGAACUAUUUCCUCUCUUGUAAAAAAAUUUAUUCCCUCUCGCUGUAUAUUGAUAUAGAUGGACUAUUUCGAUGGUGUGCAUGUCUUUGGAACAGAGCAGUAGCGUGGGUCAGCUUGACUAUAAGGAACUAUUUAUCCGCAUAUAUAGCUUUCUCUGCUACUCCUUCCAGUGAUCAGUAUGCAGUGCAUGUGUCCGUAGACAUGACAGCUUGUCCAUGGAAGUUCAACUACGGUGACCAUCACGUUUCAUCUCACGAUUCCCAUGAUGGCUCUCCAACCCACGGCACCACGCCCCCUAGACGUGCGCCUCACCCCUCUCGGCCGCAGUGCCCCUCUGCCUUUGUGUGCAUGACAUGUGGGCCACCUAAAAUGCGGCGAGCAUCAAGUUUCUACCACAGCCACACGCGAUUCCCACGACGCCGCUCGAACCCAUGAAACCACACGUCCCCCGACCUGCAGCUCACCCCUCUUGGCCCCACUGCCCCUCUGCCUUCGGGAGCAUUACAUGUGGACCAGUCACCUAUCGGGUGCACAUGUUAUUGACUCAAAGGUAGGUGUAGUAAGGCGCCGAAGCUCAAUCACGACGGCCUUGAGAGGGAAAUGUAACUCCUGCGCCAGGGCUUGUGGUGCUCCCGCAGCACGAACUCGUGCCAAACUCGAGAUUUGUUUCUUUACUAUACAUGCACGCAACAAUUUAAUGGACAUUGUAAUCUCAACAUGUGAUGGAGAGCUCUAAAUUUGAAUUUGAAACUUAUAAAACGAAAAGAUUCAAAACAAAUAAACUGGGAGAGAGGGAGUAUAUCGUAGGAUGUGUCCCAUACAAAAUUAGUCCCCUGGUUUGUCACCACGAAGAUGCGGUUAGAAAGGAGCACAACAUCUUCCUACUCAUGCGGCAACAAAUGGGCCGCAGACAGCAAGGUCCGACUUUGACCGCCAUGUGCAAGGUUCGUGCUAUCUUAUUCAAUCUCACCGUGGUUCCAUCGUACCAAUUCAUGCGGUGGCCCGUUGCAUGGCUGAUCCUAAUGUUGGACAAAGGUUCUACGGGAAUGGUGUCACCGUUGUAAAUGUUGUGCAAAUUGAUGUUGGUACCCUCCUGUACAUAUGCAAGCCAAUCUCAACUCGCACCGAGCCUAACCUGUGAAACAGUGGACAGGGGGAGAAUUAGGAAAUGGACACAGAAGUAGUCUUAGAAUGCAUUUACUAUGUGAUCAAACUGAUCUUACCUGCUCAUCGGAGGAAAUCCGAGUGCCCCUCAACGUCGGCAUCUCAAUGGGCGUCAACUUGCAACUACGACCACGCCGCGCUGGAGAGACCCCCAAGGAAACAUCCUCGUGCGUUCCAUGGAACAUCAAGAUGCAUUUGUAUGAGUAGUUUAUCUUGUGAGAGAAAAGGAUGAACGAGGGAAGGCCUCUAGAGAUAGAGAUGGACACUACUACUACCUGUCGGAUUUCGGGUUCCGGCAGACCCUCAAGGUUCGAACUCUAGGGUGCGCACGGAGAUCACACCUCCUACCUACCUACGUCUUGUCCGCUCGCAAGGAUAUAAACUACACGAAGAACAACACAAGGGACACGAGGUUUAUACUAGUUCGGGCCACCAUUGUGGUGUAAUACCCUACUCUAGUUUGUGGUGUGGUAGAUUGCCUCAGGGGCUGGUGAGGAACAAUACAAAGGAAGAACUGCCUCGCGAGGGGAGGAGUUCUUGUGGUGGUGAUGCUUCUUGGGAAGGAUUGAACCCGGAUCCCCUUUCGAUGUCCCUACUCUGUGGUGGCUAGUCCUAUUUAUAGAGCGAGGCCUUGGUCCUCUUCCCAAAUAUUGAGCGGGAAGGGCGCCAACAAUUGGCCAUUUUGAAGGGGAACAUCUAGUACACUUAUCCUGGCUAAAGUCGGUCCUGGCAUGCCAAAGACUUUGAUGGUGACGCUAGCUUGGGCUCCACAAUGACCUCCAUCAUGUCGUUAUGCUGGUCUUGGUCUUGUUGCACUGGAAUGGUUGCCUUUGCUUGAUACUCUUGCCUGUGCUUGCCCCCUUUGCACCAAAGAGGAAACACAGACUCUGCGCAGGCCGGCGCCCGCCUGGCGCCCGCCUGGCUUCGGUCGUCAUGGCUUGCGUCAUGGGCGCCUCGUGAGGUACCCUUCCUUGAUCUCUCCGCCUCCUAGCGAGCCAGCCUGACGAGGCUGUGCCCGAGGAAGCUUCUUGUCAUCCGCCCCGUGAGGCUUGGCCCCUCGCGAGGGUGUUGAGCAUGUGUUGGUGAAGAUGGGCCAUACUGGGCCACUCCUUGAGCCACGCCGCAGGCCGCAGGCAGGCAAGUCUGGGUACCCCCGUUCCCAGAACACUGACAAUAGCCCCCGGGCCCAAGGCGCGCCUGGACUUGGCUUAGCAGAGAAGCGAAGGGGCAAGUGUGAAGCGCCGCGGGCCCCAUCAGCCUGCGGCCUUGGGCGCCGCGUGGCGGUUGAUUGGACGUGGGCGUCCCUGCUUCCACACGACGCCUCGGCAACUGCACGACUUGACAAGUCCCUACACGCAAAACGGGUCAUGAUUACCUGUGAUCGUGGAGGCCGGCGGUUGGCCUCCCCCGGCUAUAUGUACGGAACGGCGCCAGCCCUUCCAGUCCAUCCCUUCCUACUACUCCCCUUCUUCUUCCUAGCCGCUCGCCAUCCCCAUGGCCCCGACGAAGAGGUUCUCGGCCGCGGAGAAAGGAAAGGCUCACCAGGAAGGGCCCAGCUCUCCUCCGGCCAAGCGUGGCCAGGGCCGCCCUCGCAAGCACCCUACGGCCCCCGCUGUGGCCUCCCGUGGCUGUGGAAGCAGCCCUCUGCGCGGCGGUGGGCGCUCGGCUGCUAACAAGAGGUACGCUGGGGCUGCGCGACCCCUAGGCCGCGUUCUCGCUCGGUGGAGGAGCUGCCGGAGUUCGUCGUGUGGUCGGCGGACCCGACCGGCACCUGGCUCCAGCUCCCCCGCUUCUUUCUAGGUGAACUUCUGGCUGGUGCCCCGUGCGGCCUUUGGCUUCAGGCAGAUGGUUGCUGCAGCAGGGCCUCCUGGGCUACUCUGGAGGUCUCCAUCACCGAGGAGGCGGCCCUGACCCGCGGCUGGCAAAUGUUUGCCCGCGUGCGCGGCCUGAGCUGAUGGUGCACUCUACACUUUAAGUUCGACGGCGACGCCAUCCUCUACGUGAGGGUGUUCGGGGAAGACGGCCACCGCGCCGGAUGCUGCCCCGAAGAUGAUGACCGCGGCCGUGCGCCCAGCCCCGGCGUUGGUCAGGAUGAAGGUGGUGGGAGACGCGCGGGCAACGGUGCCCGAGGCCCGCCAAGCUUUGGUGACUCCCCAUCGGACGGCAGCUCCUCCAGCGGUGGUCGCGACCAGCCCCCUCGUCGUCGCGCUUGCCUGGGAGAGGGCAGUGGGUCGGCCCGACACCGUGCCUCAGUGAAGCGGGAGGCGGAAUCCAGCUGAGCUCCGGAGGCAGUACGAGCCCUUACCGAGAGUUGGUGCCGGGCAAGUCAUGCCCAUUUUGCCUUCUUUUCUUUCCUGCGCAAAAAGAGUGUAGUCUGGUGCCCCACGGGAGCGUGUUGAACUGUUGUUGUUUAAUUGGCACGCUGUUUCCACUGUUUCUGCGCUAUGUUUACGUUCCGCGUGUUUAUGCGUGGAAAUCGCUUAACUUGGCGGGGGGGAAGCUUGUUGCGAUCCUCGCCUGCUGAGGCUAGGGCCUCAUCGUGCGCCUUGUGUCCUGCAGGGGUUAGUCAGUUGGGGUAGUUUCCAGCCAUGGUAGCAGGGACAACCAACCCAAGUCCCAUGAUCGUGUCGCGAUGCCCGUGAGGCACGGACUGGGAGGGGUGCUCCCACAGCGGACUCGGAUAGGGAAGUUCUAAACCACCGGGGCAGAAAACACUCGCGAGGGUGCCCAAGUUCCUCCCUCGUGAGACUUUGCGAGAGAAAACGAAACAAAUAAGUGAAAUGGACGAAGGGUCAUGAGCUCGAAAUAGUAACAGCUUCAGAAAAAACUUCAAAUAGAAAUAAACAAGCCAACUACGGAAAGCAAAUGAAAGAAGCCGCGUCCGGCACCUAAUCUAGUCUUCGACGUCUUCUCACCAGCGCGUAGCUAAGUGCUGCCACUGGGCGUGGGUGGGAGCCCCCGAGGCCCGAGGGCGGCACUCCGGAGACUCGGAGGCGUGUACAGCCCCACUCAUUAUUACGUGAGAGUGUCACGGGCGGCGAGCUUCACAGGCGUUUGCCUUCUUCACAGGCACCGGGCCUUUUCCCAAACGCAGCAACUUCACAGGCAUUCGCCUUCUUCAUAGGCACCGGGCCUUUUCCAAAACGCGGCUACUUCACAGGCAUUCGCCUUCUUCACAGGCACCGGGCCUUUUCCAAAACGCGGCUACUUCACAGGCAUUCGCCUUCUUCACAGGCACCGGGCCUUUUCCAAAACGCGGCUACUUCACAGGCAUUCGCCUUCUUCACAGGCACCGGGCCUUUUUCAGAGGUUAAACCUUCGGAGAUGUUAAUGUUCCACGCGUUCUGGACGGGCACCCCCUCCUGGGUCUCCAAGCGCACGGAGCCGGGCCUGGAAACAUGAACAACCUUGAAUGGGCCCUCCCACAUGGGAGAGAGCUUAUGCAGUCCCUCCCUGGAGAGAACCCAUCUGAGCAUGAAGUCCCCUACCUCAAGAGUCCUGGGGCGGAUCUUGCGGCAGUGGUAUCACCGCAGUGCUUGUUGGUACCUUGCUGCUCAUAGUGCGGCUUCUCGACGAUGCUCCUCCCCCAGCAUGAGAUCCGUCCCCCGCAUGGCGUCCUGCUGCGCCUCGUCGAACACCAGGACCUGUGCGGAAUGACAUCUGACCUCGUGAGGGAGAACGGCUUCAGCUCCAUAAACCAGAAAGAACGGGGUCUCGCCAGUGGGCUUGGUUGCGGUAGUGCGGAUGGACCACAGCAUGGAUUGGAGCUCGUCGUACCAGCCCCUGCCGCAGGCUUCUAGCUUCGUCUUGAAGGUUCUGGUCUUGAGGCCCCUCAGGACCUCCGCGUUGGCCCGCUCAGCCUGGCCGUUGCUCCGGAGGUGCGCUAUCGAAGCAUAGCAUAUCUGCGUUCCAAGGUCAGCACGGUAUGUUUUGAAGAGGUUACUGGUGAACUGUGAACCGUUGUCGGUGAUGAUGCGGUUUGGCACCCCGAAUCGGCUCACGAGGCCCUUGAUGAACUUGACCGCCGAGCCUGCGGGGAUGGUGCGGACAGCUUCCACCUCAGCCCACUUGGUGAACUUGUCCACGACCACGUACAGGUAGCGAUAGCCUCCCGGUGCCCGAGGGAACGGGCCCAGGAUAUCCAGCCCCCAGAAUGCGAAUGGCCAUGAGAGGGGUAUAGUCUGCAGGCCUCCCGUCGGCUGAUGGAUCUGCUUGGCAUGGAAUUGGCAGGCCUCGCAAGCUUUCACCAGUUCCACGGUGUCAUUGAGUGCCGUAGGCCAAUAGAACCCGCUGCAGAACGCCUUGCCAACAAGGGUCCGUGAUGACGAGUGAUGCCCACAGUCUCCACCGUGUAUGUCUGCCAGCAGCUCCUUCCCUUGCUCCCUGGAAAUGCAACGCAGGGACACAUCAUUUGGUCGUCUCCGGUAGAGCUCUCCAUCCUUGAUGCAGUAUGCCAUGGCCUGCCGCGCCACUUGCUCCGCUUCCUCCUCCUUUUCCGGCAAGGUACCUUGUGUCAGGUAGCUCCUGGGCUCUGUGAUCCAGCACCCUUCCUGAGGCUCCAGCGCCAGGAGCAGGCGCGCUCCUGAGGUCGGGCCACAGACUGGGGCUCCCGAGGCAGGUGGCUGAGGGAGCUCCUCCCAAGGCUGCACCGUGCUUGACAGUGAUGGCGUCGCCGAGGGCUUGAAGAGCCGCUCCUCGAAGACGCCAGGCUCCUGAGGUAGCCGCCAGGAUGCCCUUUUGGCGAUGUCAUCAGCCUCUUGAUUGGUGCCGCGAGGCACAUGCUGCAACUCCAACCCCCAGAACUGCUUCUCCAUCCUGCGGACCUCCGCGAGGUAGGCUUCCAUGUGCUCGUCCUUCGGCUCAUAUACUUUGUUGGAGAAGUUGACGAGGAGCUGUGAAUUACCCUUGGUGGUGAGGCGCUUCACCCCCAGGGCGACUGCGGCUUUUAGGCCUGCUAUCAGGCCUUCGUAUUCUGCUAUGUUGUUGGAGACCUUUUCUCCGUGCUGGAAACAAAGUUGCACGGCGUAGUAGAGCUUGUCUUGAGUGGGAGAUACGAGCACCGCACCAGCCCCCGCGCCGUGUCGGGAGAACGCCCCGUCGAAGUACAUGACCCAACUGUCCGGUGCCUCGCUUCCCGGGGAGAGUGAUCGAUCCUCGCCAGCCUCGAGGCCUGGCGCCUCUGCCCAUUCCGCCACGAAAUCCUCAAGUGCGGCCCCCUUGAUGACUCUGGUUGUGCUGAAUUCUGGCUAAAACGCUUGCAGCUCGAUGUUCCACUCAGCGACUCUUCCAGCUGAGUUGGGGCUCCUGAGCACCCUUUCCAAGGGGUACGCUGAGACGACCUUGAUGGGGUGGCCUUGGAAAUAGUGUCACAGCUUGCGUGAGGCUACCAAUAGCGCGAGGAGGAGUUUUUGAGGCAUGGGGUACCGCGCCCUCGCAUCCCGCAACACCGUGCUGACGAAGUACACAGGGUGCUCGACGAGGUUGGGAUUGCUGGUGCUCCUAGCGUCCUCCGGAGGCCGGGGCGCCUCCUGAGAUAAUGGAGCCCCCAGCGGCUGGUCGCUUGGCGGGGGGACUCUCCUGUUUCAGGUGUGCUUCCCUGCAGCGGCUGAUCCUUCUCGGUUGCGGUCGCGGCCUCUCUGAGGCCCUCUUGGUCCUGCUUUGCUUUGACCCGGACGGUUGUUGCGGCCUUGGUCCAACGCUCCUCCCUAACAGCCACCAGGGCUGCGCUGGCAGAGUAGGGGGUGGCUGCAAGGUAGAGCACCAGGGGCUCUUGAGGACGCUGAGCCACCAUCACCGGAGGGCUGGUUAAGUACCUUUUGAGAUCCUGGAACACCUUGUCGGCCUCUUCAGUCCAUUCAAAGGGGCCCUUCUUCUUCAUCAGCUUGAAGAAGGGCAGCGCUCGUUCCCCCAGCUUGGAGAUGAAGCGUCCUAGUGCGGUCACACACCCGGUGAGCUUCUGCAUCUCUCUGAGGGUCUUCGGCGGGCUCAUGUCCUCGACUGCUUUGACCUUCUCUGGGUUGGCCUCGAUGCCUCGGUGGGACACGAGGAAGCCCAGGAGCUUGCCUGAGGGGACUCCAAACACACACUUCUCCGGGUUGAGCCGCAGGUCCACUUCGUUGAGGCUCGCGAAGGUUUCCUCCAAAUCCUGUAUCAGGGUUUUUGCCUCCCGAGACUUCACCACAAUGUCAUCAACGUAAGCCUCGGCAUUCCUCCCGAGCUGCCGACCCAAGGCGAUGCGCAUCAACCGCUAAAAGGUCGCGCCUGCAUUGUGCAGCCCAAAUGGCAUGCAUGUAUAGCAGUACACUCCACACGGGGUCAGGAAAGUCAUCUUUUCCACGUCCUCUACUGCCAUCUUGAUCUGGUGAUAGCUGGAGAAGGCAUCCAGGAAGCAUAACAGGUCGCACUUAGCGGUGGAGUCGACGAUCUGGUCGAUGCGAGGGAGCAGGAAUGGAUCCUGCGGGCAGGCCUUGUUGAGGUUGGUGAAGUCGACACACAUGCGUUCCUUUCCCCCCUUCUUCGGCACGACAACCGGGUUAGCCAACCAAUCUGGGUAGCGGACCUCGUGAAUGACCCCUGCCGCCUCUAGCUUGCGGGUCUCUUGGAUGAUGAAAGCUUGCUUCUCAGUGGACUGCUGCCUCGCUUUCUGCUUCAGGGGGCGCACGUUGGGGCACACGUUGAGGUGAUGCUCAAUUACGCCCCUCGGGACCCCUGCUAGCUGGUCAGGUUCCCAUGCGAACACCUUCUUGUUCGCGCGUAGGAACUUCACCAAGGCCUCCUCCUGCUUGGGCUCGAGGUUGGCGCCUAUGGUGAAGGUGGCAUUAGUGGAUCUGUCCUCGUCGACCAGUACCUGCUUGGUCUCCGCCUUGUCUUGGGUGAAUAGUUGCUUAUUCUUGGCCGGUGCAGCCCCCUUGGGCUCAGGGGUGUCUAAGCCGGCGGGCUGCGCCACCGCCGCAGUCCUGAAGGCAAGCCUGAGCGCUUGCAACGCAUCCCCGGUGUCUCCGGACACGGUGAGGACGCCGCUACUCCCGGGCAUCUUCAUGAGGUUGUACGUUGGGUGAGUUGUGGCCAUGAAUCGGGCUUGUGCCGGGUAGCCGACGAUGGCGUUGUAUGGGAGGCUGAUGGGGGUGAUGUCGAAGUCGAUUAGCUCCGUGCGGAAGUUGUCGUAGGUGCCGAAGGUCACCGGAAGGCGGAUCUGCCCCAGGGAGCCGGUAGAACCGCCUCCGACGCCCAAGAAGGGCCUGCUGGGCUGAAGCCGCUCCGGCGGUACGUGGAGGAGGCUGAAGGCUUCCACCAAGAGCACGCUGAGGCCGGCACCGCCGUCGAUGAGGGUCCUGGUGACGGCCACCUGGCAGAUGGUGGGGGUGCACAGCAUUGGGAGCGCGCCCGAGCAGGCUGAGUUGGAAGGGCGAUCAUCCGAGCUGAAGGCCAGAUCGGCUUUAGGCGCCGCCCAACCCGGAGGAGCCCCAUGCUGCGCGGAAGUGGCGCCGAUCUGGUGGACGAAUGGCUUGAUGUGGCGGCCUAAAGGUGGUGCCUGCGAGCCACCUAGGAGAGCUGCGACGACCGGGGGCACCGGUGCAACGUACUGGGCGAGGAAGAGGCCGCACAGCUCCCCCCAAGAGGCCACGGAAGCCGUCGGCAGGUGGAGCAGCCACAUGCGCGGGAUGCCGGUGAGGGCCAUGGGAAACCAGUUAGCCAUGAUCCUGUCGUCGCCCCCAGCCAUGAGGACGGCCUCCUCGUACGCCAGCAGGAAAGCCAACGGAUCGGUCGUGCCGUUGUAGCACGGUGGCAUCUCCGCCUUGAACUUGUUCAGCCACUGCACCUGCCGCAAGGCGGGGGCCAAGGCUCGGAGCCCCCUGGCCCACGUGCUGGCGCUGGCAACCGGAGCAGGCAGCGUGUUUCCCAUCAUGAGGGCGAAUCGCGGUGUUGGCGGAGAGCAGGUCGGUGGAAGGGAAAGCUCUGGCGCACCCCUACCUGGCGCGCCAAAUGUCGGAUUUCGGGUUCCGGCAGACCCUCAAGGUUCAAACUCUGGGGUGCGCGUGGAGAUCACACCUCCUACCUACCUACAUCUCGUCGCCUCGCAAGGAUCUAAACUACACGAAGAACAACACAAGGGACACGAGGUUUAUACUAGUUCGGGCCACCAUUAUGGUGUAAUACCCUACUCUAGUUUGUGGUGUGGUAGAUUGCCUCAGGGGCUGGUGAGGAACAAUACAAAGGAAGAACUGCCUCGCGAGGGGAGGAGUUCUUGUGGUGGUGAUGCUUCUUGGGAAGGAUUGAACCCGGAUCCCCUUUCGAUGUCCCUACUCUGUGGUGGCUAGUCCUAUUUAUAGAGCGAGGCCUUGGUCCUCUUCCCAAAUAUUGAGCGGGAAGGGCGCCAAUAAUUGGCCAUUUUGAAGGGGAACAUCUAGUACACUUAUCCUGGCUAAAGUCGGUCCUCGCCUGCCAAAGACUCUGACGGUGACGCUGGCUUGGGCUCCACAAUGACCUCCAUCCUGUCGUUCUGCUGGUCUUGGUCUUGUUGCACCAGAAUGGUUGCCUUUGCUUGAUACUCUUGCCUGCGCUUGCCCCCUUUGCACCAAAGAGGAAACAAGGACUCUGCGCAGGCCGGCACCCGCCUGGCGCCCGCCUGGCUUCGGGCGUCAUGGCUUGCAUCAUGGGCGCCUCAUGAGGUACCCUGCCUUGAUCUCUCCGCCUCCUCGCGAGCUAGCCUGACGAGGCUGUGCCCGAGAAAGCUUCCUGUCGUCCGCCCCGCGAGGCUUGGCCCCUCGCGAGGGUCUUGAGCAUGUGUUGGUGAAGAUGGGCCAUACUGGGCCACUCCUUGAGCCACACCGCAGGCCGCAGCCAGGCAAGUCUGGGUACCCCCGUUCCCAGAACUCCGACACUAGCAAUGUGUUGGCCCGUGCGUUGCAAUGGAUCCAAAGUAGUAGAAUAAUACUUGUUCACGUGCUUGAAAUAUAAACACUCUAGUUUUGAUAUACAUGUGUCAGCAGACAUGACAGCUUGUCCAUGGAAGUUGAACCACAGUGACCAUCACAUUUCUUGUUUCUACCACUGCCACACCCACACGUGAUUCCCACGACGCCGCUCCAACCCACGGCACGACAUCCCCCGACAUGGACAUGGAUCCUCUGACGUGGCUAUCACUGCCUUGCCCUGCCUUUCCUUCGCUGACAGGUGGGACCCACGCUUAUGGGUCCCACAUGUCAGUGAUAGAAUGGUAGGAUUGUUCGCGUCAGGGGAUCCUCAUCCCCCCGACGUGCCCCUCAUCCCUCUCGGCCCCACCGCUCCUCUGCCUUUGUGUGCAUGACAUGCGGGCCAGCUGAACUGCGGCGACCAUCAACUUUCUACCACACACACACCCGAUUGGACGUGGUUGAUGCUCCGCUGCUGUGCUCCGAUCCGUACUCCCGCACCAUCGAAUUUUUAUCCAGCGACUGUGACACAUUUUGUCCCGGGCAUCAAUCCUCAGCUGGAGUACUUAUGUACUACAGGUAGUACCCGCCGGUGUGGCCAUCUAUGCCUCGUAACACCCCGACGCCCAGCUGUGGCACCCUCGCCACGGCCGCGCCACCAUAUGACGGUUCAUCUCGAAUGAGUGAGUCAUGAACCACACCACCACCAUGAGAAUGACAUGUGGGCCAGCCGCAUUUAAGGUCCGCAUGUAAUUGACUCAUAGGCCAGGCACUAAGCCACUGAAGUUUGGUCCCGUGGGCCCCGAGAGAGAAAUGUAACUCCUGCGGCAGGCCUUGUGGUGCUCCCGCAGUACGAGCUCGUGCGAAAACUGUGAUUUGUACUAGUAAGGUACACAUGCAUUGCACGCAUGAGAUUCUGGUGGUUUGUGCAUUAUGCUUAUACAUGUGGAGUUUUCUGGAUUCUAACAUGUGGCAAAAUCUGGUGGAAUGUAAGGUUAGGCAAGUUUGAUUAACUUAGGUGAGUGUUUGGUUCAAGCCACACUAAGGCCCCACAUGACAUACACACAAAAAAUGUGGCAAGCUUCCCUUAGGCUUGCCAACUUGUGGCUCUCAUUUUGAAGAACUAAUAACUUUGCCUAAGCUUAGUUGCGGCAAAGUUAGUCAUGAAUUAAGUUCAACCAUGGAGUCUUCUAGAUUAUACAUGUGGCAGGAUCUAGUGGAUGAUAUCCAACGGCCAGUAGUGCUCGGAUUUGCCAUCUUUGUACCGCCGGAUUGGCUUCAUCCAACGACCAACUUUCAAAGUUUUUCACACACUAUAUAGGGGGUAUAGAUAUAGAUGUGUUGGUCCGUUGCAAUGGAUCCAAAGUAUAUUUAUUUAGUGGAGUGCACUCUAAACACAUUAUCUAUUUAUUUUUCUCUAACCUUCCAUAGCCAUGCAACCAAGCCACAUAAGCUUCAUGGGUGCCCCCCACAUCAUAUUAUUCAUACUACGUUGAUUGAAAAAAAGAUAAAUCACCCAAAACAAGAUCUUCCCAUUUUUUGUUCCUACGAUGUUGUGCCGUGCACGUACCUACUAGUUGUAUAGUGGUAGUACUAGUAAUAUAGUAUUAGUAGUACAAACUUGGUAACUAGUAGGAGUAGUACUAGUAUGGAAUGCUCCUACCCUAUCAACGAGUCCCGUCUGACACCAAAUUUCUUGGCUUCCGUGCUACAACUAGAUCUUCCCCUAGUUUCUGUUUUCCAACCCGACGGCGGGCGGGGUGUUGGUUUGCUCAAUGGCGGUCCCACAUUAAAGUGAAAAUGCUAGGCAACACGCCUUCCCUAAGUUAUGCGUCAUGCCGGACGGGCCGUGUUGUACUCCGGAUUCCCGGGCGUGUGGGGGUGCGACGCGAACGCGGCAGGCCUUUUCCUUUUACUAGCAAUGUGCCCGUGUGUUGCGACGGAUCUAAAGUAGUAGAAUAGUAGUAUUUGUUCACAAACUUGAAAGAAAUCACUAUUGUUUUGAUAUACUCCUAAUAUAUUACUCCCUCCGUACCUAAAUAUUUGUCUUUUUGAUAUUUCAAAUGGACUAUCACAUACGGAUUAUAUAGACAUAUUCUAGUGUUUCUAGCAAGAUGCCCGCGCGUUGCACGAAGUUGAUGGAAAAGGUAAGCACAACUUAUAAAUUGACGGAUGGAGUACUAGUUACAGUGAUGCAUAUAAUUAAGCAAAGGGAUCACACAUGUCGGUAUUGACUGGAACGAGAAUGCAACAGCACAAUAAGAAUUAAGGCCACGAUGAUGCGAUCGCAGUGGUGGUUACAGAAGGCAAGAAGAAAGAUGGAUCCACGAACGUACAACCUCCUCCUCCUCAACUUAGUGCGCCGGGCCACCGACCGGCGGCUAAGGAGCGGCGGCUUUUGUGGCGAGGUCGAGGUGCUUCUCAGCAAAGGCAUCCAAGGCUUCCAGCCGGUUGAGGAAGGCCAAUGUCGUAGCGUCCUCACUAGCCUUGUAGAUGCCUAUGUACACAAUUUGCUCGUACACGUGGAUGUGUAGGUCGACGAAUUCUUGCAGGGUGAGGCGCCUCGCGGCGAGCGCGACCUCCAGGUGGACGUUCUUUGUGGCGUCGGCGGGCAGUCGCAGGGCCACCAGUGCUUGAAAGAGGUUCCGGCCAUGAAGGCCAAUUAGGGUGGCAGGCAAUGAGGAGCCCGGGCGCGCGGGCUGGAGGAGUACGGUGAUGCCGCCUGUGAGCUUCUUGAGGACGGUGAACUUGUUGCUGGUGGCAACGAUCAUCUGGUCCAACUGAGAGUCGUAGUUGGCAUCGACGACGGCCAUCCACCAGCCGGUCUCCAACAUCGUCUGGAGACGAUCCUCGGCACCAUGUCGCAGGCCGGCGUCGUGGACCAUCUAGCGCAGCCGCUGGCCGCUCACGCGCAUCGCCGCCAUGGGUCUGGAGUGAGCUCUUCUACGCUUAGUGUAGGUGCUUAGGCAAAUGCUUAGGUGCGUACGAUGUGGUAGAUGCAUUGGAAUGGAGGGGCGCCUUUAUAUGAGGGCAAUGAGGGCAAACUGCGUUGCAUUAACAUCGUGCAGCCUCUUUUCUCGGACCUCCUCCCAUUACUUCCCUCAUGCAUUAAUUGAAGGAGGAUGCAUUGGCCGUUCAACAUAUCGGGAACCGCUACUCCCUCCCUCGUCUGCAUUAAAGCCGUAUCGGGAACUACGCCGCCCGCUGUCAAAUCGAAUACUCCCUCCGUCUAGGUGAGUAUUAAGUCAUCUUACAAAAACCAAAUAGUAAACACAUAGGCGUGGUGCAUUAACUCUCACGUUGUUUCUUAUCUUUUGACAUAAAUAGAGGAAUCAACCAAGAAGAGAUGUGGGGCUUGUAUGCUUUUAAUGACUUGAGACUAUCAAACAUGACAUGCAGUGGUCAGUUCAUUGCACAAGAACAAAUACAACCCACAUCAGCACACACGCAUCUUAUAGCAUCACAUCCAAUGGCUAUAAAAGAUGAAUGAGACAUAAUUAUAUCUCAUCUAGAUGAGUUCUAGCAAAACUGUAUUAAUAAUACUCAGUACUCCUGCGCCAUGUACUCCCUCCGUUCCAAAUUACUUGUCGCUGAAAUAGAUGUAUCUAGAACAAAAAUACAUCUAGAUACAUCCAUACGUGCGACAAGUAAUUCGGAACGGAGGGAGUAUCAUAUAUUAGUAUCAUGUAGUACUUUAUUUAUUGCCAUGUAUGACACAUAGUCCACGAGCGCUCUCUAUAUGUACCACCUUUUUUUAUUUCAAGUUUUGCUCCAUGGCGCAAUCCAUCGAUACUACUACUGUACAAAAGUGGAGUACAUACAUUUUUAAAAGGCUAGAGGGCGGGGCAGUCUAGCUCGGUCGGUUUCACGAGAGGCGAGGGCCUUUGUGAUUUGACGGCUCAUUACUACUGUCAAAUCGGAUAGUACUGCGCCGCCCGCUGCACGUCCGGCGCCUCCAUUAAACCCCUCCUUUAAACCCGCAUGCAAACCGAGAAUCCUACUCCAGCCACACGUCCGUUCAUGAGCGGGACGGAAUUAAGCGCAACACCGGCCGAGCUCCUCCCGUCCGCCCUCAGUUUAAACGAGGCCAGACGCCGGCCAAGCUCCUACCGUCCGCCCUCUAUUUACACGAGGCCAGACAGACAGCGGGCAAGAAUCGCACCCCUCCGCCGCUCCCCCAUCUCCUCCUUCACCAUUUUCUCCACUCUUCCGAUGGCUUCCAAUGAGCCGUUCUUCGGCAUAUUGCCCGGCUGGGUGGCCCGCUGAGCCCUCCGGAUAUGGGCGAGGCCGCUCGACGCUUCAUCAACCUCGCUUCGCCCGACGGAGCCAGUUGCUGCCCCAAGCAGGCGCGUGGUUCAGCAACUCGCCGCUCCAGUUCAGCUCGAUGAGGAGUGGCGAGUUGCUCCACGCUGGCACGGCGGCGAGCAUGCCGCUACGGGCGCCAUCGCUGCCGCGUCAUACCGCGCCACCAGUGUCUGCGGUGGUUGCGCCUCCCGUGUCUGUGGGCGCACCUCCCAUGCUUGCGUCAGCGCCAUGCAGGCAGAGACAGAAGUCGGGUGCGUGGAGAGCGACGAGUCAGUGGCCAGCUUCUCCGUGUCUGCCGCCAUCAUCAAGGAGAUGUAGAACACGGGAGGCCGCCGCCACUUGGGACCUAUGAAGGCCACCACCGAGGCGACGACCGCGGAUUCAGGUGGUUUCUUUGCUGCUUCAUUUCUUCCGAGGACCUUCAUCGACCCCGCAAGUGUCUGACGGACAUGAGGAAGACAAAGGGAUCCGCGGGCGGCCAUUUAGAACUAAAAUAAGUCUAGAUACAUCCAUUUCUAGGACAAGUAUUUCCGGAUGGAGGGAGUAUUAAUUAUACAAGAGAGCCGGAUUGGCAUCUCUUAGUUCAUGUAAAUGUAAUGAAAUCCAUCAUGUUUAUAUGAAGAUCCGGCUUUUUUAUACGAAAUCCUUCAUGCUUAUUUGAAAUCAGUCCGUGUUUGCACGAAUUUCAUCUGGUUGGUUAGAGUUGUAAAAAUGUAUGCCGUUGGCGUUUGAUGUCAUCCUCCACGGAAGGAAGCGGGAGGAAAUUUGCCGGCUGCCGUUGGAGAUGCUCUUUAUGCUAGAAAUAAUAGAGUGACAUCCAAUCCAUUUGAGUUAAUUGCCUGUAUGAUUGUCCCUCUAUAAAAAGUUAAUUGCAUGUACAGUGUACACGUGACUUGCAGGGUGGCUACAGCUUCGUACAGAAAGUUAAAAAGAAACAAGUCCAUCCUUAAUCUUGUAUUCUAAGUACUCUGUGGGUUCCACUGUCAGUACAAUAGCGAAAGAAGUAUAUAUUAAAUAAGUAGAGUAAUAUAUAAUAUAAAAAUCUAAAGUUAAAAGACAGAAUUCAAACUCAUGUCAUCGCAUUGUGAGCAUCCGGCGCUAACCAGCCCAGCACAUUUUUGUUGUAGACCAUGCUAGAGAUAUAUCUCCAUGUCUACUCUUAUAUAUACUCCAUUCGUUCCUAAAUAUUUUCUUUUUCAGAUUUCAAAUGGACUACCACAUACAGAUGUGUAUGUAGACAUAUUUUAGAGUGUAGAUUCACUCAUUUUGCUAUGUAUGUCUUUUCAGGAAGGGGUCAGAUUUGUCCUAGAUUUAUUUAUGAGGUAUCCAGAUGGCACUGCAUCGCUAAGAAAAGAGGGUAACAUCAAAAUUAUGGACUACUUUUUUGAGUAUGUUGGUAAGGUCCGGUCAUAGUCACUUGUUGAAAUCUCUAAAAAGACAAAUACUCCCUCCGUCUGGAAAUACUUGUCAUCAAAAUGGAUAAAAGGAGAUGUAUCUAGACGUAUUUUAGUGUUAGAUACAUCUCUUUUUGAGGGCUUCUGAGGGCCCAACAGACUAAUGGUCCACAAAUGGGCCGACUGUAACGACAGGCUGAAUUUGGCCCACAAGUAGAAAAUGACGUAACGGGCCAUAAGUAACCGAAUGCUGCAAAUGAGCCCAAGAAUAAAUGGGCCCUCAGAAGGCCGAAAGUUAACUUGGGCUGGAAACGGCUGAGGGAGUCCUGGAUUAGGGGGUAUCCGGACACCCGGACUAUACACUUUGGCCGGACUGUUGAACCGUGAAGAUACAAGACUCGAGACUUCGUUCCGUGUCUGGAUAGGACUAUCCUUUGCAUGGAAGACAAGCUUGGCGAUCCGGAUAUUAGAUUUUCUUCUUUGUAACCGACUCUAUGUAAACCCUAGCCCCCUCCGGUGUCUAUAUAAACCGGAGGGUUUGAUCCCUAUAGACACAAUCAUAAUCAUCAUAGGCUAGCUUCUAGGGUUUAGCCUCUAUGAUCUCCUGGUAGAUCAACUCCUGUAAUACUCAUAUCAUCAAGAUCAAUCAAGCAGGAAGUAGGGUUUUACCUCCAUCGAGAGGGCCCGAACCUGGGUAAAAUAUCGUGUCCCUUGCCUCCUGUUACCAUUAGCCUUAGACGCACAGAUCGGGACCCCCUAACCGAGAUCCGCCGAUUUUGACACCGACAUUGGUGCUUUCAUUGAGAGUUCCUCUGUGUCGUUGCUACGAGGCUUGAUGUCUCCUUCAAUCAUGAACAACAAUGUGGUCUAGGGUGAGACUUUUCUCCCCGGAUAGAUCUUCGUGUUCGGCGGCUUCAUGCUGCGGGCCAAUUCGCUUGGUCAUCUGGAGCAGAUCGACAGCUACGGCCCUGUCCAUCAGGUCAGGUUCGGAAACUUGAACUACACGGCCGAUAUCCACGGAGACUUGAUCUUCAACGGAUUCGGGCCUGCGCCAGGAGCGCUGAACAGUCACGAUGAGCACGGUUCAUACCUGCUGUCCGACAAUACUCAGGAUAUCGCACCUACAGGAGCCCUGGACCUAAAUCCGGGGCAGAUUGCAUCUUCCGAGGAUGGGUGGAUGGACCCCACCCCGGAGGCCGCACACUCAUCACCGCCGAACACAGACUUCACCCCCAAGGAAGCGUGUGUCUCCGGACCCCUGGACUCGUGUCCGGUUGUAGGCCCUAGACCGCGCGCCCCCGAGCCCGCCAAUUCUGGCUGGGCUCCGGUAAUGGAGUUCACCACCGCGGAUAUCUUCCAGCACUCGCCCUUUGGUGAAAUGCUGAACUCAUUAAAGUCUCUCUCUUUGUCAGGAGACUCUUGGCUGAACUAUGUCCGGCUCGAGUGGGAAGCAGGUGACGAGGGAAUUCGUUGCCCACCCACCACCCACUUCAUUGCCACGGUCAACGAUUUGACCGACGUGCUUGACUUCGACUCUGAAGACAUCGACGGUGUGGACGACGAUGCAGGAGAUGAACAGGAACCACCGGCCACGGGGCGCUGGACAACCACCUCCUCAUAUGAUAUAUAUAUGGUGGACACUCUGAAAGAAACCAAUGGCGAUGAGGCAAUGGAGGAUAAGCCCUCAAGGAAGAAAGCAAAGCAUGGGCAUCAUCAGUGCCGCUCCAAGCGCCGCCACAACAAUACCGGCAUAGGAGACGAAAACAAUCUGGAUGGUGCUGAAGAUGAAUACAACCCCGAUCAGCCUGCCUUCGAGCAGGCCGAACAGGAAGACGGGCAGGUCAGCCCAGACGAACAGGCGACGGACGGGUACCCGGAGGAGGACAACUACAUGCCCCCCUCCGAAGAUGAGAUUAGCCUCGGCGACGACUAAUUCGGCGUGCCUGAGGACCCCGUAGAGCAGGAGCGCUUCAAGCGCCGGCUUAUGGCCACUGCGAGGAGCCUAAAAAAGAAGCAGCAACAGCUCCAAGCUGGUCAAUACCUACUCAUAGACAGAUGGACUGAAGUCCUGGCAGCCGAGGAAUAUGGACUCGAGCGCCACACGGCUGACCGGCCACCUCAUGGCCGGGAUAAAACAGCGUAUCAGCCUGAAUACCAGCCCGCACCUCUACGCCAAUACACUGUGGACCGGGGCAAUAGGCAGGACCUGCGAGACAUAUUGAAAAACAAGGCAGGACAGCCAAGAUCGAUCUACGGACCUACUGUGACAAACACGUAUCAUCACAGAAGUGUAUUUUUUUGUAGUGUAGGGCCCNNNNNNNNNNNNNNNNNNNNNNNNNNNNNNNNNNNNNNNNNNNNNNNNNNNNNNNNNNNNNNNNNNNNNNNNNNNNNNNNNNNNNNNNNNNNNNNNNNNNNNNNNNNNNNNNNNNNNNNNNNNNNNNNNNNNNNNNNNNNNNNNNNNNNNNNNNNNNNNNNNNNNNNNNNNNNNNNNNNNNNNNNNNNNNNNNNNNNNNNNNNNNNNNNNNNNNNNNNNNNNNNNNNNNNNNNNNNNNNNNNNNNNNNNNNNNNNNNNNNNNNNNNNNNNNNNNNNNNNNNNNNNNNNNNNNNNNNNNNNNNNNNNNNNNNNNNNNNNNNNNNNNNNNNNNNNNNNNNNNNNNNNNNNNNNNUGGCCGCCCCUCCCCCCCCCUAGAUGAGAUCUAAGGGGGACGGCCCCCUCUCCCCUUCCCCCUAUAAAUAGUGGGGGUGGGAGGGCUGCCAUACCUUUCGCCUGGCGCAGCCCUCCCCCUCUCCAACUCCACCUCCUCCUCCGUAGUGCUUGGCGAAGCCCUGCUGAAGAACUGCAAGCUCCACCACCACGCUGUCGUGCUACCAGAGCUCUCCCUCAACUUCUCAUCUCCCCUUGCUGGAUCAAGAAGGAGGAGACGUCCCCAGGCUGUACGUGUGUUGAACGCGGAGGCGCCGUCUGUUCGGUGUUAGAUCGGAUCUUCCACGAUUUGAAUCGCCACGAGUACGACUCCCACAUCCGCGUUCUAGUGAUGCUUCCGCUUAGCGAUCUUCAAAGGUAUGAAGAUGCUCAUCCUCUCCCUCUCUUGUUGCUAGAAUCUCCAUAGAUUGAUCUUGGUGAUGCGUAGAAAAUUUUGAAUUUCUGCUACAUUCCCCAUCAGUGGCAUCAUGAGCUAGGUCUAUUGCGUAGAUUCUAUGCACGAGUAGAACACAAGUAGUUGUGGGCGUUGGUUUGUUCAAUUUUCUUACCAUUACUAGUCCUAUCUCGUUUCGGCGGUAUUGUGGGAUGAAGCGGCCCGGACCGACCUUACACGUACGCUUACGUGAGAUAGGUUCCACUGACUGACAUGCACUUGUUGCAUAAAGGUGGCUAGCGGAUGCCAGUCUCUCCCACUUUAGUCGGAUCGGAUUCGAUGAAAAGGGUCCUUGUGAAGGGUAAAUAGCAAUUGGCAUAUCACCGUUGUGGCUUUUGUGUAGGUAAGAAACGUUCUUGCUAGAAACCCAUAGUAGCCACGUAAAACAUGCAACAACAAUUAGAGGACGUCUAACUUGUUUUUGCAGGGAAUGCUAUGUGAUGUGAUAUGGCCAAAAGAAUGUGAUGAAUGAUAUGUGAUAUAUGAGAUUGAUCAUGUUCUUGUAAUAGGAAUCACGACUUGCAUGUCGAUGAGUAUGACAACCGGCAGGAGCCAUAGGAGUUGUUUUAAUAUAUUGUAUGACCUAUGUGUCAUUUAAAAUGCCAUGAAAUUACUUUACUUUAUUGCUAACUGUUAGCCAUAGUAGUAGAAGUAAUAGUUGGCGAGACAACUUCAUGAAGACACAAUGAUGGAGAUCAUGAUGAUGGAGAUCAUGGUGUCAUUCCGGUGACGAAGGUGAUCAUGUUGUGCCUUAAGAUGGAGAUCAAAGGCGCAAAAUGAUAUUGAUCAUAUCAUGUCACUUUAUGAUUUGCAUGUGAUGUUUGUCAUGUUUGCAUCUUAUUUGCUUAGAACGACGGUAGCAUAAAUAAGAUGAUCCCGCAUAAAAUUUCAAGAAAGUGUUCCCCCUAACUGUGCACCGUUGCGGAAGUUCGUUGUUUCGAAGCACCACGUGAUGAUUGGGUGUGAUAGAUUCUAACAUUCACAUACAAUGGGUGUAAGCCAGAUUUACACAUGCAAAACACUUAGGUUGACUUGACGAGCCUAGCAUGUACAGAUAUGGCCUCGGAACACAAGAGACUGAAAGGUCGAACAUGAGUCGUAUAGUAGAUACGAUUAACAUGAAGAUGUUCACCGGUGAUGACUAGUCCGUCUCACGUGAUGAUCGGACACGGCCUAGUUGACUCGGGUCAUGUAUCACUUAGAUGACUAGAGGGAUGUCUAUCUGAGUGGAAGUUCAUUAAAUAAUUUGAUUAGAUGAACUUAAUUAUCAUGAACUUAGUCUAAAAUCUUUGCAAUAUGUCUUGUAGAUCAAAUGGCCCACGCUAAUGUUGCCCUCAACUUCAACGCGUUCCUAGAGAAAAUCAAGCUGAAAGACGAUGGUAGCAACUAUACGGACUGGGUCAUCCUCAUAGCUGCCAAGAAAGCAUAUGUCCUAGAAGCACCGCUAGGUGAAGCACCCAUUUUCCCAGAAACUCAAGAUGUUAUGAACGCCUGGCAGUCGCGUAGUGAUGAUUACUCCCUGGUUCAGUGCAGCAUGCUUUACAGCUUAGAACCGGGGCUCCAAAAGCGUUUUGAGUAACACGGAGCAUAUGAGAUGUUCCAAGAGCUGAAAAUGGUUUUCCAAGCUCAUGCCCGGGUCGAGAGAUAUGAAAUCUCAGACAAGUUCUACUGUUGUAAGAUGGAGGAAAAUAGUUAUGUUAGUGAGCAUAUACUCACUAUGUCCGGGUUACACAACCAUUUGUCUCAGUUGGGAGUUAAUAUCCCAGAUGACUCGGUCAUUGACAGGAUCUCCAGUCGCUCCCACCUAGCUACAAGAGCUUUGUGAUGAACUACAAUAUGCAAGGGAUGGAGAAGUCCAUUCCCGAGUUAUAUUCAAUGCUGAAAUCAGCGGAGCUGGAAAUCAAAAAGGAACAUCAAGUGUUGAUGGUGAAUAAGACCACUAGUUUCAAGAAAGGCAAGGGUAAAAAGAACUUCAAGAAGGACGACAAGGAAGUUGCCGCGCCCGGUAAAUCAGUUGUCGGGAAUAAGCCAAACAAUGGACCCAAGCCCGAGACUCGGUGCUUUUAUUGCAAGGGAAAUGGUCACUAGAAGCGGAACUGCCCCAAGUACUUAGUGGACAAGAAGGCCGGCAACACCAAAGGUAUAUGUGAUAUACAUGUUAUUGAUGUGUACCUUACCAGUACUCAUAGUAGCUCCUGGGUAUUUGAUACUGGUGAGGUUUCUCUAUUUGUACCUCAAAACAGGAGAUGCGGAAUAAGCGGAGACUGGCGAAGGAUGAGGUGGCGAUGCGCGUCGGGAAUGGUUCCAAGGUCGAUGUGAUCGCCGUUGACACCCUACCUCUACAUUUACCUACGUGAUUAGUUUUAAACCUCAAUAAUUGUUAUUUAGUGCUAGCUUUGAGCAUGAACAUUGUAUCUGGAUCUCGUUUAAUGCGAGAUGGCUACUCAUUUAAAUCCAAGAAUAAUGGUUGAUAUAUUUAUUUGAGAGAUAUGUUUUAUGGUCAUUACCCGCUAGUCAAUGGUUUGUUCUUAUUGAAUCUCGAACGUGAUGUUACACAUAUUCAUAGUGUGAGUACCAAAAGAUGUAAGGUUAAUAAUGAUAGUCCCACAUACUUGUGGCACUGCCGCCUUGGUCAUAUUGGUAUCAAGCGCAUGAAGAAGCUCCAUGCAGAUGGACUUUUGGAGUCUCUUGAUUAUGACUCAUUGACACAUGCGAACCAUGCCUCAUGGGAAAGAUGACCAAGACUCCAUUCUCCGGAACAAUGGAGCGAGCAACCAACUUGUUGGCAAUCAUACAUACUGAUGUGUGCGGUCCAAUGAGCGUUGAGGCUCGCGGUGGCUAUCGUUAUGUUCUCACCCUCACUGAUGACUUAAGUAGAUAUGGGUAUGUCUACUUAAUGAAACACAAGUCUGAGACCUUUGAAAAGUUCAAGGAAUUUCAGAGUGAGGUGGAGAAUCAAAGUGACAGGAAAAUAAAGUUCUUACGAUCAAAUCGUGGGGGAGAAUAUUUGAGUCACGAAUUUGGUAUGCACUUAAUGAAAUGUGGAAUUGUUUCACAACUCAUGCCGCCUCGAACACCUCAGUGUAAUGGUGUGUCCGGACGUCGUAAUUGCACUCUAUUGGAUAUGGUGCGAUCUAUGAUGUCUCUUACCGAUUUGCCGCUAUCAUUUUGGGGAUAUGCUUUAGAGACAACCACAUUCACUUUAAAUAGGGCACCGUCUAAAUCUGUUGAGACGACACCGUAUGAAUUAUGGUUUGGGAAGAAACCUAAGCUGUCAUUUCUAAAAGUUUGGGGAGGCGAUGCUUAUGUCAAGAAACUUCAACCUGAAAAGCUCGAACCCAAGUUGAAAAAAUGCAUCUUCAUAGGAUACCCUAAGGAAACCAUUGGGUAUACCUUCUACCUCAGAUCCGAAGGCAAGAUCUUUGUUGCCAAGAACGGGUCCUUUCUGGAGAAAGAGUUUCUCUCAAAAGAAGUAAGUGGGAGGAAAGUAGAACUUGAUGAAGUACUACCUCUUGAACCGGAAAGUAGCACAGCUCAGGAAGAUGUUUUUGUGGUGCCUGCACCGAAUAGAGAGGAAGUUAAUGAUGAUGAUCAAGGUACUUCGGAUCAAGUUUCUACUGAACUUCGUAGGUACACAAGGACACGUUCCACACCAGAAUGGUAUGGCAACCCUGUUGAAAGAUCGAGGAUGUCUCCUAGAGGAGGGGUGAAUAGGCAAUUUAUAAUAAUUACGGUUUAGGCUUGAACAAAUGCGGAAUAAACCUAGCGGUUAAUUUGUCAAGCACAAAACCUACAACAACUAGGCUCACCUAUGUGCACCAACAACUUAUGCUAAGCAAGAUAAGCAACUAUGUGAUAGCAAGAUAUAUGACAAAGAACAAUAUAGCUAUCACAAAGUAAAGUGCAUAAGUAAAGGCACUCGGGUAAGAGAUAACCGAGGCACGCGGAGACGAUGAUGUAUCCCGAAGUUCACACCCUUGCGGAUGCUAAUCUCCGUUUGGAGCAGUGUGGAGGCACAAUGCUCCCCAAGAAGCCACUAGGGCAGCCGUAAUAUCCUCACGCCCUCGCACAAUGCAAGAUGUCGUGAUUCCACUAAAGGACCCUUGAGGGCGAUCACCGAACCCGUACAAAUGGCGACCCUUGGGGGCGGUUACCGGACCCGUACACUUUGGCAACCCUUGGGGGCGGUCACCGGUACCCGUCAAAUUGCUCGGGGCAAUCUCCACAACCUAAUUGGAGACCCCGACGCUUGUCCGGAGCUUUACACCACAAUGAUUGAGCUCCGAACACCACCAACCGUCUAGGGCGCCCAAGCACCCAAGAGGAACAAGCUCAAGGGCACCAAGCACCCAAGAGUAAUAAGCUUCUCAACUUGUAACUUCCACGUAUCACGUGGAGAACUCAAACCGAUGCACCAAAUGCAAUGGCAAGGGCACACGGAGUGCCCAAGUCCUUCUCUCCCAAAUCCCACCAAAGCAACUAAUGCUAGGGAGGAAAAUGAGAGGAAGAACAAGAAGGAGAACACCAAGAACUCCAAGAUCUAGAUCCAAGGGGUUCCCCUCACUUAGAGGAGAAAGUGAUUGGUGGAAACGUGGAUCUAGAUCUCCUCUCUCUUUUCCCUCAAAAACUAGCAAGAAUCCAUGGAGGGAUUGAGAGUUAGCAAGCUCGAAGAAGGUCAACAAUGGGGGAAGAACACGAGCUCAAAGGAUAAGGUUCAUUGGGGAAGAAGACCCCCUUUUAUAGGAGGGGGAAAAUCCAACUGUUACCCCACUGUACAUCCCCGCACAAAGCGAUACUACCGCUAGGGCAGGGCAGUACUACCGCUGAGAGCCCGCUCCCACCCAGCGGUACUACCGCGCUGACGAGGAAGACAGGGCCCUGGCCCCAGAGCAGUACUACCGCGGGAGUAAGAGCGGUACUACCGCUUGGAGCGGUACUACCGCCACUACUACCGCUCCUAGUACCGCAAAACCCGACACGAAAAACAUCGGUCUCGAAUCGAGGCGGUACCAGCGCGGAACCGGAGCCGUACUACCGCUUAUGGCCAUGGGCGGUACUACCGCUAUGGGACAGCGGUACUACCGCUUGUGGCGAUAAGCGGUACUACCGCUCCGGCCCAGCGGUACUACCGCUGGCACCAACCUUAAGCCUCAACCACGAAAACAAAGAAUACUCCAAGGAAAACCAGAACUGCCAUAACUUCUUCGUAUGAGCUCCGAAUUGAGCAAACUCAAGCUUGUUGGAUAGAGUAAGACGAGUAGCAUCAAAACAAAGGAGUGAAACCUCCAACCGAGAAGAACCGGCAUACCCUCCAACAUCGAAAACAUCAUAGAAGAUGCAUGAGAACUCUGUUUUCGAUGAACCCGGGCUUGUCAUAAAAAUGACCAUAAGCUCCAAAUCUCACAAGGAGAAGAACCAAACAAGAACCAAAAAGAUGAUGCAAGGAUGCAAUGGUUUGAGCUCUCUACAAACGAUACGAUCAAGCAACUCAUCGAGAGCCCCCCUUGAUAGUACGGCAAUCAAUCCUAUAACCCGGUCUCCCACAACUACCAUGAGACCGGUAAAAUAGAAAACCUAUCAAGGGCAAACCUUUGCCUUGCACAUGAUCCACUUGAGCUAGAUGAUGACGAUCUUCUCCUCCUCAAGAUGGACCACAUUUCUUGAUUGCUUUGGCUCGAUGAAGACUAGAGAUUGCUCCCCCAUACUCCGCUAUGGGUGAGGCACUCUUCUGCACAUCUUCACAAGUCCAUUGUCGCCACAAAGGACGGCAAGCUUCAAGCAUAUGAUCUCUUCGUGAUGAUCCUACUUGAACUUGCACACCACAACCUAACCCCACAAAGAACUCUCAUGAAGACCAUGGAUUAGUACACAAAGCGUAAUUGACCAUGCUUACCAUACCAAGGGAUCGCUUGAUCCCUCUCGGUACAUCUUCUAUGCUUUGUGUGUUGAUCAACUUGAUUCAUUCUUUGACUUAGUCUUGAUCAACCUUGAAUCUUUCCAACUCUCUUCAUUUGGAUGAUGUCUUGAAGGUAAACAUGAAUGAUCACACAAUCUUCUUCUUCAAGACAUGCUUGCAAUAAGCUCAACACUCACAUGACCAAUCUUUGGAUAAUUCCUUAAUAGCACCUUGGUCAACUCAUAAACUCCUUGAAACCAACACAUGGAAUUCAAGAAAAGCCUAUGGACAGAUCCUUCAAAUAUAACUCAAGACAACCAUUAGUCCAUAGAGAUUGUCAUCAAUUCCCAAAACCAAACAUGGGGGGCACCGCAUGUUCUUUCACCUGUCCUGGAAAUCAUGUUGUUAGACAACGAUGAACCUUCAAACUAUGAAGAAGCGAUGGCGGGCCCAGAUUCCAACAAAUGGCUUGAAGCCAUGAAAUCCGAGAUAGGAUCCAUGUAUGAAAACAAAGUAUGGAGUUUGACAGACUUGCCCGAUGAUCGGCGAGCCAUAGAAAAUAAAUGUAUCUUUAAGAAGAAAACUGACGCGGAUGGUAAUGUGACCAUCUAUAAAGCUCGGCUUGUCGCAAGGGUUAUCGACAAGUUCAAGGGGUUGACUACGAUGAUACCUUCUCACCCGUAGCGAAGCUGAAGUCCGUCUGAAUCAUGUUAGCAAUUGCUGCAUUCUAUGAUUAUGAAAUAUGGCAAAUGGACGUCAAAACGGCAUUCCUUAACGGCUGCCAUAAGGAAGAAUUGUAUAUGAUGUAGCUGAAAGGUUUUGUCGAUCCUAAGAAUGCUAACAAGGUAUGCAAGCUCCAGUGCUCCAUCUAUGGGCUGGUGCAAGCAUCUCAGAGUUGGAACAUUUGCUUUGAUGAAAUGAUCAAAGCGUUUGGGUUUAUGCAGACUUAUGGAGAAGCCUGCGUUUACAAGAAAGUGAAUGGGAGCUCUGUAGCAUUUCUCAUAUUAUAUGUGGAUGACAUAUUAUUGAUGGGAAAUGAUAUAGAACUUUUGGAAAGCAUAAAGUCCUACUUGAAUAAGUGUUUUUCAACGAAGGACCUUGGAGAAGCUGCUUACAUAUUAGGCAUCAAGAUCUAUAGAGAUAGAUCGAGACGCCUCAUAGGUCUUUCACAAAGCACAUACCUUGAUAAGAUGUUGAAGAAGUUCAAUAUGGAUCAGUCCAAGAAGGGGUUCCUACCUGUUUUGCAAGAUAUGAAAUUGAGCUUGGCUCAAAGCCCGACCACGGCAUAAGAUAGAGAAAAGAUGAGUGUCAUCCCCUAUGCCUCAGCCAUAGGGUCUAUUAUGUAUGCCAUGUUGUGUACCAGACCUGAUGUAAACUUUGCCAUAAGUUUGGUAGGGAGGUACCAAAGUAAUCCCGGCAUGGAACACUGGACAAUAGUCAAGAAUAUCCUAAAGUACCUGAAAAGGACUAAGGAUAUGUUUCUCGUUUAUGGAGGUGACGAAGAGCUCGUCGUAAAGGGUUACGUCGAUGCUAGCUUCGACACAGAUCUGGAUGACUCCAAGUCACAAACCGGACACGUGUAUAUUUUGAAUGGUGGGGCGGUCAGCUGGUGCAGUUGCAAGCAAAGCGUCGUGGCAGGAUCUACAUGUGAAGUGGAGUACAUGGCAGCCUCAGAGGCAGCACAUGAAGCAAUCUGGAUAAAGGAGUUCAUUACCAACCUAGGAGUAAUUCCCAAUGCGUCGGGCCCGAUGACUCACUUCUGUGACAACACUGGUGCUAUUGCCCUUGCCAAGGAGCCCAGUUUUCACAAGAAGACCAGGCAUAUCAAGCGUCGCUUCAACUCCAUUCGUGAAAAUGUUCAAGAUGGAGACAUAGAUAUUUGAAAAGUGCAUACGGAUCUGAAUGUCGCAGACCCGUUGACUAAACCUCUUCCACGAGCAAAACAUGAUCAACACUAGAACUCUAUGGGUGUUCGAUUCAUCACAAUGUAACUAGAUUAUUGACUCUAGUGCAAGUGGGAGACUGUUGGAAAUAUGCCCUAGAGGCAAUAAUAAAAUGCUUAUUAUUAUAUUUCCUUGUUCAUGAUAAUUGUCUAUUGUUCAUGCUAUAAUUGUAUUAACCGGAAACCGUAAUACAUGUGUGAAUACAUAGACCACAACAUGUCCCUAGUGAGCCUCUAGUUGACUAGCUCGUUGAUCAAUAGAUGGUCAUGGUUUCCUGACCAUGGACAUUAGAUGUCAUUGAUAACGGGAUCACAUCAUUAGGAGAAUGAUGUGAUGGACAAGACCCAGUCCUAAGCGUAGCACAAGAUCGUGUAGUUCGUUUGCUAAAGCUUUUCUAAUGUCAAGUAUCAUUUCCUUAGACCAUGAGAUUGUGUAACUCCCGGAUACUGUAGGAAUGCUUUGGGUAUACCAAACGUCACAACAUAACUGGAUGGAUAUAAAGGUACACUACAGGCAUCUCCGAAAGUGUUUGUUGGGUUGACAUGAAUCGAGAUUGGGAUUUGUCACUCCGUAUGAGGGAGAGGUAUCUCUGGGCCCACUCGGUAAUGCAUCAUCAUAAUGAGCUCAAUGUGACUAAGUAGUUAGCCACGGGAUCAUGCAUUACGGAACGAGUAAAGUGACUUGCCGGUAACGAGAUUGAACGAGGAAUUGGGAUACCGACGAUCGAAUCUCGGGCAAGUAACGUACCGAUUGACAAAGGGAAUUGUAUACGGGAUUGCAUGAAUCCCCGACAUCGUGGUUCAUCCGAUGAGAUCACCGUGGAACAUGUGGGAGCCAACAUGGGUAUAGAUCUCACUGUUGGUUAUUGGCCGGAGAGCUGUCUCAAUCAUGUCUACAUGAUUCCCGAACCCGUAGGGUCUACACACUUAAGGUUUGGUGACGCUAGAGUUGAUAUGGGAAUUAGUACGUAGUUACCGACUGUUGUCCGGAGUCCCGGAUGAGAUCUCGGACGUCAUGAGGAGUUCCGGAAUGGUCCGGAGGUAAAGAUUUAUAUAUGGGAAGUCCAGUUUUACUCACCCGAAUAAUUUUGGGGGUUACCGGUAUUGUACCGGGACCACCGAAAGGUGUCCGGGGGUCCAUCGGGUGGGUCCACCUGCCACGGGGGACUUAGUGGGCUGAACAAGGGUGGGAACCAGCCCCCUAGUGGGCUGGUGCGCCCCCUAGGGCCCAAGGCGCCUAGGGUUGAAAACCCUAGGGGGUGGGGGCGCCUCCCACCAACUUAGGGGGCAAGCUCCCCCCUUUGACCGCCGCCCCCACCCUAGAUGAGAUCUAAGGGGGCCGGACCCCUAUCCCUUCCCCCUAUAAAUAGUGGGGGGUGAGAGGGCUGCCAUACCCUUCCCCUGGCAUAGCCCUCCCCCUCUCCAACUCCACCUCCUCCUCCAUAGUGCUUGGCGAAGCCCUACCGGAGAACUGCAAGCUCCACCACCACGCCGUCGUGCUGCCGGAGCUCUCCCUCAACUUCUCCUCUCCCCUUGCUGGAUCAAGAAGGGGGAGAUGUCCCCAGGAUGUACGUGUGUUGAACGCAGAGGCACCGUCCAUUCGGCGUUAGAUCGGAUCUUCCACAAUUUGAAUCGACGCGAGUACGACUCCCUCAUCCGCGUCCUAGUGACGCUUCCGCUUAGCGAUCUUCAAAGGUAUGAAGAUGCUCAUCCUCUCCCUCUCUUGUUGCUAGAAUCUCCAUAGAUUGAUCUUGGUGAUUCAUAGAAAAUUUUGAAUUUCUACUACGUUCCCCAUCAAUACGUUACUUCGUGUGUUGCACAUCUAAGUCGUCAACAUGCAUAAGCGUUAGGAUGUGUGUCCAUUCACAAUACAUUCGAGGAUUCUGAGAUAUUUAGCUCACACCGCAACUUGCAAAACCUUUUCUCAUCCAAGGGCUUAGUGAAUAUAUCUGCCAAUUGCUCUUCAGUGUUGACGUGAAUGAUAUCAAUGUCUUGUUGACAUGAUCUCUGAGAAAGUGAUGAAGGAUCUGAAUGUGCUUUGUCUUCGUGUGUUGAACUGGAUUCUUGGAAAGCUUGAUGGCACUUUCAUUGUCACAGAAGAGUGGCACAUUCUUCAUGUUGAUGCCAUAGUCCUUGAGAGUUUGCUUCAUCCAUAGAAGCUGAGCACAGCAUGAUCCAGCAGCAAUGUAUUCAGAUUCAGCAGUGGAGAGUUACACACGGUUCUACUUCUUUGAAGACCAACAGACAAGUGAUCGACCGAGAAAGUGACAUGUUCCUGAGGUGGACUUGUGAUCAACCUUGUCACCAGCAUAAUCAACAUCAGAAUACCCAAUCAGAUCAAAUGUUGAGCCCUUUGGAUACCAUAAUCCUAUCGUUGGGGUGUAAGCCAAAUAUCGAAGUAUUCGCUUCACCGCUAGGUGAUGCGACUCCUUUGGUGCCGCAUGGAAUUGGGCACACAUGCAAACGCUAAGCAUUAUAUAUGGCCUAGAUGCACAUAAGUAAAGUAAGGAACCAAUCAUGGAACGAUAUACCUUUUGAUCGAACUCUUUACCAUUGUCGUUAGGACCCAGAUGACUUUUAGUUGGCAUUGGCGUCAUGUAUCCUUUGCAAUCUUGAAUUCCAAACUUCUUUAGGCAAUCCUUGAGGUAUUUCUCAUGGGAUAUGAAGAUGCCAUUCCUUUGCCGACUGAUUUGAAGACCAAGGAAGAACUUCAGCUCACCCAUCAUGGACAUGUGAUAUUGCUCUUGCAUCAUGUGUCCAAACUCAUCACUAUAUCUCUUGUCGGUGCAGCCGAAGAUAAUGUCAUCCACAUAGAUUUGGCACACAAACAGUUCACCGUCGUAUGACUUCAUGAAGAGAGUUGGAUCUAGAGAACCAUGUUUGAAGCCUUUGCUCUUCAGGAAGUCUUUGAGCGUGUCAUACCAAGCACGAGGAGCUUGUUUGAGGCCAUACAGUGCCUUGUUGAGCUUGUAUACCAUAUCAGGAUGUUUUGGAUCUUCAAAGCCAGGUGGUUGUGCAACAUACACUUCUUUUUCAAUCUUGCCAUUGAGAAAGGCACUCUUCACAUCCAUUUGGUACAGGAGGAUGUUGUGAUGGUUGGCAUAUGCUAGCAGUAUGCGAAUGGCUUCAAUUCUUGCCACGGGAGCAAAUGUUUCAUCGAAGUCAAUCCCUUAUAUUUGAGUGUAACCUUGAGCAACUAGACGAGCCUUGUUUCUGACAACUUGAACAUGUUCAUCUUGUUUGUUGCGAUAGAUCCAUUUGGUGCCAAUGAUAUUAUGCUUGCGAGGAUCAGUACACUUGACCAGUUCCCAGACAUUAUUCAACUCGAACUGAUGAAGCUCUUCUUGCAUAGCUUGAAUCCAUUCAGGUUCCAUAAAGGCUUCAGCAACUUUCUUGGGUUCUGACAUCGAGACAAAUGCAAAGUACCCACAGAAAUUUGCUAGUUGUGUUGCUCUUGAAUGAGUGAGUGGAGCAGGUGCAUUGAUGUUGUCAAUUAUCUUCUCAAUCUGUACUUCAUUUGCAACACGGGGAUGUAUUGGACGAAGAUUUUGCCCUUGUAGAUCAUUGUCUUCAGCUUCAGCAUUGACUUCAGGCUGAGCAGUGUCUUCAGGUUGACUUGGUGUAAUGAUGAGUUCAUCUUUAGCCUGAGCUUCAGACGGUAUGAUUUCUCCAGUACACAUGAGCUUGAUAGAUUCACUAGGAGGAACUUUAUCUAGCACAUUUGGCAGGUGCUCUCUUUGCGAGCCAUUAGUCUCAUCAAACCGCACAUCCACAGUUUCAACCACUUUAUAGUGAAAGAGGUUGAAGACUCUGUAGGAGUGCGAAUCCUUUCCGUAUCCAAGCAUAAAACAUUCAUGUGCUUUCGGUGCAAAUUUUGAAGUGUGAUGUGGAUCCUUGAUCCAGCACCUAGCACCAAAUACUCUAAAGUAACUGACAUUUGGCUUCUUACCAGUUAGAAACUCAUAUGGUGUCUUCUUUAGAAGCUUGUGAAGAUAAACUCGGUUGAUGACGUGGCAUGCAGUGUCAAUGGCUUUAGGCCAGAACUUCCUUGGAGUCUUGUACUCAUCAAGCAUCGUCCGAGCCAUCUCGAUGAGAGUUAUGUUCUUGCGCUCAACGAUACCAUUCUUCCGAGGUGUGUAGGGAGCAGAAAACUCAUGAGUGAUGCCGAGUGUAUCAAGAUAGGUGUUGAGGCUGGUGUUCUUGAAUUUUGUGCUGUUGUCACUUCUGAUGUGCUUGAUCUUGACGCCAUAGUUCGUCAUGGCACGAUUAGCGAAGCGUUUGAAGACAUCCUUCACUUCAGUCUUGUAGAGAAUUAUAUGCACCCAGGUAUAUCUUGAGUAAUCAUCAACAAUAACGAAACCAUAGAGACAAGCAGUGGUAGCAAGAGUAGAGUAGUGAGUAGGGCCGAAUAAGUCCAUGUGAAGCAGCUCGAAAGGUUGAGAUGUCGUCAUGAUUGUCUUCGAGGGAUGCUUGGCCCUAGUCAUCUUCCCAGCUUCACAGGCACCACAUAGAUGGUCUUUCUUGAACUUGAUGCCUUCGAUGCCCACGACAUGCUUCUUCUUUGCGAGAGUGUACAAGUUCCUCAUGCCCGCAUGUCCUAGCCUCUAAUGCCAGAGCCAACACUCUAAAGCUUUUGCUAGAAGACAUAUGGCAAGUUGUGGUCCUGUUGAGAAAUCUACCAUAUACAGAUCAUCUUUUCAAUACCCUUCAAAGACUAGAGAUUUGUCAGAUUCCAUAAGGACAAGGCAACGAUAUUUUCCAAAUAUCACAAUCAUGUUCAAAUCGCAUAGCAUUGAUACAGACAUUAAGUUGAAACCAAGGGAUUCAACAAGCAUCACUUUAUCCAUGUGCUGGUCCUUUGAGAUUGCAACUCCACCAAGACCCAAUACCUUACUUUCACAAGUGUCAGCAAAUGUGAUAUGACUUUUAUCAGACGACCAAAGAGAUGAAUCCAUCAGAACACUUCGAUCACCAGUCAUGUGGUUGGUGCAGCCACUAUCCAUAAUCCAUUCUGAAGCUUGAGGUGUCAUAGCCUACAAUACAGUUUGGGGAUAGGCUUCACCAAGAGAGUUGGGAAGCAGAAACAUUUGACGAACAAGUGGAACAUAGAAGUUCAGACCUUGGUUAGGAUAGAUAGGAUGAGUGUCAAGGAAUCCUGGGACGAAAUACAUAGUCAGACCAUUUGGACAUUUUAUCUUGCGUCCCACAAGAUGUUUAAGGUCCCCAGCAUAAGCAUCAGACGCCUUUGAUUUCCGGCUGGAGACCUUUCCCUGCAAAAGAGAGUUAAGUUUUCUUAACCACCCACAUCUUCAGGGGUGGCUUAGAAGCAAUGAGUCUAAGUGCAGCAUCUGAAAACUUUGGCUUUGAAGCCCUAGUAAAUAGCCUUGCAAGAGGAGAAUGAUACUCAUAGGAAUAAGCAGAAAAGUUCUUAGACUUAUUAACAUAGCGGUUUGAUUGAACACACUCAUAUUCAAAGGUCUAAGUAUGAUUUGCCUGCAAAAGAUUGGCGUUAGGGUGACUCGGGUGAGUCCUCUAUCUGUAUGAAGCCUUUGGACCAUAUGAAGCCUUUGGUCUAGGGUUUGUCUUCUUCCCAGAUGGUGUCGUAACGACAUUCACAGAAGACUUUCAAGACAACUUUUGGGUACCCAAAUCUUCUUAAGAGGUGGUCCAUUCCUGUAGUUAGUACCAAUAUACCUGGCAAACACUUUAGCAUUCUAAUUCCUGAACAGUUUAUAGUUUGCAUCAAAGGAUUCAUGAAUGAUAAUUGGGUUAGCACUAGUGAAGCCAGAUAAGGUAGAUGGAUCCACUGAGGGUCCCUUAGAAGCAACCCAUGUGGUUUUGGGGUACUGCUCAGGCAUCCAGUAAGAACCAUCAACAUUCAUUUUCCUCUCGAACCCAACACCCUCUUUCCUAGGGUUUCAGUUCAGAAUCUGCUUUUUAAGGACAUCACAUAGUGUAUGAUGCCCUUUGAGACUUUUGUACAUUCCUGUCUCAAGUAAUGACUUCAACCUGGCAUUCUCAUCAGCAAUAGUAGUGGUAUCCUCAGCUGAGGGGUUAGUUACCACAUUAGCAGUUGAAGAUAUUGCAACAGUAGCAGCAGUUGAACAUUCAGCAACAGAGACAACAUUAUCAUGCUCAAUACAUUUUAGACAUGGUAGUUCAAAUCCUUCCUGAGCGGAACUGACCUGUUGAGCACGGAGUGACUCGUUUUCCUUUUGAAGAUCUUCAUGAGCCGAUCUCAAUUUCUCAAGUUCCUGCUUCCUUUGAAGAUAAUCAUAGGAAAGCUUUUCAUGAGAGGUUGAGAGUGAUUCAUGACGACUUUCAAGUUCCUCAUACUUAACAUGAAGAUUUUUAAUGUCUUCAAUUAAGGACUGAGAUCGGGUCAUUUCUGCGUCCAAGAGGUCAUCGCUUUUGUCUAACAAUUUUUGAAUAUGUUCCAUGGCAUUCUAUUGUUCAGUUGCAAUUUUAGCAAGUGUUUUGUAGCUAGGUUUAGAUUCACAUUCAGAGUCAUCUUCACUUGAUGUUUGAAAGUAAGCAUUGCGUGAGUUUACCUUGGCACCAGGUGCCAUGAAGAAAAAGGGGCAAAUAAACUUAAUAGCAAGCUUACUUAAGAGUCAAACACAUGUGGCAGCUUAGCUUGGGCUACAAGCCAAGCUGACUUAUCCAGCUCUGGAUAAGAUUUCCUCUCAUUGUCUUCGCUCGAAGACAUAGUAUUUGGUUGAGCAUCACAUCAGUCACUCUGACUUUGUUCACAUGGACCCCACUUAACAGUACGGUGGUUCCUGUGAAUCAACAAAGAAGAAAAAUGAAACUACGAAACAACUAUGUCUUCGCACUCCAUAGUCUUCACGUGAUGUCUUCUCAUGUCAUAGUCUUCAAUGUGAAUGUCUUCACAGACCACCAUUGUCUUCAAUGUCUUCACACAUUUUUAGGGGUCAUCUCUGGUAGGUAAACCGAAUCAAUAUGGCACUACUACCUGUGUUAUCCUGCAAUUCUCACAAACACAUUAGUCCCUCAACCAAGUUUGUCGUCAAUACUCCAAAACAAACUAGGGGUGGCACUAAAUGCACUUACAAUUACUUUGUAAUCUAGAUUAUUGACUCUAGUGCAAGUGGGAGACUGAAGGAAAUAUGCCCUAGAGGCAAUAAUAAAGUUGUUAUUUAUAUUUCCUUAUAUCAUGAUAAAUUUUUAUUAUUCAUGCUAGAAUUGUAUUAACCGGAAACUUAGUACAUGUGUGAAUACAUAGACAAAACAUAGUGUCCCUAGUAUGCCUCUACUUGACUAGCUCGUUAAUCAAAGAUGGUUAUGUUUCCCAACCAUAGACAUGUGUUAUCAUUUGAUGAAUGGGAUCACAUCAUUAGAGAAUGAUGUGAUGGACAAGACCCAUCCGUUAGCUUAGCAUUAUGAUCGUUGCAGUUCCAUUGCUACUGCUUUCUUCAUGACUUAUACAUGUUCCUCGGACUAUGAGAUUAUGCAACUCCCGAAUACCGGAGGAACACCUUGUGUGCUAUCAAACGUCACAACAUAACUAGGUGAUUAUAAAGAUGCUCUAUAGGUGUCUCCAAAGGUGCUUGUUGGGUUGGCAUAGAUCGAGAUUAGGAUUUGCCACUCUGUAUUUCGAAGAGGUAUCUCUGGGCCCUCUUGGUAAUGCUCAUCACUAUAAGCCUUGCAAGUAAUGUGACUAAUGAGUUAGUUGCGGGAUGAAGCAUUAUGGAACGAGUAAAGAGACUUUCUGGUAACGAGAUUGAACUAGGUAUGAUGAUACCGACGAUUGAAUCUCGGGCAAGUAACAUACUGAUGACAAAGGGAACAACGUAUGUUGUUGUGCAGUUUGACCGAUAAAGAUCUUUGCAGAAUAUGUAGGAGCCAAUGAGCAUCCAGGUUCUGCUAUUGGUUAUUGAUAGGAGAUGUGUCUCGAUCAUGUCUACAUAGUUCUCGAACACGUAGGGUCCGCACGCUUAACAAUUGAUGACGAUUUGUAUUAAGAGUUAUGUGUUUUUGAUGACCAUAGUUUGUUCGAAGUCCCGGAUGAGAUCACAGACUUGACGAGGAGUCUCGAAAUGGUCGAGACAUAAAGAUUGACAUAUUGGAAGGUUAUGUUCGGACACUGAAAAGGUUUCAGAAGGGUUCAGAUAUUUUUCUGAAUACCCGGAGGUUACUGGAACCCCCCGGAGGAUUAAUGGGCCUUCAUGGGCCUUAGUGGAAGAGAGGAGGCGCUAGCCAGGUGGAGGCGCGUGCCCCCCUAGCCCAAACCGAAUUGUACUAGGGAUGGGGGGCGCCCCCCCCCCUUUCCUCCUUCUCCUCCACCUCUUUCUCUCUCUCUCCCUCUCUUGGAAAAGGAAGGGGACUCCUACUAGGAUUGGGAAUCCUAGUUGGACUCCCCCUAUGGCGCGCCCCUCCUAGGCCGCCAGCCUCCUCCCUCCCUCCUUUAUAUACAGGGGCAGGGGGCACCCCAAAGCAUAAUAGACAAUCUCUUAGCCGUGUGCGGUGCCCCCUCCAUAGUUUAACACCUCAAUCAUAUCGUCGUAGUGCUUAGGCGAAGCCCUGCGCCGGUAGCAUCAUCAACACUGUCGCCACGCCGUCGUGCUGACGGAACUCUCCCUCGUCCUCAACUGGAUCAAGAGCUCGAGAGACGUCAUCGUGCUGAACAUGUGCUGAACACGGAGGUGUCGUACGUUCUGUACUUGGAUCAGUUGGAUCGUGAAGACGUUCGACUACGUCAACCACGUUACUAAACGCUUCCGCUUUUGGUCUACGAGGGUACAUGAACACACUCUCCCAUCUUGUUUCUAUGCAUCUCUGUCGGAUAUCGGGUUCCGGCAAAACCCUUAAGGUUCAAACUCCGGGGUGCGCACGAAGAUCUUACCCCUACCGACCCACGUCCGAAUGCCUCGCUGAGAAUCUAAGCUAAACAAUGAACAACACGAGGGACACAAGAUUUAUACUGGUUCGGGCCACCGUUGUGGUGUAAUACCCUACUCCAGUGUGUUGUGUGGUGGAUUGCCUCAGGGGCUGAUGAUGAACAGUACAAGGGAAGAACAACCUCGUGAGAGGUGUUCUUCGGUGGUGGUUUGCUUCAGAAGGAUUCGAUCCGCUCUCGAUGAGAUGCCUCUCUACUGUGGUGGCUAGCCCUAUUUAUAGAGGCCCUGGUGCCGGAAGGGCGCCAACAACGGCCAUUUUGAAGGGGAACAUCUAGUACAAGUUAUCCUGACUAAAGGUGGUCUUCGACUGCUAAAGUACUGGCGAUGACGCCGUCUUGGGCUCCACAGUGACCUCUGUCCUGCCGCUCUGCUGGUCCUGGUCUCGUUGCACCGAAAUGGUAACCUUUGCUUGAUGCCUUGGUACUCCGCGACUGUGCUUGGCCCCUUUGCACCAAAGAGGAAACAAGGGCACUGUGCAGGCCGGCGCCCGCUUGGCCUCAAUUGUCAUGGCUUGCAUCACGAGCACCUCACGAGGUACCCUUGUCUUGAUCUCUCCGCCUCCUCACGAGCCUGCCUGGUGAGGCCGCUCCUGAGGAAGCCUUGCGUCGUCCGCCCCGCGAGGCUUGGCCCCUCGCGAGGGUCUUGAGCUUGAGUUGAUGAAGAUGGGCCGUACUGGGCCACCACUUGAGCCACGCCGCAGGCCGUAGGCAGGCAAGUCUGGGGACCCCCGUUCCUAGAACGCCGACAGUAGCCCCCGGGCCCAAGGCGCGCUCGGACUUGGCUUAGCAGAGAAGCGAAGGGGCAAGUGCGGAGCGCCGCAGGCCCCAAUAGCCUGCGGCCUUGGGUGUCGCGUGGUGGUUGAUUGGACGUGGGCGUCUCCGCUUCCCCACGCUCCCCCAUUAUGCACCUAGCUAGGCGGCCACGAGACUGUACACGGUUAUUCCCUCCUUGCUGUCCGCGCGCUUCCUGUUCCCCUUUCUUCCCCGAGCCUCUGUCUCUGCCUCCAAUCCAUCUUGAGCUCUGCCUCCUUCCCAUCACCAUGGCGCCAACAAAAAGGGAAAAGGGGAAGAAGCCUGCGCCUCCGGCCAGCUUGCCUCCGGCAGCCACGCCACAAUCUGGAGGCCUUGGACAAGGUACGCUCCGCCCUCGCUUCCAGCUUCAAUGAGUGCAGAAGGACAACGGCCUGGCCUGCAUCCCAUGCCUCCUUUGAUAGGGUCGUCACGCAGGUCUGAUUUUUCGCCUGUCGGUGUGAAAACCGGUGGAUCUCGGGUAGGGGGUCCCAAACUAUGCGUCUAAGGCUAAUGGUAACAGGAGGCAGGGGACGCGAUGUUUUACCCAGGUUCGGGCCCUCUCGAUGGAGGUAAUACCCUACUUCCUGCUUGAUUGAUCUUGAUGAUAUGAGUAUUACAAGAGUUGAUCUACCACGAGAUCGUAGAGGCUAAACCCUAGAAGCUAGCCUAUGAUUAUGAUUGUUCUUCUACGGACUAAACCCUCCGGUUUAUAUAGACACCAGAGGGGGCUAGGGUUACACAGAGUCGGUUACAGAGAAGGAAAUCUACAUAUUUGAAUAUCCAAGCUUGCCUUACACGCAAAGGAGAGUCCCAUCCGGACACAGGACGAAGUCUUCAAUCUUGUAUCUUCAUAGUCCAACAGUCCGGCCAAAGUAUAUAGUCCGGCUGUCCGAGGACCCCUUAAUCCAGGACUCCCUCAGUAGCCCCUGAACAAGCCUUCAAUGAUGAUGAGUCUGGCGUGCAUAUUGUCUUCGGCAUUGCAAGGCGGGUUCCUUCUCCGAAUACUUCAUAGAAGAUUUAGAACACAAGGAUCGUGUCCGGCUCUGCAAAACAAAUUCCACAUUCCACCGUAGAGAGUAUAAUAUUCCACAAAUCCAAUCUACUGACAGCUUUUUAUAGCAUGAUAUCACGCCACGGUCCGGUCAUUAUCCGAACUGUUCUUCACAACCAGCCACUGCACGUAAUGCGAGGUGAUUUCCUUGACACGUCUUGUCGAAGCAGAGAUCGUGUCGCCUUAUCACGGUAUUCUCAUCCAUACGGGUAUGGGUAACCCAACCACGCCAUCAAUCAUGGCGCUUGGAAAAUAAGCGAUCUUAACGGGAGGCGCCCAGUUUUUACCGCCUUUAUAAAGAGAUAAGAAUUCUCAUCUUUCACCCACGCCCCUUCCUUCUUCGCUCAUCCAUUCUCGCACACUCGAGCUCCAGCACCCAAGAUCUCACCUUCUCCGCACAGCCAAACAUGUCCGGAGCGGGAGGCAAGUGGGUGCCCUCCUCCGUCAAGGAGGAGGACAUUACGAAGCUCCAGGCGGCCGGAUAUUUGGCCGCAGAUAUUGCGCACCGGCUCCCGGACGCAGGGCAGAUUGUUCCGACUCCAGGAACCCAUGAGAGGGUCGUGUUCCUCACCCACUUCAUCCGCGGACUGGAAUUCCCCCUUCACCCGUUUGUCCGCGACCUCUUGUUCUAUUAUGGGCUGGAUUUUCAUGAUCUGGCCCCUAACUUCAUCCUCAACAUCUCGGCGUUCAUCAUCGUGUGCGAGGCUUUUCUCCCCAUCAGGCCCCACUUCGGCCUGUGGCUAAAGAUCUUCAACGUGAAGCCGAAGAUAGUGGUCGGCCAGCAAGCGGAGUGUGGUGGCGCCAUGGUGGCCAAGAUGCCCAACGUCACCUGGCUCGAGGUCUCCUUUGCGGAGACCGUGAAGGGGUGGCAAUCGGGGUGGUUCUACAUCACCAAGCAGCGCGACGCCAACUGGGUGGCGGCCCCCGAAUUCCGAUCCGGCAUUCCUGUGCGGCUUACUUUCUGGAAGAGGAAAGGCCUAGCCUGGGGCGCAUCCGCAGAGCUGACCGGACUCCAGAACUGCGUCAAGAAUAUGAUAACCAAGAAUAUCAAGCUUGUCAACAUGGUCCAGGUCAUGCUAUUUCGCCAGAUUCUCCCGUGUCAAAGACGGGCAUUCAAUCUGUGGGAGUUCGACGCGGCCCAAUACCAAACACUGCAAGAGCUCUUUGACACGACGCACAAAGACGUCUGGAAGGUGUUGUUCAAGUCCAGCGAAGUCCCUCCUCCCACUUCCGAGGACCGCAGACUCAGCGCCAGGCGCCACGCCAAUGCGGUAAGCAUUAUACAUUUUGCAAGAUGUGCCUUUCCUCAGCAUAUUCGUGGGAGGAACUUAAGCCAUCGCACCGAUCUAACAGGAAUACAUGGAGAGGGCGAAGCGGAUCGACUAUCCGGCUUCGUUGCUUGAAGAUCCAGCAACCGCUCUCCUGACGGAGAUGCUAGUUCCGACUCCUUAUGAGGUGCUAGAGAAGAAGGCCAAGAAGAAGGCCGUGGGGACCAGAAAAAGUCUCCGGCGCAAUGUGGUGCCGGACUCGUCGUCUGAAGACACCAAGGCGCACUCCUCCAACGACAACGAGGAGGAGGAAGAAGAAAACUCUCUCCCCCAAAACGAGGGGGAGAAUAAAAGGAAGGCCGCCCCUUCCGGGGAGGCCGAAGGGUCCAAGAGGGGAAGGACUCUCCCUCCGGACCACUCUACAACCGCCGCCUACAGCGAGGAGGAGUGGCUACCCAGGGCCAAGCCCCUGGCGAAGUUGUAAGUAUCUGGAUGCCAUAACACCCUUUGCAUGUUUUUAUCUUUACUCACUAUGUCUAGACUUGUUUGUGCAGUCCGCCCAAAGCCCACAUCGACUUGCCCUCCUCGGAUGCGUCCUUGAGUUCAUCGGAGAUGAAUAGGUAUUCGCUCCCGACGGCUUCUACCCCCCGGCCUGUGGAUGACACCGAGGUGUUAUCUCAAAGGAUGGCGGGCCAGGAGGAGGUAGUCCUAGAGACAUCUCAAGGCGAGACUCCUGAUGCUGGGCUCAUGGGGAAGAUCCCCAUGGAUUCAGACGAAGGGGGGGCGCAGUAAGCUUGGCCCCCAGCCGGAUACUGCGUCGGAACCUCUAGUGGUUCCGGAUUGAGGCAGGCAGCCGCCCAUCAAGGGGGGUGAGCCAUCUGUGCCGAUGACCUCUGCUCAUCCAGAGGCGUCAGAUAACUUGGUGGAAGCGCUUCAGAGCGCUUCCCUUAAUGAAGGACACCAUACUCUUAUGAGUACGGUAAUUGUGAAGGUCCAAUCCGCGAAAAGUGGAUUGACCGAAGCCUGCGCCAGCAUCCUGACAGGCUUUGAGGUAAGUAUUUUAAGUUAUAAGAAAGUAUCACAGUACAUACAGUAGCCCCUGAUGCUCUGUUUGGUGUUCGGGAAGAAAAGCCGAACAGAGGAUCAAAUAUGUUUUCCCAGGAGUCUAAUCAUACUAUGUCUUUGUGAAUAAGUAGGCGUCACUGCUGGCCACCGCCGCUGCCACUGCGGAGGUCGUCAGACUGAGGCAAAGCCUUGGGCAGGCUGAAGAAGAGCUUGGCCUCGUGAGGAGGCGGCUCAAGGAGAACAAAGUAAGUAAUACCCCGUCUGAGAAUUUUAUUCAAAGGAAAACAUCGUUGAUGCUAAUAGAAGCAUGAUGGAUUUUACUAGGGGCCGCGACCGAAGUGGCAUCCCUCAAGAUGGCACUGUCUGAGGCCGAAAGCAAAGCGGCCAAGGAGCGCACCGAGCGUGAAAAACAAGCGCCGUGAGUUGAUGAGGUCCAGCAAGAGCUUCAGGACUUCAUCAAAAAGUUUGAGUCCUUGGAGCGUGACUCCAAGACACAAGAGUCGGAGAUUGCGAGGGCCCGUCAGAGCGCACUAGACGCUAAGGCCGAAGCCCAGAAGGCCCUCCAGGAAAUUGAGGCGGCCAAGAAGAUAGCUGCGGGUAAGGCUUUCAUUAUGCAAAGCAAGCAUGUGGAGGAGACUUUCCUUUUACUUACCCAAAUUCGGAGCUCUCCAGGAGCAUUCGCAGAUCUACCGCGCAGCAUCUCUGAUGCCGCAGAGUUCUACCGGGCCGAGGAGGGAAGCUCGAUAGAGAAGCUGUUUUGGUCCCAGUAUAUUGGGGCCGAACACCAAAUGUCCUUGAUCGACAAGCUAAAGCAAUUGGUCGAACUCCACAAGGCGGCCGAACUGGCCAUGAAGGACUUCAUAGUCCGGCUGUGGCCCGGCGAGCCCCUACCCAGCAGUUACUUCGGCUUUAUCAAGCGGAUGGUGAAUGUCUGUCCACGGCUUGAAGUCGUCAAGCGGUCCAUCUGUAUUGAGGGUGCACACAGGGCUUUGGCCCAUGCGAAGGUGCACUGGGGGAAGAUGGACACCGAGAAGCUGGUGAUGGAGGGGCCGCCGAAGGGCAAGGAACAUCGCCACCCCGAACAGUACUAUGACAAUGUCAUUAAGGGUGCCCGCCUUGUGGCGGAUGAAUGUACGAAGGAUGUGAUAUUUGAAUGAAUGUAAUCAUGUCAUCCUGUAUUAUGAAAACCAGUUCAUGUGCGCUAUGUAGCGCUUGUUAAUUUAAAAUAUUGCCUUCUGUGCGGUCAUUGUAAAAAUUCUUGAGAGUUGGCCAGUCGUCGGCUUCCGCCCCCAUGUAACUAGUACUAGGGUGUUCGGGAUAAGUAUAAACACUCUUUAUCCAAGUUUUUGGUCCUUUUAAGGAGGUGUUUAGCGCCACAAACAAGGCAAUUGGACUAUACGGCUUUAUCGCCCUCACUUAGCCAUAGAAGUCUAUAAUUUUAAAUUUUGGCGAAGCCCCUAGUAUCCGGAAGGCCGGACUUGGGGCGCUAUGCACGCCUAAAUCGGACAAGGCCGAUUCCUCGCCUGACGCGGAAAAAAUCUUUAGGGAUUUGAGACCUCUCAAACAGCGACCAGCUCUCGCCUUAUCAUGACAGUCAGUUUUUGGCUUUCUCUACUGAGGUGCUCAUCUGGAAGAACCGGGACACAAUCGCAGUAGUUCUCCCUACGCUACCUUAGCCGAUAUAGUGGAACGUAAGGUACCAAAACAUAGGAGCCGGGCAAACCCAACUAUUGACCCAAGACAUGAUUCGAAGCUGAUGCAUAUAGUGCUAUAAGUACGGGGUGCCGCACUGUCGAAAGUGUUCAGACUUGUCUUGCCAGGUUAUGGGGUACUAAAGCCCCUUGGCAGACUGGUCAUGCCAAAAUGCACGGGUAAAAUAAAUAAGCAGUAAAGAAAAAGGGGCAAAUAAACUUAAUAGCAAGCUUACGUUGUAUACUAUUUUCCCUUUAAAAUGAUACAUCAAAGCGUACAUAUACAAGUAGUGCGAUAAGCAGAAUAGGGAUGUUUGACACAUCCUAACUAGGAGCAGGCGGUAUUCGGUUAUGUAAAAUAGGUAUAACGAUUGUUAUCAGAGACCACCUGAGGAUUCCCUCGCACGCCAAAGCUUCUUGUCCUCAUGGUGUGUCCGUCCCACUAUGUGUCCGAUGGCCGGUCUUUCGGAAGAGCCUCCUGAAGGUAGGGACCUGAAAGAAGAAAGGGGUGCAAAAAUGCGCGUGUCCUGGGGCGAUCAAACCGCAUUAUGGACCGUGUCAUGGUCGUGCCUCCGCCUAUGCCCAUGGUAUUUUAAGUGCGUAGUUAUGUAUGCGUGGCACGAAUGUAGCUGCUUGGUUGGGACUAGGGCGGAGGCCGAAUUGCUAGUUGAGCUCUGGUCAUGCCGGACGAUCCUGUAGUGGAGUACUCCGGACUCGCUUGGCGGUAUCCGGGUUCUUUAUCGCCGAGUUGGUUGUUUGCCUAAGAAGGUUGUUUUGUACUUCCACCACGAGGGCCGCAGUGUGCUCCUCCGUACGAAGCGAGCGCUUUGUGUUUCCAAUAACUGUAAUAACCCCGCGAGGUCCCGGCAUUUUGAGCUUGAGAUAUGCGUAAUGCGGUACCGCAUUGAAUUUGGCAAAUGUGGUUCGUCCGAACAGUGCAUGAUAGCCGCUGCGGAAGGGGACGAUGUCGAAGAUUAGCUCCUCGCUCCAGAAAUUGUCUGGAGAUCCGAAGAACACUUCUAGUGUGAUUGAGCCCGUGCAAUAGGCCUCUACACCGGGUAUGAUAACCUUGAAGGUGGUUUUUGUGGGCUUGAUCCUUGAGGGGUCAAUGCCCAUUUUGCGUAUUGUGUCCUGAUAGAGCAGAUUCAGGCUGCAGCCGCCGUCCAUGAGGACUCGUGUGAGAUGGAAUCCGUCGAUGAUGGGGUCAAGGACCAAUGCGGUCGAACCGCCAUGACGGAUACUGGUAGGAUGGUCCCUGCGAUCGAAAGUGAUCGUACAAGAGGACCAUGGGUUAAAUUUUGGGGCGACUGGCUCCAUCGCGUAGAUGUCCCUUAGUGCACGCUUCCAUUCCCGCUUGGGGAUAUGGGUUGCGUAUAUCAUAUUCACUAUUUUCACCUAGGGAGGGAAUUUCUUCUGUCCUCCCGUGUUCGGUGGUCGGGGCUCUUCGUCGUUGUCGCUAUGCAGCCCCUUUUCCUUGUUUUCGGCAUUCAACUUGCCGGCCUGUUUAAACACACAGCAUUCCCUGUUAGUGUGGUUGGCUAGUUUAUCCGGGGUGCCAUGAAUUUGACAUGAGCGAUCGAGCAUGCAGUCCAAAAUGGACGGGCCUGGACCGUUUCUCUUGAAUGGCUUUUUCCACUGUCCGGAUUUAAAGCCUCUGAAUCCGGCAUUGACUGUCGUGUCUUCGGCGUUGUCGCCAUUAUUGCGACGUUUGUGUCUAUUCCGUCGUGGCUUGCCGUUACUAUCCCUGGCGUCUAAAUCGCCUAAGUUUUUGGGUGUGACGUUGCUGCGAGCCAGCCAGCUGUCUUCGCCUAUGCAGAAGCGGGUCAUGAGUGUCGUGAGGGCUGCCAUGGACUUUGGCUUCUCUUGGCCGAGAUGUCGGGCGAGCCAUUCAUCUUGGAUGUUAUGCUUGAAGGCCGCUAAGGCUUCAGCAUCCGGACAGUCGACAAUUUGGUUCUUUUUGGUUAGGAACCGAGUCCAUAAUUUCCUGGUUGACUCUCCGGGCUGCUGGGUUAUGUGACUUAAGUCAUCAGCAUCCGAUGGUCGCACGUAAGUGCCCUAGAAGUUAUCGAGGAAUGCGUCUUCCAGAUCCUCCCAACUGCCAAUGGAGCUUGCUGGCAGGCUAUUAAGCCAAUGCCUAGCCGGUCCUUUGAGCUUAAGUGGUAGGUACUUUAUGGCAUGUAAGUCAUCGCCACGGGCCAUGUGGAUGUGGAGAAGAAAGUCUUCGAUCCAUACCACGGGGACUGUUGUGCCAUCGUAUGAUUCAAUAUUUACGGGUUUAAACCCUUUUGGGAAUUCGUGAUCCAUAACUUCAUCAGUGAAGCAUAGGGGGUGUGCGGCGCCUCUAUGCCGGGCUACAUCCCGACGUAGUUCGAAUGAGUCUGCUCUAUUGUAUUCGGCUCGGCCGGACUUUUGUUUAUUGUAUCCGGCGUGACGGUCAUCAUCACGUCUUGUGGAGCGCCCCUGUGAUCCGUAGAUUGAUCUUGAUUGUCCUGCUUUGUUUUCCAAUACUUCUCACAGGUCCUUCGUGUAGCCCCGGGCCUUAGUAUUAUCAUUUGAUUGGAGACGAGGUGCGGUCUGGACGUCGGGCUGGUAAGCCGCUUUGUCGCGGCCACGGGGUGGCCGGUCAGCCGCAUCAUGAGCUGGUAGCGUGGGCUUUAAGGCCUCCUCCUCGAGUUGAGGUAGCAGCCUAUGCUUUGGGUAGCUUUUGCUAGGGCGCUCGAGUCCGUAUUCCUCGGUAGCCAGGACCUCGGUCCAUCUGUCCGUUAGCAGAUCCUGAUCAGUUUCAAGCUGUUGCUUUUUUUUUCUUUAGGCUUUUUGCAGUGGCUAUAAGCCGGCAUUUGAAGCGCUCCUGCUCAACGGGGUCCUCAGGCACGAUGAAUUCUUCAUCCCCAAGGCUCACCUCGUCUUCGGAGAGAGGCAUGUAGUUAUCUUCCUCUGAUUCUCCAUCCUUUGCCUGUUCUUUAGGGCUAGCUUGCCCCUCCUCUUGCUCGGCUUGCUCGAAGCCUGGCUGGGCAGGAUUGUAUUCAUCUUCGGCACCAUCUGGAUUGUUAUCCCUUAUGCCGGUAUCACUAUUUUUGCUAUGGCGGGGCUUGGAGCGGCGCCGAUGACGCCGUUGUCUAGAUUGCUUCCCCAUGGGGUUAUCUUCCGCUGCCUCAUCGCCGUUGUUUUCUUUAGGGGUAUCCACCAUAUAAAUAUCAUAUGAGGAGGUGGUGGUCCAGCGCCCUAUAGGCGGUGGUUCUUGUUCUUCUCCUGCAUCGUCGUCCAUACUGUCGAUGUCUUCGGAGUCGAAGUCAAGCACGUCAGUUAAGUCAUCGACAGUGGCUACAAAGUGGGUGGUGGGUGGGGGACGAAUUUCUUCGUCGUUCGCUCCCCACUCGAGCCAGGCAUAGUUCGGCCAAGAGUCUCCUGACAAGGACAGAGACCUUAAUGAGUUCAGCACAUCACCCAAGGGUGAGUAGUGAAAAAUAUCCGCAGCGGUGAACUCCAUGACGGGUGCCCAAUCUUAUUCGAUAGGCACGGACGCACGCGGUUCGGAUCCUACAACUGGGGAAGAGUCUGGGGGUCUGACGACACCACUCUCAUAGGAGGUGGGAUCAGCGUUCGGCUCUAAUGCCGAUGAGUGUGCGGCCUCCGUGGCAGGGUCCAUCCACCCGUCCUCGGAAGGCACGAUCUGCUCCGGAUUGAUUCCCGGCGCCAACGAGGGUGCGAUUUCCCGAACACUAUCCAACGGCGGAUCAAAGUCAUGUCCGUCGUGACUGUUCGGUGCACCUUUCAUGGGCUCGAACCCGUCAAAGAUCAAGUGUCCGCGGAUGUCGGCACUGUAGUUUAAGCUUCCAAACCUGACUUGAUGGCCAGGGGCAUAGCUAUCGAUCUGCUCCAGAUGGCCAAGCAAGUUGGCCCGCAGUACGAAGCCGCCAAAUACGAAGAUCUGUCCGGGAAGGAAAACCUCCCCCUGGACCGCAUCGUUAAAGAUGAUUGAAGGGGCCAUCAAGCCUUACAGUGAUGGCACGGUGGAACUCUCAAUGAAAGCACCAAUGUCGGUGUCAAAACCGGCGGAUCUCGGGUAGGGGGUCCCAAAUUGUGUGUCUAAGGCUAAUGGUAACAGGAGGCAGGGGACACGAUGUUUUACCCAGGUUCGGGCCCUCUCGAUGGAGGUAAUACCCUACUUCCUGCUGGAUUGAUCUUGAUGAUAUGAGUAUUACAAGAUUUGAUCUACCACGAGAUCGUAGAGGCUAAACCCUAGAAGCUAGCCUAUGAUUAUGAUUGUUCUUCUACGGACUAAACCCUCCGGUUUAUAUAGACACCGGAGGGGGCUAGGGUUACACAGAGUCGGUUACAGAGAAGGAAAUCUACAUAUCCGAAUAUCCAAGCUUGCCUUCCACGCAAAGGAGAGUCCCAUCCGGACAUGAGAUGAAGUCUUCAAUCUUGUAUCUUCAUAGUCCAACAGUCCGGCCAAAGUAUAUAGUCCGGCUGUCCGAGGACCCCUUAAUCCAGGACUCCCUCAUUGCCGAUGCCUUGUGGGCAGGGCUGGUUCCCCCCUUCUCUGCUUUCUUCAAUGCAGUGCUUUCCCACUACCAGAUCCACACGAUGCAUCUUGGUCCCCAAUCCAUUACUCUUCUUGUUGUCUUUGCCUUCGUCUGUGAGGCCAUGGUGGGCAUCCCCCCUUCCGUUGCUCUUCUGCGCCACUUCUUCUCUCUGCACCUGACUGACCCAUCUCAAUUCUCGUGGUGCGCGAGCUUCCAUGCCGUGCCGGAGACGGCCGCCUCGGGGAUCGAUUUUGGUCUUCCAUCUUCUGCGAGCGGGUUCCGGGAGCGGUGGCUGUAUGUGGAUGUCGGGGUGCCCAGCCCCCUGCUCACGCACCCUACGUUGCCUGCUGUCCCGAAUCCAGGUUGGGGCCACGAGAAGCUCACGAGCCCCCAGCUUGCUUUUGUCUGGUGUCGCUUCGAGAGGUUGAGAACGCUUGGCGUGACGGCGCCCCAGGUGGUGAAGGAGUUCCUCUAGUGCUGCAUCGCUCCUCUCCAGUGCCACUCCCGUCUGAUGUGGACUUUUACUGGGCAUCAAGACCGCAUGAGGCUCCAGGAAGGGGAUCUUGCGCCUGAAAUGCUGAGGAAGGUGCUGAGAGUCUUGACUGGCAACCCCUCUCCAGGCAGUGUUCGACAUGGGGGCGCCCUCUUGUAUCUCUGCUCAGGCAGGGCCGAGUUCGUGAGGCAGAUGCCCCGCUUCGACGAAUGGGGGCUGUGCCCAGCUGGCCUCGUGGGGCCCCAUGAGAAUCCGGUUGCCAUGGCUCCUCCCCCCGUCGCCCAUGCCAGUCCUGCCUCAGGAGGUGGUGCAGGGAGGCAAGCAUCCCCGGGAGCUGGGGGUCUAAUGUCGAGGCGCCAAUGUCGCGCGGGGCUCCCGAGGCGUCAUCCUCCGGAGCUUACGGAGCCCAUCCCGAGGUGGUGGCUGAUGAGGGGACGCGACCUGCGGCUCCCGAGGCCGAAACUCCCAAGGCCUCGGCAGGCCACCAAGAGGUGGCACCUGAUCGCUCCUCUCAGCCUAGCACCCUUGAUGCAAGUCAUCUCGAUGCUUCUUCAUCCAUGCCACGCGCCGGCCCUCACGUCGAGAGCUUGGGCCGGUUCCGCAUAGACUUCGACGCCCUCCGCAAGAGGAAGGAAGCUUCAGGUGGCAAUGAUCGCCCUGUCGCCCGUUGAAGCACAGGAAGUACUUCGCCAUGGACGAGUAAGCUCCUCCUUCUUGUAACUUCUUGUUUGCCGUUCCCUUCGCUGACUGUGUCCUUUCAGGAUCCCUCCUGCGGAGCCUGCGGAGCCAGCCAAGGAGCCGCCUCCUCAGGCUUCGUCUUCAGCACCGACCUUAAGCGUCCCGAGAUUGUGCGCCACUCCUGACGCGAGCCCGACUGGAGAUGUCGGCCGACCCGAGGUGUGCCUCGAUCCCGUGUGCAUGCCGCCCUUCCUUCGCGAGCUUUCCUGAGGCACGACCAGCUUGCCCCGUGCUCCUCCCCUGAUCAUGGGUGGUGCGUGGUUGAAGUCGAUCUUCGGCUCCUCUUCAGGGGAUGGAUCGGCGCCAGGCUGGGUCCCUUGCAGGGCCCGUCCGGCAAUUAUGGGGGCGCGAGCCCCCAGCCCCCUGCCGAGAGGGGGCGAGCCACUUCAGGGCCCUCCGCCGAUGCCGAUGGCGGAGGGCGAUGCUUAUGACGUGCUCAGGCGUGUGCGGGAGCGCAGCACCGUUCGCCGACAGUUUCUCUAGAAGGUGACAGAUGCGGUGAGCCAUCUUGGUGUAGAGCUCGCGGGCGAGGAUGCGCGUCUUGAAGCUGAAGGCAUGUGGCUGGCUGAGAAACGACGCACGCUGAAGAUGGCCGUUAGCCUUGCGCGUCACCAGCGUGAUCUUGACAACGUGAAGGCUAAAGCAUCCCUGGCGGCCUCGCGGAAGGCCUGCUCCCGAGCCAUCGAGGAGGCUCAGGAGGCAGACCGAUGACGCGAGGUCGCGGAGGAGCGCACGUGAUAGCUCCAAGCCUGGUGCAAUUCCCUGGAGCAGCAAGUGGAGCUGCGCCAAGCUGCCCUUGCAUCGAUGAAAGGGGCGCCCAUUAAAGAGGAGGAGCUCCAGAGGCGUGAGGAAGCGCUGACACUGGAGGCUGCCGAGCACAACCUCGACCUUGAACGGCUGGAGACGAGGGAGCGCCAAGUGACCCAGGCGGAGGAUGACGUUGGCGGGCGGGAGGUCUGAAUCCAAGAAGAGAUCGACCGCCGCGUGGCGGAAGUUCGCGUGAGUCUUGAGCGCGAGUAUGAAGAGAGGUUGGAGAUGAUCAAGGUCGAGGCCGCGGGCAGGACCGCCGCUCUUAGGACCAAGCUGACCGAAGCGAUGCAGCGUGUUGAGGCCACCGCAGCUGCCCUAGGUGCGGCGCAGGCUGAGCUGGCCUCCUCUCGUGCCAAGCUGCUUCUCCUCCAACAGAGGGUUGAUGACGUUGAGUCCGUUGCACGGUGAAACGAAGAUGAGAUUCACCGGCGGCAGACGCUAGAGCAUAUGCAUGGCCCCAUGCUCCGAACACUCAGGGAAAGGGCCAACGCGGCCUUGGGCAACAUCUGUGAAGCAGUUGCUGAGGAGCCUCAUGUGACCAACAAUCUCCGGUUCUUCACGGACGUGGUGACACAUCUGGAGAAUCGCUCUGAGAGGGCUCGCCAGCUUGUCGAGGAGCGGAGUCGCGGCCUGCUCGCACGGACAUUCUCCCGUGUCUUCAACCAUCUUCAGAACAUCGACCUCCUCUUUGACUUUGAUGCUGCCAUCGCCCCGGUGCCCGAGGCCAUCCGAGGCGACCUAACGCAAUGGGUGGAGGACAACAUGGAUGCACUUGUUAGAGCCUUCACCUCUGACGAUGACGGGGUGGUUGUUGCUGCUGAUGAAGGCGACAUGGUGAACGACGGUGAAGACGGUGCCAACGACGGCGAGGGUGAGGCCAGCAACAGCGACAGUGGCGCCAGCGACGCCUCUGGAGAUGACCAAGAGGAUGCGGUGAGCGACAUGUCCAAUUGAUCCUACGCCCCCUGCUGUUUACCCUACGCAGAAAAAGCUCGGGCGUGGCCCUGAAGGUUGUAAGAGCAUUUUGGGAGGGGAAGCCCCUCAUGUAAAAAGGAUUGUUGUCCACGCGUUAUUAAGGAUGACACCGAAUGGGCGCCCGUAUGAGGUCAUGGUUUCCACGAUGAGUUGGUCGCCGUGAUUUUACCUUUAUCUUGGCAAGUUUUGAGUAGGCUUGCGGCGACUCUCCAAGGGUCCCUCGGGAGACCCGUUGACCAUGUGGCGACAGCCUGGAGAGAGCGAGCGCCAGCCGCGGGGCAGCAGGCGUGUGUGCUAGACCCGGCCCUGCUCGCGAGGGGCUCACGAGAGGGAGGCAGCUAGUGCGGAUUCCAACUUGAGCAGAAACUGGAACACGAGAAAGCACGCGAACAAGACAAGACACCCCUCCCUGCAUACGCAAACACAAAUUCAACUUCAGCUCAGAUCCGAAACGAGAAAGCUUGACCACACAAAAGGAAGCAAAAGCAAAAGGCCGCGUCCGGCACCUAGUCUAGUCUUUGACAUCCUCUCACCAGCGCGGAGCUAAGUGCUGCCACUGGGCGUGGGAGGGAGCCCCGAGGCCCGAGGGCAGCUCUCCAGAGACUCCGGGGCGUGUACAGCCCCAACUCAUUAUUACGUGAGAGUGUCACGAGCGGCGAGCUUCACAGGCACUGGGCCUUCUUCACAGGUACCGGCCUUGCUUCAUAUCGCCAGAUGAGGGCCCCGCCUUGCGCCACCCUUGACCACCAUCGACGGUGACCGGAAACCAGGACGACGCCAAUGGGGAAAAGGGGACACCAACGGUUCCCCCGACAACCACGGGUUCUCUGCCGGGGGCAGGCCUUAUGGCACCUACCCGGUAGAGGGCCUACCUCCGAGGAACACCUUACUCUGUGCGCCUUGGGGAGGGGCCUGGCUCCCAGCCCCUCUCUUGCAGCCCCCAGUGCCCUCCUCCUGAGGGGAGGGAGGUUGCUGCACUGGGGCAGCCAUCCGCUGCAGCGACCUGGACUCCCUGCGACCCAUGGUUAGUAUAAGCUUGCUCCUGAGGAAUUAGCAGUACCCGAUAACUGCUGCCACCAGCGUGGUUGGCGGGGCUUCCUUGAGGCUCCUGAAAGGGUUCGGCUUCUGGCGUCUCUUCCUCCCAGCAUGGCCCGAGGAAUGAGCUGUGGUCUUCUUCCAGUGCGUACUCUCCAUCCACCAUGUGGGGCACAUAAGCCUCCGGGGUCGCCGCCCCAAAGGCCUCGUCGUAGUGCCCCACGCUCCACGCGGUUUGGCUUGAAGCACCAUCCUGGGGGUGGUAGGGCAGCGGCCCGCCCGGGCCGUAGGUAGCGAUGCGGAUGCCCUCGCUUACCAGGGGCGGUGCCGAAGCAGCUUGUCGCCCAGUGCUGACGGCCAAGCUGGUGUUGAUGAAGCCUUGAGGUACGUUCGGGGGCGCGCGGGCACAGAUGGGCCCACUGUGUGAUCCGCCCGGGGCCUGGGGUGGAAGCUGGACGCAGAAUGGAGGUGCUCCUGAAGCAGUGGCAUCCAGGAGCUCAGCGACGCGCUCCAGCAGCACAUCGCGACCGCUUUCUUGCAGUCUGCACCGCAGCAGUUCUCGAGCCACCGUGAGCGCGGCCUUCAUGUUCGCCUGUUCCCAUCGGGUGUGCAGUACUGUGGCCGCGGCGUGGUUUGAGGCCCUUGCUGUUGAUCACACUUGCCACGGGGUGAGGGCAGGCAGCGCUUGACCGCGUCGCCCGUGCCCCGCAGCAUUCUGCAGAGCACGGGCUGCCUGAGGCGCGGGGUUGAGGUCACCUUGGGCAGGCGGCGCGACAUGGGCAGGCCAUGCCGCCCAGCGGUCGGCGUUGGCCGUCGGGUCGCCGGGCAUGGAGGCGACAAAGCGGUGGAACGCUAGACGGCAGAAGAAAGAUUCCGGCACACCCCUACCUGGCGCACCAAAUGUCAGAUAUCGGGUUCCGACAAAACCCUUAAGGUUCGAACACUAGGGUGCGCGCGAAGAUCUUUCCCCUACCAACCCACGUCCGAACGCCUUGCUGAGAAUCUAAGCUAAACGAUGAACAACAUGAGGGACACAAGAUUUAUACUGGUUCGGGCCACCGUUAUGGUGUAAUACCCUACUCCAGUGUGUGGUGUGGUGGAUUGCCUCACGGGCUGAUGAUGAACAGUACAAGGGAAGAACAACCUCGCGAGAGGUGUUCUUCGAUGGUGGUUUGCUCGAGAAGGAUUCGAUCCACUCUCGAUGAGAUGCCUCUCUACUGUGGUGGCUAGCCCUAUUUAUAGAGGCCCUGGUCCUCUUCCCAAAUAUUGAGCGGGAAGGGCGCCAACAACGGCCAUUUUGAAGGGGAACAUCUAGUACAAGUUAUCCUAACUAAAGGUGGUCUUCGACUGCUAAAGUACUCGCGAUGACGCCGUCUUGGGCUCCACAGUGACCUCCGUCCCGUCGCUCUGCUGGUCCUGAUCUCGUUGCACCGAAAUGGUAACCUUUUCUUGAUGCCUUGGUACUCCGCGCCUGUGCUUGCAUCCUUUGCACCAAAGAGGAAACAAGGACACUGCGUAGGCCGGCGCCCGCCUGGCCUCGAUCGUCAUGGAUUGCAUCACGAGCACCUCGCGAGGUACCCUUUCCUUGAUCUCUCCGCCUCCUCGCGAGCCUGCCUGGUGAGGCCACUCCUGAGGAAGCCUUGCGUCAUCCGCCCUGCGAGGCUUGGCCUCUCGCGAGAGUCUUGAGCUUGAGUUGAUGAAUAUGGGCCGUACUGGGCCACCACUUGAGCCACGCUGCAGGUCGCAGCCAGGCAAGUCUGGGGACCCCCGUUCCCAGAAUGUCGACAAUCUCCUAGAUAGAUCUUGCGUGAUCUUAGGAAUUUUUUGAAUUACCACGUUCCCCAACAGGGACUCCAAACCUCAGAAAAAUAAGUUCUUUAAACAUCUUGAUAGUAGUGGUAUGAUCAGCACUACUAAUUGGAAAAGCUUCUACCCACUUAGUAAGUAAUAAAUAGCAACUAAAAUAUGUGUAUACCCAUUGGAGGAAGGAAAAGGUCCCAUAUAGUCAAAGCCCCAAACAUCGAAUGGUUCAAUAACAAGUGAAUAGUUCAUAUGCAUUUCCCGACGUCUACUUAUAUUACCAAUUCUUUGGCAUUCAUCACAAGACAAGACAAACUUACGAGCAUCUUUGAAGAGAGUAGGCCAAUAAAAACUGGAUUGCAAUACCUUAUGUGCAGUUCUAUCUCCAGCAUGGUGUCCUCCAUAAACCUCAGAGUGACACUUGCGUAAGAUAUGUUCCUAUUCAUGCUCAGGUACACAACAUCUAAUAACAUCAUCUACUCCUUCUUUAGAAAGUUGUGGAUCACCCCAAAAGUAAUGUCUUAAAUCAUAGAAAAACUUUUUCUUUUGCUGGUAUGUGAAACUAGGUGGUAUAAAUUUAGCAAUAAUAUAAUUAGCAUAAUCAGCAUACCAUGGAGCAGUACGAGAAGCAUUUAUGACAACUAAUUGUUCCUCAGGAAAGCUAUCAUCAAUAGGCAGUGGGUCAUCAAGAACAUUUUCUAACUUAGACAAGUUGUCUGCAACGGGGUUCUCAGCUCCCUUUCUAUCAAUAAUAUGCAAAUCAAAUUCUUGUAGCAAGAGAACCCAUCUAAUAAGUCUAGCUUUAGCAUCUUUCUUUUCCAUAAGAUAUUUAAUAGCAGCAUGAUCAGUGUGAACAGUUACUUUGGAAUCAACAAUAUAAGGCCUGAAGUUAUCACAAGCAAAUACAACUGCUAAAAGUUCUUUUUCAGUAGUAACAUAAUUUCUUUAGGCAUUGUCUAGAGUUUUACUAACAUAUUGGAUAACAUUUAAUUCCUUAUCAACUCUUUGUCCUAGUACAUCACCAACAGCAUAAUCACUAGCAUCACACGUAAUUUCAAAUGGUAAAUUCCAAUCAGGUGGCUGAACAAUAGGUGCAUAAAUCAAGGCUUUCUUAAGUAUUUCAAAUGCUUCUACACAAUCAUCAUCGAAAACAAAAGGAACAUCUUUUUGCAAAAGAUUAGUGAGAGGCUAGAAAUUUUAGAGUCUUUAAUAAACCUCAUAUAGAAACCAGCAUGACCAAGAAAACUUCUUAUACCUUUGAUAUCUUUAGGACACGACAUCUUUCCAAUAGCAUCUACUUUAGCUUUAUCAACUUCAAUACCUCUUUCAGAAAUUUUAUGCCCCAAGACAAUACCUUCAUUAACCAUAAAGUGGCACUUCUCCCAAUUCAAGACAAGAUUAGUUUCUUUGCAUCUCUGCAAAACUCGAUCAAGGUUGCUUAAGCAAUCAUCAAAAGAAGUUCUAUAAACGGAGAAAUCGUCCAUGAAAACCUCAACAUUCUUUUCACAAAAAUCAGAGAAUAUAGCGGUCAUACAUAUUUGAAAGGUAGCAGGUGCAUUGCAUAAACCAAAUGGCACACGUCUAUAAGCAAAGGUACCGAAAGGGCAAGUAAAAGUGGUCUUUUCCAGAUCCUCUUUUGACACGGGUAUUUGAGAGAAGCUAGAAUAGCCAUCUAGAAAGCAAAAAUGUGUAUGUUUGGAUAGUCUUUCUAGUAUUUGAUCAAUAAAAGGUAAAGGGUAACGUUCUUUUCUAGUGGCUUUAUUUAAUUUGUGGAAAUCAAUUGCCAUUCUAUACCCUGUAACAAUUCUUUAUGGGAUCAAUUCAUUCUUAUCAUUAGGAACAACAGUAAUACCUCCCUUCCUAGGGACACAAUGAACGGGACUUACCCACUGACUAUCAACAAUAUGAUAAAUUAUACCUGCCCACAUAAGCUUUAGUAUUUCAUUUCUUACCACUUCUUUCAUCUUAGGAUUUAACUGUUGUUGAUGAUCAACAACUGGUUUAGCAUCUUUCUCCAAUUAUAUUUUCUGCUGGCAUAGACUGGGACUAAUGCCCUUAAUAUCAUCAAGAGUAUAUCCAAUAGCAGCACAGUGCUUCUUUAGAGUUUUUAACAAUUUCUCCUCUUCAUGCUCUGAAAGGUUAGCACUAAUAAUAACAAGAUAUAUCUUCUUUUCAUCGAGAUAAGCAUAUUUAAGAGUAUCAGGUAAUUGUUUAAGCUCAAACACGGGAUCACCCUUGGGUGGAGGAGGAUCUCCGAGAAUCUCAACAGGCAAAUUGUGUUUCAAAGUAGGUCCCUGAUUAAAGAAUACUUCAUUUAUUUCCCUUCUUUCAGUCAUAAAUAUAUCAUUUUCAUGGUCUAGCAAAUAUUGUUCUAAAGGAUCAUUAGGAGGUACGGCAAUAGAAGCAAGACCAAUAAUUUCAUCCUUACUAGGCAAUUCUUUAUCAUGGGGUUGUCUACGAAAUUUAGCAAAAUUAAAGUCAUGAGGCAUAUCCCCUAAACCAACAGUAACAAUAUCUUUUUUGCAGUCUAUCUUAGCAUUAACAGUAUUCAAGAAGGGUCUACCAAAAAUAAUGGAACAGAAGCCAUCUUGUGGGGAACCAAGAACAAGAAAAUCAAUAGGAUAUUUAAUUCUCCCACACAAGACUUCAACAUCUCUAACAAUCCCAAUUGGUUAAAUAGUAUCUCUAUUGGCAAGCUUAAUAGUAACAUCAAUACCUUCUAACUCAGCAGGUGCAAUAUCAUGCAUAAUUUCUUUGUAUAACGAAUGAGGUAUUGCACUCACACUAGCACCCAUAUCACAUAAGCCAUGAUAACAAUGAUCUCCUAUUUUAACAGAAACAAUAGGCAUGCCAACAACAGGUCUAUGUUUAUCUUCAGUAUCGGGUUUAGCAAUUCUAGCAGCUUCAUCACAUAAAUAAAUAACAUGUCCAUCAAUAUUAUCGACCAAGAGAUCUUUAACCAUAGCAAUACUAGGUUCAACUUUAAUUUGUUCAGGGGGUGUAGGUGUCCUAGUAUAACUCUUACGAACCACAUUCGAAGCUUUAGCAUGAUCCUUUAUUCUAAUAGGGAAAUGUGGUUUCUCAAUAUAAGCAGUAGGAACAAUAGGAUUAACUUUAUAAGUAAUGGUUUCUUCUUCAACUUUAAUAGGUUUUACUACUUUCACUUCAAUGGGAGGAUGAUAUUUAAACCACUUCUCCUUAGGGAGAUCAACAUCAGUAGCAAAUGAUUCACAGAAAGAAGCUACUAUCUCAGAGUCAAGUCCAUAUUUAGUGCUAAAAUCAUGAAAAGCAUCGGUAUCCAUAAAAGGUUUAACACAAUCAAACUUCGGGGUUAUACCUGACUCCUUACCUUCGUCGAGUUCCCAGUCUUCAUAGUUGCGUUUAAUUCUUUCCAAUAAAUCCCAUUUGAAUUCAAUAGUCUUCAUCAUAAAAGAACCAGUGCAAGAAGUAUCAAGCAUGGAGUGAUCAUUAUGAUAAAGUCGAGCAUAAAUUUUUUGAAUAAUAAUUUCUCUUGAGAGCUCAUGAUUGGGGCAUGAAUAUAACAUUGAAUUAAGUCUCCCCAAGCUUGAGCGAUACUUUCUUCUUCACGAGGCCAAAAAUUAUAUAUAUAAUUCUGAUCAUGAUGAACCAGAUGCAUAGGAUAAAACUUCUGAUGAAAUUCCAAUUUCAAUCGGUUGUAGUUCCAUGAUCUAAUAUCAUCACAUAGCCUAUACCAUGUCAAUGCCUUUCCCUUCAAAGAUAAAAGGAAGACCUUAUUGACAACAUCCUCAGACAUACCUGCAAGCUUAAAUAAUCCACAAACUUCAUCCACAUAGAUUAGGUGCAUAUCGGGAUGUAAAGUUCCAUCUCCUGUAUAGGGAUUAGCUAGCAGUUUCUCUAUCAUAAUCGAAGGAAUUUCAAAGUAAAUAUUUUCAAUAGGUUCAGUAGGUUGAGGAGCAACUCUUUGCUCUUCUGGUCGGGGUGAAGAUGCCCCGAACAAGCCCCUCAAAGGAUUAUUUUCCAUAGUAACGAGUGACAGUAAAUUUCAGCACACUAUAUAAAUGUUUCCUUACCAAAUUUCACUUACCAAAGGCGCUUCACUCCCCGGCAACGGUGCCAGAAAAGAGUAUUGAUGACCCACAAGUAUAGAGGAUCUAUCUUAGUCCUUUCGAUAAGUAAGAGUGUCGAACCCAACGAGGAGCAGAAGGAAAUGACAAGCGGUAUUCAGCAAGGUAUUCUCUGCAAGUACUGAAAUUAUCGGUAGCAAAUAGUUUUGUGAUAAGAUAAUUCAUAACGGGUAACAAGUAACAAAGGUAACUAAGGUGCAGAAAGGUGGCCCAAUCCUUUUUCUAGCAAAGUACAAGCCUGGACGAACUCUUAUAUAAAGCAAAGUGCUCCCGAGGACACAUGGGAAUUACUGUCAAGCUAGUUUUCAUCAUGCUCAUAUGAUUCACGUUCGUUACUUUGAUAAUUUGAUAUGCGGGUGGCCCGGUGCUUGGGUGUUGUCCUUACUUGGACAAGCCUCCCACUUAUGAUUAACCCCUCUCGCAAGCAUCCACAACUACGAAAUAAGAAUUAAGGUAAACCUAACCAUAACAUGAAACAUUUGGAUCCAAAUCAGCCCAUUACGAAGCAACACAUAAACUAGGGUUUAAGCUUCUGUCGCUCUAGCAACCCAUCAUCUACUUAUUACUUCUCAAUGCCUUCCCCUUGGCCCAAAUCACGAUGAAGUGUCAUGUAGUCGACGUUCACAUAACACCACUAGAGGAGAGACAACAUAUAUCUCAUCAAAAUAUCGAACGAAUACCAAAUUCACAUGAUUACCAAUGACAAGACUUCUCCCACGUCCUCAGGAACAAACGUAACUACUCACAAAACAUAUUCAUGUUCAUAAUCAGUGGAGUAUUGAAUAGCAUUAAGGAUCCGAACAUAUGAUCUUCCACCGAAUAAACAAACUAGCAUCAACUACAAGGAGUAAUCAACACUACUAGCAACCCACAGGUACCAAUCUAAGGUUUUGAGACAAAGAUCGGAUACAAGAGAUGAACUAGGGUUUGAGAGGAGAUGGUGCUGGUGAAGAUGUUGAUGGAGAUUGACCCCCUCUCGAUGAGAGGAUCGAUGGUGAUGGCGAUGGAGGUGAUUUCCCCCUCCCGGAGGGAUGCUUCCCCAGCAGAAUAGCUCCGUCGGAGCCCUAGAUUGGCCCUGCCCAUGUUCCGCCUCGAGACGGCGGCGCUUUGUCCCGAAAGCUUCUCUAUGAUUUUGUUUCCAGGGUAAAGAUGCCAUAUAGCAGAAGAUGGGAGUCUGAGGCCUGCCAGGGGGCCCACGAGGCAGGGGGCGCGCCCAGUGGGGUAGGGCGCACCCUCCACCCUCGUGGCUGACUGGUGGCCCCCCUCUGGUGCUUUCUUUGCCUGAUAUUUUUAAUAUAUUCCGAAACUGAUCUCCAUGAAGUUUCAGGACUUUUGGAGUUGUGCAGAAUAGGUCUCUAAUAUUUGCUCCUUUUCCAGUCCAGAAUUCCAGCUGCCGGCACUCUCCCUCUUCAUUUAAACCUUAUAAAAUAAGAGAGAAAAGGCAUAAGUAUUGUGAUAUAACAUGUAAUAACAGCCCAUAAUGCAAUAAAUAUUGAUAUAAAAGCAUGAUGCAAAAUGGACGUAUCAAGGGGUUGUUUCCCACGCCCCUCCACCUAUAUAUAGAGGGGAGGGGGCGCCCCAAGAGGAUACACCAAGCCCUUGACGCCCCUCUCUCUCCCGUUACUCCGUAGUUCCACCGCCUCGUCCCGGCGACGCUUAGCGAAGCGCUGUUGGUGCUUCACCACCACCAUCACCCCCACGCCAUCGUGUUGGUUGUGACCCAUCUAUUUCUUCUCUCCCGCUUGCUAGAUCAAGAAGGAUGAGACUUCAUUGAGCCGCACGUGUGCUAAACUCGGAGGUGCCGUCCGUUCGGCACUAGAUCGGUUGGAUCGUGAUCGGAUCGCGAAGAGUAUGAUUACAUCAACCACGUGAUAAACGCUUCUGCUUAGCGAUCUACAAGGGUAUGUAGAUGCCCUUCCCCUCUCGUAGCUAUGCAUCUCCAUGGAUAGAUCUUGUGCGUAUUUUGUUUUUGUUUUUCAUGCAACGUUCCCCUACAGUUUCUGUGAGUAGAAAUAUCAUAUAUCCUAUGGAAUUUAUGUAAUUUAAUCUUACGAUACACACAUAAUGGAUAUUCUUUGUUAGGAUUAUAAUCCUCUGAAAUUCGUUAGUUCCAAAGAGAGCCCAAACAUGGAUGUUUUAAUCAUAAGAAUUUGUAUAAUUACUUUUUUUGCUUAGUGUGUAGAACAAGCACUAAUUUGGUUUCGUCGCUUGUGGCGGUCCAGUUCAUCGGCUCAAAAAGCAUCCUCGUAUGCGAAAGUGCUCCUCCAAAUCUAGGUAUGAUGGCAGUUCCCUCUUUGUUUAGCGUUGCCUCAGCGGCAGUGGAGGACGAUGGUGGGCAACGUUUCAGCAUGGCUCAAGAUUCUGCGAGAGUGAAAUUCUAAUUUUACUUCUUGCGGAGUCUUUGAUGCAAUAUUGCAAGAUAUCUAUGUAUGCAUUUUAUGGUGACCAUAUGUGAACUCUAUGUAAUCUGUUGGUCUAAUGAAAUAUAUGCAUGUUUAUUUCAAAAAGAAAAUAAAUAAUAUGUGCCCUUCAAGCACACUCUUGCUUAAAGUUUAUUUUUCCUUUUCCUGUUCAACAUUUUCUUUGAAGAAACAUCGAGUACAUCAUAGACACAUCACUAUCACCAUCACCACACGUCACUCACACGAACAUGUACCGAAGACUGCAGUCAUGGAGUUUCUAAAAUUGACGUAGCCAUAAAAAACACGAGCAAAAUCGAUGACACCAUUAAUUUUUUUCGUCCAAUGAUGCAUAAUACUAUUUUUACACGUAGAAUAGAAACUGAGGCUCCCUCUCAUCUAUAUUAUUUGUUGCUGGUUUAACAUAUACUAUUCCCUCCGUUUUUUAAUAUAAGUUGUCGUCUUUUAUUGGAAUCUAUAAAAAAACUUAUGUUUAGAAACGGUGGGAGUAAUAGAUAAGAGAACAUGGAGUACCAAUGGAUAUCUUUUUUUUUUUUUGAGGGUGUACCAAUGGAUAUCGAUGUAUAAACAACUGACAAGAAAAAGGAGUCGGCACGAAAGCUCCUAGCCUUAAAAAAACACACCGCCGAGUAGGACAUGCCCCACACAGACGCCUCCUAGUGGCCCCACCCUUCAGUCCCCUCUCCCAUCGGCCCAGUCACAUCAGCCUCACGUGCGCCAAACCCCCAACCCCACUCCACGUGCCCCUUCUCCCUUCCCUCGCCGCCAGGUGGGUCCCGGGCCCGCAUGCCAUCGACACAGCAGCAGCGACGCGCCCACCGCAGCGAUAAAGCAAGAGAGGCACGGGAUAAAUAUAAAUAAAAUAAAGCGGGUGGGAGGAAACCUACAGACGUAAAGCCGCCGCUUCGUGUCGACGCGACGCCCUCCAGACCUCCAUCCUCCUCCUCGUCUCCGCGCCUGGACCUCGCGCGCAUCUCGCCCGCCCCCCUCUCACUCGCCCAGGUCUAGGGUUCCGGCGCCCGAUUCGGGCCGAAUUGGACGGCGCCGCGGCGGAUCGGGGGUCGGAGGAGCGCGGGCGAGAGAUGACGGGGAAGAAGCGGAAGGCGGAGGCGGCGCGGCUGGACGAGACGGACCGGGCCAUGUACGGCGCGUUCCGGGGCGCCGCCAACUCCCUCUCGCAGCUCUACACGCUCGCCAUGGGCGGCCAGAAGCUCUCCUUCCAGGCCGGCGAGCGCCACGCCAUGGUACGUGCGUGCGGUUCUUUCUUUCAUGGCGUGGUUGUUGAUUAAACUGAUUGACUGAUGGGUUGAUUGAUUUGUGCGCUGCUUCUGUUUCUCACUUGUGUUGUGUCAGUGGUGUGGGAGACCGGAUUCUGUUUCGUUGAAUUCGCCUCUUUUUGUGGUGAUGAAAAUAAUUUGGAUUAGGGGCAGUUAAGACUCAGACAAUGAGGAAUUUUAGUGCUAGAACCUUAUCCUUUGUGGUUGUGGUUAGUGUAGAUUGUUCUUGUAAUUAGAUCGUUCAGGGGCAAGCGAGAUGGCCCUUUCGCUGGAUGUGUGAUGAAGUUUGUUUCAGUUUUGGGCAUGUUUCCUCCGUUUACCUGCAAAUUCUGCUUCAACUUUGCAGUUACGUGUGGCAAUUCUGAGUAUUUUUCUGGGGGGUGGGGGAUGAUGACUUUUGCCGAAGCUCCUUGUCACAGUGUGUGCUCUGACAUCACUGAAUAAUAUAUUGAUGUGCAAUAGCCAAUAAUUCAUAGAGCACUCUUGUAGUGCUGCGUACAACAACUCUGAUUAGAAUUGGCAAUCUUUGUAUGGCUAUGGAGGUUAUGCAAAGCGGAAGACGGGAGACUUCGCUUAUAGGGCAGGUUGCUUCUGGGCUAGUACUAAGGAGUCAUCCUUUUCAGCUUUACUUCAACUGGUGCACUGCUAUGUGGAAAGUCUCACCGUUAGGUGUGUAAUGUUUCUUCUAAACACGGAAGGCAUCCUUGGCAUUGGGAUUCAGUAUCUUAUGUUAUGGUUCUGGUCAGAACCUUACAUGUUGUUCAUCAUCGCUAUGUUGUAUGCUUAGCUUCUUUCUAGUCUUAGUUUCCAUACUACUACAAUGUUAGGCUGUGGAAUUCAAUUGCGUUAAAAUCUUUUCCUGAGAAUUAUCUGCUCAACUCAUUGACCGAAACACUAGAAGAUGCACCAAAAUAAACAUUUGUUUUACAAACUGGAUUAGUGUUAAGUCCAGAUGUGUUUUUGGUCACUUUUGUUUUUGUUUUGGUGUAGAAGCACUGCCUUGUAUUCAUAUGACUUAUAAUUUGUAGUGGGUUUACAUUGCAGAGUGGUUGAACAGCUACUCCCUCUGUAAAGAAAUAUAAGAGCAUUUAGAUCACUAUUGAGUGAUCUAAAUGCUCUUAUAUUUCUUUACGGAGGGAGUAGUUCGUUAUGUUUGCAAGUAAGAUUUAUUUAUUUGUCAUGAUCAUCGUCUUGUUGUUCUGAUGACUAUUGCUGUUGAAUGCCAGCUAAAUAGUUUAAUCUAUACAGAUAAUGUGGGAUUUGACCAGAGUUUUCUUACCAACGCUUAAAACUAAGCAUAGCGUUGAAGUAUGGUAUUGCAACUUUUCCCUAUAAUGUACUACUGUCAGGAUUGGAUACAUCCUGAGUUUCUUAAUUUAUGUUUCAGGACUGCAAACAAUUUUCUUUUUUCUUUGGCAUGUUACCUUUGAGUUAUGAAUAAUUCCUACCAACUCUAUGACUAUGCAUGCCAUAUAUGUUUUAAACACACAGUACCUUCACAAUGUUGGCCGCAAAAGUGUCAAUAAAUGGAACAGAAGAAAAUUUGUGUCAUAUUUUCAGGCUUUUGUAUGUAAUGAAUAGCCGUGUUGGGUCAUUGGCCUCAACCCCUGGCCAUGGUUGGCGGCAGCCAUGUCUUGAGGUGAUGAGGAAUCAGUGAAGUUUGUAGGAGAAUACAGGGGAUUAAUUCAUCACAUGAUUGCUCUCUUAUAAAGGAGAGAUAUAUUAACGAUCAAAAUAAGAAUCUGAUACAAGUCAAUCUAAAUCUUAUUUAGGAUUCAAAUUACUAACAUAUUCUUAAUGAUAUCUUUUAUCCUAUUCGCUUUAUUCUCUUAUCCUAACUGCUUGGGCGCCUAACUUUCUUGUGCUAGUUGUGCAUUGCAUGUUCGCUAUAUUAAGGUCCCACAUGACAUAGUGAUUCUAGAUAUUAAGGUCCCACAUGACAUAGUGAUUCUAGACAAUGGUAUACGUCCCAAGUGUUGAACCAAUUAAUCCUGUCAACGCGUGGAAUCCAUCAAGAAUUGUACCUGCUAGCAAGCAGCAGUUGUAUUUUCUUUUAUAGAAUAGCACCUUCCACCUUUCAAAGUUCUUUCUUUGGCUGGCAGAAAUCUGUCUUUCUUCUCUUCCCUUUUUUCACAAACGUUUUUCAUUGUCUGUCCCAUUUGAGCAGGAAAAGCUGUAUGAAUGGAUCUUAAGACAGCAUGAAAAUGGUUUGAGGCUGACAGUUGCUGAUAUAGCCUCGCACGUCCAGGUUAGCAGUAUUUUUUUUUCCUGUCUUGUAUGUUGAAAGGGAACUGUUCAUAAUUAAAACAUGGACUUCAAGAACUGGUGAAUUUUAAUUUCACAGACCAUGAUAGUCUGAAACUCUGAAUAGUAUGGCAAGUUUUGCCAUCUUGUUUCUUAGACAACAAUGAUGCAUAAUGAAUAAGAUGAGGUUACCAUCCUCACUGAUCCUGUGCACAUAUUUCUUCCUUUGUCAAUCCAUACCUCUAGCCAUAGCCUCCUAACAAAUACUAGCUGCACCACUUUUAUCCUUCUCCGCCAUUCUAGCAUACGAUUGAUAACUUACGUUUACGAUCUGUAUGUAUGUCUAGCAUGAGAUUCAGUAUGGAGGCGACAAUCCGUUGGCCUCUCCAAGAUCACAAUAUGCAAGCCAAAGCACUCAGGCUACUGUGCAUAUGCCCAACACAAGCAACCAUCAACCAUCUGCAAGCUUAUUUGCACUAGGAAACCCAGGGUUGACGCAGCCCAAGAACUCGGCGGUCUUUUCCAACGCACUAUCCAGCCCCGUGCGCCGGGGCCUCCAACCAUACCAUCUGGAUCAGGGCGGGGAUGCAGGCUACUUUGCAAACGGCUUAGCCCGCGAGCCUAAUCCCACGGCUUCAAACGACUCAUCCAUGGACAUGCAUUCGGACAGCCCAGCUCAUGACUCCUCCUGAGCAGUGCGCUCCACAGGACCACAGAGAUGGAAGAAGAAUAGCAAGCACGUCCAGUGAAAGGACAAACUGGAAGAACAGCAUAUCCAGUGAAAGAAGAAACCGGCUGCGAGAUGCCUGUCGUCACCGCUCAAGUAGGAGUAUUCAAUUUAACCCCCACCCCCCAUAGCCUGUUAUGCUAAGUAAGCAUGUCUUAUAUGUUUUUCACUACUGCUUACAGCCUGUUGCUUUGUCAAGAUACUGUGUAGCCUUUGUGCACCUGUGUUUUCUGUUCUGGGUAAAAUUGUAAAACUUUAUUUAUCUGUGCAUAUUACUGUCGGUCUGUUGUCAAGUGUUUGGUGGCAAAUAACCGAGAAUAAAACUUAUUAACAGUAGGGUUCCUCUCAGGCCUGGAGACCAUAUAUAGUGCACCAACCCAAUCUAUGCACCAGGUGCAUCAAUGGCUUUUGGACCAUUAAAUGAGAAGGCAACGGGUCAAAUUUUGGACCAUAUCAGAUUUGCAAAAGCAACUUUAUAGUUUAUUAUAUACGGCCUGCACUUUACAUCCCACUCUCUCAUCAAUAAAUCUGUGUGUUUAUUUUUGUAACUCGAACACAAAGAUGGCCAUAUAUUUUGAACUGAAUGUCUUGAUUUUUAAUACGUUUUGACUGGCAACUUUUGUGUUGACGACAUAUUUGAAACAAGAUCAAUGUUGAAUAUGUUUUUUUUUUUUGCCUUUUGAAACUUAAUUUGGAACUUAUUAACCAAAUGCAUGUGGGAUUGACGUGUGGAGGGAUAGGGAGAGGGAGAGUCAGGGUUACAUAACUUACAAGACAAUUAAAAGCUUAUAAUUGUUAUGUUAAGUUAUAAAAUACAUCAAUUUCAAAAUAUAUUCGGCAUUGAUCUUGUUUUGAACAUCUCGUAAAAUAAUAGUGCUAGAAAAACUGAUUUAGACGUAUGGUUCAACAGAUAUGAAUGUAUUUAUCCCUAAAAAAAGAUAUGAAUGUAUUUAUGUUUGGAGAAAGAGAGUACAUAACAUUGAUUCAAUGAUGGGAGAGGAAAGAGUAGAGCGCGGAUUAAUUAAUGUUAGCAUAACAUGAUGUCAAAUGUUCUACUAAUUCAUUCUCGAGCCUAAUCCUAACCCUCUGUGUCAUAUCCAAUGGCUCAAAAGCCAUUGGUGCAUCCGGUGCACCAGCGCGUAAACAAAGAGUCAUCAUAACAUGAGUUCCAUAUUGCCUGAUCCAAUGUCAUUACUAUGCUAGAGUGUGUUUUUCGGCCGAAGUCAUUAUUAUGGCCGUCUAUGCUAUAUGGUGAGAGUUGCUCUAAGGACGUGUUUGGUUUCUAGCAUAACAGGUAUACAGGCUCUGGAUGGCCAAAUCCGAGUUGUUUGGUUGACCAGGCCACGAAGAGAAACAAGCCCACAUGCUCCUCAAAUCAGCCCUUAGCUUGCAAACAGCCACUUGACUAUAAUUGUACUAUAGUGAACUUUCUAGCCUCUUAUUUUAGAACCUACAAUGGAUUAGCAGUUCAUCGCUUUAGUCCACUUAGGCAUCUCUCCAUGUUUCGUGGCGCACCAAGCAAGUAUUUGCGAAAGCAGGAAGUACGUAUGGUUAUUGGAUGGCCCAGGGAGAAACGCUGAAAUCGACCGUUCCCAAAUGCAGACCCGUGUAGUGCAAAUAAUACUCUGGUCCCUGUUUUCCUCUCGUCCCUGUUUUCCUCUCGUCUCUGGCGGCUGGAACCCUAGCCGCCGCCAGGGGAGGCCGGUCUUCCAACGCCGCUCUCCGGCGGCUUCCCUCCGCCGGUGACCUUGGUCGUUGGUGGUGACGGGGGUCGCCGGAUCCACGUCUGUGAAUCGUUUUUACUCUCUCGUAGUCUAGGUUUUUAGGUUGUUCAUCGUCUUUGCUUUGGCAGCGACGAUGACAACGCUGAAUAAAGAUUCUUCGAAUACUUUCCUAACGAGGCCAUCGGUCCUACGGUUGGGGAUGGAUUUGGAAACCAGUCUGUUCAAGCAAGGAUGGCGUGGCGGCGACGGCAUCCUCGUGAUGGACCUGUGUCCUCGGGCUCCGCCGUUGCGACGGCGUUUGCUCCAGCGUCGACGCGGAGCUUGGAAGGUAGUCCAGGAGCGGAUGCAGAUUAUGGUCUGCAUCGACAACAUCUGGAAGAUGGAGCAUGUGCUGGGCUCGUGGUUCGUGGAUGGCAGAUAUGGUUUCCUCCUUCGGUGUUUUAGUCGUGGUGGGGUGCUAGAUCUGGAGUUCGAUGGCGUGUCCGAGGUGUUGCCUCGGUCUGAUUCGUUCAACGGUAAGGGCUUCACUUUUGGUGAGGCAUCUUGGAGGUCCGCAAAGCUGUAUAUCAGCGAUGGAGUCGCGUCGAGCUCGGGUGAGAAGGUGAUUCGUCAUCCUUUUCUUCGGUGGCUACUGUGGUGGUGCCGGAGGCAGGUGACAGACGUUGGUGUCAAGCUCAGAGAUGUUCUGCUAUCUUUUCUGUUUUGUCAUGUCGGUCUUUACGUGACUUGUACUUUGUUCUUUAUGAUAUGAAUGAGACACGUAUUAUCAUGCAAAAAAAAAACACUGGUGAUUGCAGGCCGAGGUUUUGGUCAACUCCUAUUCGGCGCCUGGAGCACCCGCUAAAGUGAAAACAGUACACAACGCACACGUAUUCCCUUUGUUAGAUUUUCACGGGCUGGCCCAUCUAGAGGUUGUUUCUGUUAAGCUCCCAACCGAUUUGGGAAGCUCAGCAGAAAAAAAGAAAAACCGGUUUGGGAAGCUUCAGAAGCUUUCGGUCGUUUGUUUUUGUUUAUUUAUUAUGGUUUGUAUGCCUGGUUUCUGUGUUUUUUCCUUUUUUUAUUUUCCUUAUCUAUUCUUAAAUUCGUAAAUAUUUUUUAAAUCCAUAAACAUUUUUUAAACUCAUGAUUUUUUCCAAUUAUUGGAAAAACUAAUUUCGUGAUUUGUUUUCGAAUCUGUUACUUUUUAAAAUUUAUGAAUAUUUAUCAAAUCCACGAACAUUUUUUUAAUCGGUGAUUUUUUUUGAAAUUCAUGAAAAAAAAUCAGAUCCGUGAACAUUUGUCAAAACCACAGCAUUUUUAAAACAUGUGAAUUUUUUUAAUCUGUGAACUUCUUUCUCAAUUCGUGAACUUCUAUCGAAUUAGUGAACAUUUAUGAAUCCAUGGAUUUUUUUCAAUUUCAGGAAAAAAACGAACCCAAGGAUUUCUAAAAAAGGUAAACAGUCAAAGGUCACCCAGUCAACUGGUCGACAGUUGACGGUCAACCAGGGGAAUCACAGAGAGACCAGGGGCGUGGGCUUUUUUGACAAGCGAGCUGCUUGCUCGCGUAGCCCGGCUUUGCUACCUGGCGCAGAGAGCGCUGACUAGGAGCUCUCAAGGUCCCCUAAAAAAAAAGGAACUCUCAAGGUUUUGCAUGCAAAAAAAUGUACUGCGCAACUUGAUCUAGAGCCUGUAUCUUCCGGCUCCACUGGGUCCUGUUUAAGAAAACGUGAAAAGUGACUCGGCAACUAAACAGGUCAUUUAUGCCUAAAAAAACAAAAAACUAAACAUGCCAUUUGUCAAAAGAAAAAAAAAACUAAACAGGUUAUAAGUUGUUGUAGUCUGCAUGUAGUAUUUGCGUGGAGAGUAAAACUGCGGUUGGCGUGUGGUAGAAAGCGGUAGAGAAGCAUUGAAAAGAGCUGACAAUCCUGUUCCCUCUGUCCAUGUGAUGUGUCCACCGUUACCGAAAUGUACAGCACUGUUGCUGGCAACACUAUCUUCGUGAUGGGAGGCUGUUGCACGACUUGGUACGGACGUUGGGCCGUGUUGAUGUCUUGUGUAUCUAAUGUCGAUCGCUAUGUAGUAGGAGCGCAAUUUUUUUUAACAUCAGUACAGACACAAGCGCUUAUAUACACAUGCAUACAUUCACCCCUAUGAACGCACAUACACACACCCUAUCCCUAUGAGCACCUCCGAAAGACUGAGCCAGUAUAUCAUCUUGAAAUUUACGAAGUCAUCGUAGGCACCUCGUCGUCGACGGAAACGUCUCCUCCCACUGAAUGCCAUCGCCGGAAAUUCGGAAAUAAAUCCAAAAAUAAAUGCGAGCACCAGGAUUUGAACCCUGGUGGGCUGGGGAUACCACGGUCCCUCUAACCAUCCAACCACAGGUUGGUUCGCAGUAGGAGCGCAAUUGGAUUGUAUCCGGACCGAUAAAUUUGACACCAUAUUCUUUUUUUUGCGGGAGAUAAUUUUUGAUGCCAUAUCUUAUUCCAGAUUUAUUUUCGGUUUUUGAAUCUAGACGGAUGCGGAUUUGAAUACAAGAUUAUUUGUCAUUUGCCUCUUGUUUUUCUCUUCACCACUUCACAAAAAUUUAUCGUUUUAUUCGCCCUCUUAUUCGUUCGCCGUUUUCUCGCCAGAUCUGUUUUUGAGUGCAAUCUUGUUUGCGUAGUCAUGAUGCCUCAACGAAUAUUAUGAUGUUCCUUACCCCAAUAUUUUGCUUGAAAUUGAGAAAAGUACUAAGGAAUAUAUGACUACACAAUUUGAGCACAAUAAAUAUUUUACCGAAGAACUUAAGGAACGCUCUGUUGUGCUGGAAGCUAUAACUAAGCAAGUUGAUUAUAUUAGUAGAGAAGUUUGCAAUCUCCAAUUUAAAUAUGCUUUUGCCAAAAGUUUGCUAGGUAAAAUAUCCGAUGCACAAGCUACCCUAGUAAAUCAAAUGGCCGCUAAACCAAUCUCGUUAGAAGAUAAAAAUCUUAAAAUGAUUGGUGUUUUCUCUAUUGAUUCUUUGUUUAGUAAAAUUAAGAUUGAUAAUAAAGAAACUUAAGAAGAGUCAACUUUAGCUAGAAGGUGUCCCGAUAAUUCUGAGGGUGAAAAUUUUGUUGAGAAAAUUGAUAAAAGUGGGUUUGAAGAGGUCAAAACUGUAACUAGUGAUGUGCCCAUUCUUUUGGAUUACAAAGACUUUAAUUAUGAUAGUUGCUCUUUGAUUGAUUGUAUUUCUUUGUUGCAAUCCAUGAUAAAUUCUCCCCAUGCCUACGAACAAAUUAAAGCUUUUACUAAGCAUAUUGUCGAUGCUAUGAUGAAAGCUUAGAAAAAAAGUUGGAAUUAGAGGUUUCAAUUCCUAGAAAAUUAUAUGAUGAAUGGGAACCUACUAUCGUCAAGAUCAAAGAUUAUGAGUGUUUUGCUUUAUGUGACUUGGGUGCUAGUGUUUCUACAAUUCUAAAAUCUCUAUGUGAUGUGCUUUGUCUUACCGAUAUUGAAGAAUGUUCUUUAAAUUUGUACUUGGCGGGUUCCACUAUUAAAAGCCUAUGUAAAGAAUUAAUGAUGUUCUUAUUCUUGCAAAUAGGAAUUAUGUGCCCAUAGAUUUUAUUCUUCUUGAUAUUGAUUGCAAUCCAUCUUGUCCAAUUAUUCUUGAUAGACCGUUUUUACGUACUAUUAGUGCCGUGAUUGAUUUGAAAGAAGGCAAUAUCAAAUUUCAAUUUCCACUAAGGAAGGGUAUGGAACACUUCCCUAGAACUAGAAUUAUACCACCAUAUGAAUCAAUCACGAGGGCAUCAUAUGGAUCUAGAACCAAAGAUGACAAUACUUAGAUCCUUGCAUUAUGCCUAGCUAGGGGAGUAAAAUGAUAGCGCUCGUUGGGAGGCAACCCAACUUGUAUCUUUUUGCCUUUUGGUUUUCUUGUUGUUUUCAAUCAAAUACCCAAUUAUGCCUCUGAUUAUAUGUGUUUUUGUGGUUUAAAUAAAUGUUUGUGCCAAGCAAAGCCUUUGGGAUGAUUUGGGUGAUAGUUGAUUUGAUCUUGUUGAAAAAAUAGAAACUUUUGUGCUCAGAACAAUAAUUUUCAUAAAUCACAGAAACGUGAUUUUGCUUUGAAUUUUUUACAUAAGAUUAAUAUACAAAUUUCUCAUGUUGUCCUAAUUUUUCAGAAUUUUUGGAGUUACAUAAGUAUUCAAAGUUUUUAGAUUGCUACAGACGGUUCUGUUUUUGACAGAUUCUAUUUUUUUUGUGUUGUGUGCUUGUUUUGAUGAUUCUAUGUUUUUUCUUUGAAGAGUUUUUGCCAUAGAAAAAUUGGAAUACAGUAGAUAUAAUACAAAAAUAAAAUAUGAAUGGUUUGCAACAUUACUUAUAGUAGUGAUUUGUUUUCUUAUACUAACGGAUCUCAGAAGGUUUUGUUGAGUUUUGUGUGAUUGAAGUUUUCAAGUUUUGGGUGAGAUCGCGAUGGAUGAAGGAGUAAGGAUUAGCAAAAGGCUAAGCUUGGGGAUGCCUGAGGCACCCCAAGAUAAUAUUCAAGAAGUAUCAAGUAACUAAGCUUGGGGAUUCUCCGAGUGGCAUCCCCUCUUUCUUCUAACAACCAUCGGUAUUUUACUUGGAGCUAUAUUUCUAUUCGUCUCAUAUCAUGAGUUUUGCUUGGAGCGUCUUGUAUGAUAUGAGUCUUUGCUUGUUUUAAUUUUUAUUUCAAGUCUUGAAUCCUUGCUGGACACACCUAUUUAAGAGAGCCAAAAUUAUGCCAUGACUCGUUAGAAUUGCUUUCUAUGCUUCACUUAAAUCUUUAUGAGCUAUGGAAUUGCUAUAGUGCUUCACUUAUAUCUUUUCGAGCACGGUGUGCUCUAGUAUUUUUGAAGAAAUGCUCUCAUGCUUCACUUAGAUUUAUUUGAGAGUUAGUAAUUUUUUAAGAAAGUCUUUCUUGCUUCACUUCAAUUAUUUUGAGAGAAAGAAAUAUGAUGCUCAUGUUAUUCACUUAUAUUUGUUUGAGCUUAUUAAAAGCAACAUAUGAAACUAGUCCCAAAGUGAUAGAUAUCCAAGGAGGAUAUAAUAAAAACUUUCAUGAAGAUCAUUGGACAAAAUAAACAUGAUUCCUUAUAAUAGUUUUGAGAUAUGUUGAUAGUUAUAUAUGAGUCAUGUUGAUGAGUAAUUAUGCUUUAGUAAGAAUAUUGGUGUUAAGGUUUGUGAUUUCCUAUGCAAUCACGGAAGUCAAUAGUUAUGCAGUGAAAUUACAUCCUAAUUGUGGUGCAUUAUUCAGUAUUAGUUAUGCUUAAUGCUCGCUUAUGAGAUUUUUCGUUUCUUGGUUAGAUGCUUCUCAAUCUUUUGCUAGUCUUCAUUUGCACUAAGUAUGAUCAUUACGUGUGCAUCCAAAAUCCUUUAAACCAGUUUUGCCACAUGAGUCCAUCAUACCUACCUAUAUGCAGUAUUUCCGUGCUAUUCUAAGCAAAUUUGUAUGUGCCAUAUCUAAAUGUCAAAAUAAUUUCUCCUUUUGUGUGCUCGUACCGCUCAUGAAAUGGUAGGGGGUGGCUGAUAUAUUUCCAUGCUAGAUAUGUUAUUCUCAAGAUAAGUGUUUAUUAACUUGUCAUUACACGAGAGUACGACAAAGGUAUUAGGGAUGCCCAGUCCUGGAAUGAAAAUUGAAUUUACUUUAUGUUGUCAAAUAAUAAGUUCCUUGGAAAGUGUUGGUAUGGAAGGCACCCAUGGAUACGGCUAGCCAUGGAAAAUGAAAGUAUGGUGGGAAAAGGAAUAAACUUUAUUUUCUGUUUGAGAACCGCCUAUGAUAUAUCUAGCAUGGAAAGUAUUGGGAACUACUCGAUCGUUCUUGUUGACCGGAGCAUGCCACCCAAAAUGUUUUUAUCUCUAUCUUUUUCGCUUUGAGCUCUGGCACCUCUAUAAAUCCCUACUUCCCUUUGCGAAGGGCCUUUCUUUUACUUGAUGCAAUUUUUAUUUUUUACUUGAGUCUCCAUCUUCUCUUAUAAAGCACCAACUAAGGAGCACUAUGAUCGUACUUGAGCAUUGAGUGUAGCUAAUACGCGAGUGUGUUUCAUGAAUGGAUCAAUGGCUAGAAAUAACUUGCUUUAGUGUUGAUAUUUUGAAAGACAUGGUUGCUUGUUGAUAUGCUUGCGUAUUUAAAUCUUCAUGUCAAAACUAGACUAUUGCUUUGAACCAUAUAAAAGUCUAAAUGUCCAUCUUACAAAGAAAAGAAUAUGUGAUGAACAUGUUAGGCAACAUUCCACAUCAAAAAUUCUGUUUUUAUCAUUUACCUACUCGAGGACGAGCAGGAAUUAAGCUUGGAGAUGCUGAUACGUCUCCAACGUAUCUAUAAUUUUUUAUUGUUCCAGUUGUUAUAUUAUCAUUCUUGGAUGUUUUACAAUCAUUUUAUAUCAUUUUUUGGUACUAACGUAUUGACAUAGUGCUCAGUGCCAGUUGCUGUUUUCUGCUUGUUUUUUACAUCAUAGGAAAUCAAUACCAAACGGAGUUCAAACACAGCGAAACUUUUUAUGGAUUUUUAUGGACCAGAAGACACCCAAUGGGCCGGAGAAGCACCUGGGGGUGCCCCGAGAGGGGCACAACCCACCAGGGCGCGCACGCCUGGGCCCCCAGGCGCGCCCAGGUGGGUUGUGCCCAGCUCGGUGGCCUCCCGCACCGCCUCUUUUCUCUAUAAAUACCUCAAUAUUUCAGAAACCUUAGGGGAGUCGACGAAAGUCAGUUCCAGACGCGGCAAGUUCCAGAACCACCAGACCCAAUCUAGAAACCAUCACGGAGGGGUUCAUCAUCCCCAUUGGUGCCUCUCCGAUGAUGCGUGAUUAGUUCACUGUAGACCUACGGGUCCGUAGUUAGUAGCUAGAUGGCUUCCCCUCUCUCUCUUUUGAUUCUCAAUACAAUGGUCUCUUGGAGAUCUAUUUGAUGUAACACUUUUUGCGGUGUGUUUGUUGGGAUCCAAUGAACUUUGAGUUCAUGAUCAGAUCUAUGUUUUUAUCCAUGGAAGCUAUUUGAGUCUCUUGAUCUCUUAUAUGCAUGAUUACUUAUAGCCUCGUAUUUCUUCUCCGAUAUUUGGGUUUUGUUUGGCCAAUUUGAUAUAUUUAUCUUGGAAUGAGAAGAGGUGCUUUGUGAUGGUUUCGAUCUUACGGUGUUUGAUCCCAGUGAAAGAAGGGGAACUGACACGUAUGUAUCGUUGCUAUUAAGGAUAACAACAUGGGGUCUACUUCUACAUAAAUAGAUCUUGUCUACAUCAUGUUAUCGUUCUUAUUGCAUUACUCUGUUUCUCCAUGAACUUAAUACACGAGAUGCAUGCUGGAUAGCGGUCGAUGUGUGAAGUAAUAGUAGUAGAUGCAGACAGGAGUUGAUCUACUAAUCUUGGACGUGAUGCCUAUAUAAUGAUCAUUGCCUGGAUAUAGUCAUGAUUAUUUGAAGUUCUAUCAAUUGGUCAACAGUAAUUCGUUUACCCACCGUUUGCUAUUUUUGUCAAGAGAAGCCACUAGUGAAAUCUACGGCCCCUGGGUCUCUUCUUCAUUAUAUUUGCCUUGACGAUCUAUUUUUAUUUGCUUUUAUUUUCAGAUCUAUUAAUCCAAAAACCCAAAAAUAUCUUGCUGAAUUUUAUUUGCGUUUAUUUGCAUCUAUCAAUCUACUACAAUUUUUAUCCCGCCUACUUGCCAAUUUCUGGCACCGUUGCUCGAAAAGGAUUGACAACCCCCUUAAUACGUCGGGUUGUGAGUAUUUGUUAUUUGUGUGCAGGUGCCGUUCACGUAGUGUUGCGUGGUUCUCCUAUUGGUUCGAUAACCUUGGUCUCAUUACGGAGGGAAAUACCUACCGUAGUUGUGUUGCAUCAUCCCUUCCUUUUCGGGGAAAUACCGACGUAGUUCAAGCCGCAUCAUCCACCUGUCCGAGUUGUCCGACAACCCUCAUACCCAGCUCAUAUAUGGAUUAGAUUUGGGGCUGCCCAGACGCGCCUACCAUGUUGGAUCCGACAGGUCGGUCCCACCAAGAUGGAGAUGUAGUUGCAUAUUGCCCACGUCGUCAAUAAUCACAAGACCAAGAUGGAUGCAACUCGGUUGAAGAAGUGAAAAAUCAAGAGGUUUGUCGUCGAGAAGGAGAUUUGCCUCUAAUAUGCAUUUGGAGCUAUUAUUAUCUUAGUCAUGGCUAGCAAAAAAAGCCCGUACGUUGCAACAAGAGAGAAAAAAUGCAUGCGCCCUCCUACGAGGCUUGAUAAUGAGACUCUCCUUUCUCAAUGGAAGACUCAUUCAUGGUGAAUGGAAAAGUGUUUUCCGAGGUGGAUCCACGAUGUUCAAAUCAUAGCAUGUUUAUAAACACAAAAAAUAACUUAUUCUAGAUUUAUUUUGUAUUUUUUGACUUAGAAUUAUACAAAAUACAGCAAUGCACCUGUAAAUAUCUGAAUACAUAUCAAUAUAUCACAUUCGAGCUAAAAAAGGACCAUUGUUGAGAAAAAUGUUUGGAAAUUUCAAAAACUAAUGAUACUCAUGCGUGCUUCCAUAUUUGACAUAGAUGGUCGAAUCUACCACACACAAAUUCAUUUAUCAGUUAUCACUUACUUACGAUGUUUAUAGGCUGUAAACAUUUUUGCAUGUACCAAACUCAAAAUCUAUUUCAACAUGACAAAUGUUACAGUUGACUCUGAACGAAUAUCAUAACACUAGUGGCGAAGCUACCAGCAGAAAGCUGGGCGGACCAGGUUACUAAACAUGGCUGUAAACUUGAAUUGCUGCCUGCUGAGUAGUCUUAUUUGUCCGUGGACUUAGGUAUAAUUCUUGUUUUUUUAGAAAAGCUGGGCGGGCCACGGCCAUGUUUGGCCCCGACGUAGCUCCGCCGGUGAUAACACCUAUUAGGGCAUCUCCAACGACGACCCGUAAAUUUUCUCCACAACGACUUCGGCUUCAACUGGGCUUCGCGGUUGCUGGACUAGAAGAAGAGAAACACGACGGAAACAAAAUCAGACUCGAACGCAAUCUAACAAACUGGAAGGAAAAGACUUCCACAAACAUACCAAAAACAGAAGUCACAUGCCUAUUGGUUAAUUGUCACACAUGAGUCCGUGCCACCAACACUAGCAAGCUGCAUAGCAAGCUCACACCAAGUCCAGCAGAAACAGAAAUGCUCCAAUCCAAUCCAAUCCAAUCCAAGCACAGUUAAUCCCACCUGCGCAACUUGUCGGCUAUCUCUGUCCAAGAGCCCCCGCGUCGCUCUCCCAGGAGCGGCACGGGCGGAACUGAGCGCCUCGGCCACCGGCCACCUCCCCCCCCCCUCCCACCCCCUCGCCGCGCCGCCGCCACAGGGCGCCGCCGGGCAAAGCCCGCACGGCGUCGGCGGCGGCGGGGCCGUCUUCCCACGCACGUGCCUCGGCAGAUCCCGGAUGGAUCUCGAGCAGCGGCGGCCGAUGCGCGCAUGCGGCGGUGCUUGGCUGGGGGCCGCGGUGGCCUUCCCUCGCGCGCCGGUGUCUCCAUCGACGCCGCUGGAGGCUGGCUGCUGCUGCUGGGGGCGGUGGGCGGUGCUCGCGGUGGGCGGAAGCCGGGGCGGCGGCCUCGGAGCUUGGGCGUCUGCUGGGCGACGCAGCGGGGCUGGCUACGAACAGUUGCGCGGUGAAUCAAGGGAUUCGGUGCUCUGUUCCGGAGUUGGCAGAGGAUGCGCCUUGGUCAGGCGCGGGCGGCGGCUUGGCCGCGAGGGGCGUGGCUCGUGUGUGUUUGCGUUGUGCGGAUCUGUGGUGGCGAGGACGCCAAUGGUGGAGCUGGCGUCGAUCUGGCGUCGCGAGGAUCCUGGGAUGAAGCUGCUGCAGAUCUGUGGAGGUGCACAGCAUGGGCGCGCGGAGGGCCCGGGCAGCGCCGUCGGCGUGGCUCGGAGGCCCGUGGUGCGUGGAGGUUCGGGCGUGGCGGAUCCGGUCUCCAGCGGAUGCGACGGUGUGCGUGGUGCCCGCCUGGUCGGCGUGCUCCUGCUGCUUCGAUGGGCGGUCAGUGCGGAUUUGAGGCGAGGCAAGGAUGCCGGGGCGGCGGCCCCGGAGCGAUGGCUGCAUCGGCAUGGGCUGCUGCGGCGGCUGGGGACGGUGGAUUUGGGGCGAUGCUCGCGGAUCUGACCCCGGCAAACGCGGCGUCUCUCUGUCGCAUGAGGUGCUGCAGCGGGUCGUCGCGGGGGGCUUUGGCGGCUGACGACGGGAGGUGAUCUUCACAGCAGGCUUGGCUCCGGUGGUCUGGGUAUCCAUGGUGCCCAGAUUUGCAGGCUCACUGUUAGGAGAUGAGGGACUUGGGCGAAAGCUUUUGACGAUGUCGGCGCCUGCGGGUGUCGUGACCUUCUUGGAGGCGUCGUCGUAGAGUUUCUUCCUCUUCUUCCAUGUGCUUGGACUCUCCGGGUGAGAACCUAAACUUCAGUUUUUUGGAGUGGGCGGCGGCGGCGUUUUACGUCGUAACCUUCUUGGAGGCGUCGCUUUGGAGGGUCAGCUUUUGGAUGUUGUGCGGGCUCUUCCGUUUUCAUGGGUGAUGUAUGCCGGGGCGGCGGCUCCGGGAUCUUUAGUUGAGAGCCGAGGCGGCGGCCUCGGGCAGCGGUGCGACGGUGGCCCCAGGAGGUAGGGCUGUUUGUCGGCAUGGCUUGGGUGAGGACCUUGAGCUGCAUGGGCGGCAAGGUUGUCGGCUCGGUCGACGCGUCCCAGCGAGGGCGGUUGGACGGCAUGUCGGGGCGGCGGCCCCGGAUGUGGUGCGGCGUUCGUGGUCUGCGUGCGGUUGUCCUGAGCAGUGCGGGCUGCGGACUGCUGUAUCGUGCGGCGUUGUUGCUCGAGGGUGAGCGGUGGCAUGUUGGGGCGGCGGCCCUAGAUGUGGUGCGGCGUUCGUGGUCUGCAUGCGGUUGUCCUGAGCAGUGUGGGCUGCGGGCUGCUGUAUCGUGCGACGUUGCUGCUCGAGAGUGAGCGGUGGCAUGGUGGCAUGUCGGGGCGGCGGCCCCGGAAGGCGGUGUUGGUUGAGUGCGUAGGGCGCAAUGGAGCAGUGGAUAUCGAGGCGGCGGCCUCAGGAGAUUUGCAGCUUUAAGGGCAUGGACCUCGUGUCUUGUGGGCGACGUGGUUGUCAUCGGAGUUGGUCGUGGGUGGGCUUUGCCCUGUGUGUUAGUCUUUGGGGUGUGCUUGGCUCUUGUUGUUCCGGUUUUCGCCCGGUUUUUCGUAAUUAACUGGACAAUUCUCUUCUACUUAAUUAAUAGAUGAGGUAAUCUUUGCCUCUGUUUCAAAAAAAACCCCACCUGCGCAUCUCUCUCCAGGCCUCAUUGAAGGCGGGCCGCCGGCAACGCAUGCAAUAUGCCAUGCCGUGCCUGCCGGCCGAUCUGUGGGAGCCGUCCAUUGCUCCAUGAUCAAUUGCAUGCGCGCGCCCACAAGCAGUGCGUUACUACGUCUUGCAGAUCCUCACCGUUGUGAUGCCAUCAAUGGCCUUCAUCGAUCCUACUGCAAGUACUACGCCGUUUAUUUGAGCAACCUAACCAUCGCUGUUGAUGUAGGGCACAUGCAUUGCAUUCUCUCCUCACUCUUUCGGCAGUAAUUAAGUGGAGAGCACAGUGCGGAGGACGCCUGCUCAUAUGAUAUGGUGCAGUAGCAGUACCGGACCUACAUCUUUGUCUUUGAUGGGACGGACGUGUGCCGCGGAUCUAGCGAUAGGUUGGUGGACUAUCUUCUUCUGCCUCGGUCGUACGUAGAUCAACAAGAUUCAAGAGGGCCAACUAAUACAGCCUUACAAAUCCAAAUUAGCUGGAUGUCAGUUGCCUGAAUCUGAAAUUUUAGGUCAUUUAAUUUUUUGGGGAAGGAAGCAGCAGCUGCUGGGUGCACUGAAGCUCAGGGAUGCCAGCAAGGCCUCGGCAGUCGGUGGCAGCCGACGGAGGCAAGUAUGAAACUUGACGGUUCGAGGGUGGGGGUGUAGGGCUCGCCCAAAAAUUCUGGUGCUUCACCGAUUUAGAGAGAUGGCAGGGGAGGUGUUUGUGUGUGUAAAUUUCAGGGUUGUAAAUUUCAAGGGGUGUGCUACGCGACGGCCGGCUAAUAUUUUUCAAAUGUCGACAGGGUCGCGUACCGUCUAAUCAGGAGAUGCUCGCCAUAUGAUCGUAUUCGUGAGUUCCUCUUCUCUAUUUUGCUCAUUGCAACAAGACCCAUGUUGCUAUUGCAACGGCGGCCUUGUUGCAAAAAGCAUCUCGACUCAUGGCCGCCAACGUUGCCAUUGCAACAAGAUCCUCGCCGCAAUUGUAACAGGACCCUUAUUGAGUGGUGUUUGCCACCAUUGCAACAAGAUUCUUGUUGCAGUUGCAAUAGGUCCCUUACCGCAAAAGCAUCUCCUGCCAUGUCCGAGUCCAUCAUGUAUUGUGGUCGCAACACCGACAACAUCGCCGGAGUAGCGUGCGGCUUAUUGCCGCCUCUUCUGCGGAUCGCUGCAUGCUGCUGCUACUGCUUGCUGCUUGCUGUUGAGAAGGGAGAGAGAUGGAGCAGAAGAUGAAGGAAAGAUACGGAGGAUCGAAAGGUGCCGCCAUCCUGUGGAGACUGCUCUGGCUCUGUCAGGUCAAGGCGCUUGAGAGGUGGCGACUCCAUGGCCACAAUUUCAAGGCCCCAACCUCCUCAAUGCCUCUCAGGCGUGCUGCUGCUGCUUGCUCCUCGCGUGAGUAUGGAUAGAUAAUAAAGGAAAAGCGAAACGUUUUAGCUAUACGUCAGUCAGCUGAAAUUUUCACUUUGGGUCAGUCAAUUUUGUGACCAUUUGAUUCUGCUUUGAGAUGUGUGCUGUUUUUUUUUUCAGUGUAAUUUUGGUGGUGAGUUGGAUUCUGUGGAAUCGAUUGACCCCUAUUUUGGGUCAGUCGAAUUGCUUCUUGGGCUCUUUUUAGCUCUUCUGGGUUGCAUUUUUCCUUUUUGUUUUUUUUCUUUAUUGUUAUUUUUGUUUUUGUGGAUUUUUGGCUGAGUGUAAUUAUAUGAUGAUAUGAUUAUUUUUAUGAUAAAGUGCAAUCUGGGUGCAAAGUUGUGCGUAAGUUUUUUUUUCAAAUCUCCCCUCUCAAAAGAAAUACCAACGCCACUAGUUCAUUCUUUUUCAGAAAACAUCAUUAUUUUGAUAAUGUUUUAGUGUUUACUUCAUUUUCAUUCUAAUUAAUGUUAAUACCAUUUCCACUAUUCAUUUGCUUUUUGCAAAACUUCCCCUUUUAUAUGCUUAUUCUUGCAUAUUUUUAAAAAGCGCAAUUUUAAUGUUAUUUCGUGCAAAUUUUGUCAGUGUUUAUUCUAGAUUAUUUUUCCCCUUUUCUUUGUUCUUAAAUUGUAAUACAAUGCAACUAAUUCAUUCUUCCUUAGGAAAUUUAAUUCUUUCUUUUGUUGGUGUUUUAUUUUUGUUUUCUAUUUCCAUGUGUUUUUAUUUUACCCUUUUUCUGCCCUUUAUUGAUUUUUUUGUGGGUUUUUGGCUGAGUGUAAUUAUAUACAAACAAAUACUAUAUAAUAUGUGCCAAAAUUUCAUGAUUAUAUGAUUAUUUUUUCAUAUUACGAUUAAGUGCAAUUUCGGUGCACAGUCAUGCGCAAGUUUACAUGUGCGCCCCAGCCCUCUCUCCCUUUGUUUUUUUCUGCCCUUAUUUGUGUUUUCUUGUUAUUAUUCUUCUUUUUAUUAGUUGUAUUUUUGUGUGUGGUUGUUUUUGGAUGCUGGAUGAAUGUAAAAUAUAUGCGUACAAAUACUAUAAAAUGUAUGAAAGAAUUGUACUAUUAUAUGAGUAUAUUUUGCAUAAUACAGAAAAGUGAAAUUUUAGUGCAAUUGUGUGCAACUUUUCUUUUCUUUCUUCCAAAGUGUAAUAGAAGUGCCACUAAUUCAUUGUUUCACAUAAAACUUCAUUAUUUUAAUUUUGUUUUAGUUAUCAUUAUAUUCUCCUUUCCUCUUUAUGCAAUACCGACGCCACUAACUCAUCCCUUCUUAGGAUUAUUUUUUUGCGAAAACUUCGCUAUUAUAUGCUUAUUCUUGCAUAUAUUUUAAAAGUACAAUUUUUGUGUAUAUUGUGUGCAAUUUGUUUUCAUUUUUUUAGUUUUUAGUUCAUUUUAUUUCUUAUUAAAGGGUAACACCAAUGUCACUAACUUAUUCUUCCUUCGAAAAUAUCAUUGUUUUGAUUUUAUUUUUUAUUUUCUUUCUUCUUAAUGGGUAAUACCAAAACCACUAAUUCAUUCUUUCAUAGAAAAGUUCAUAUUUUGAUUUUCUUUAAGUUUUUGUUUGAUUAAUUCGAUCCUUCUUAGGAAAUUUCAUUUUAUGAAAUACUAUUAUAGGUUUAUUCUUGCAUAUUAUAAAAAACACAAUUUCUAUGUAAAAUGUGUGCAAAUUUUGCCAUGAUUUAUUUAUUUUUCAUUUUGGUUUUCUUUAUAUAUUUUCAUUUCUCUUUAACUACACAAAUGCAUGGGAUAUGUGUAGUGAUACGAUAGCCCCUAGCUAGCAUUUUUUUUACUUGGAAGCCCCUAGCUAGCUUGUACUGUUUGUGUCUAUACAUGCAUGGCGGCAUGCUGGCUCGCUUCCGCUUUGCGUGAGGCAGCGAGCCGUUCCCUUCAACCUUGCACGCUCGUCCUUUCCGUCAGCGUAGUGCACAGGGCCGGGUGAAGCGCGUUGUGUGUUGCUACUCACGCGCACAUGCACGAAUGGUGAUACCAACGUCACAUGACAGAAAUCGACUGACGGAAAAUUUAAUUUCAGUCCAGUCAGCUGACCCUUAGCCGGUCCCAAAGCGAAAAUGAGAGGACGCGUGGCAGGAAAAGAAGGAGGUAGACGCAAACGUGGGAUCCGGCCGGGUGAUCCCAAGCGUUUCUAAAAUUUCAAUUGCAGUAUCGAAAGUGUCCAGUUUUAGCACAACAUAACUAGCUGAAAUUAUAUGUAGCAAGGUUGAGACGGCCACUGAAUGUUUGCUUAAAUAAAGACGUUGUACGUGACUGGAAUGAAAAUACAUCAGCGUAAUCUGGUCAUCGAUCGAUCGAAACAUGACUAUGCAACCACUUAGAUAAGAUAGAUCACGGUGGAAACAGCACAAUUUAUUCUUCGGCCGAUGGAUCGACGGCGACGUACGUACGGUAUGGGUGUCUCACAGCUUCUUCUGCUCCUCUUGCUGCUGCUGCUGCUGCUGGUGCUGCUCGGGCUGGGGUUGGUAGUUCUGCCUGCGCGGGGUGGGCACCGGCAAUGCCGCGGGGUAGCGGUGCGCGCAGCCGUUCCAGGGGUUGUCGGCGUCGGGGCCGGAGUCGCGGAGCGCGCGCCAGACGACGCUGCAGGCCUUGAAGCCGGUGCCGAAGGCGAGCAUCCAGAGGCGGUCGCCGGCGCGGACGCGGCGCUUGGCCUCGAAGUAGGCCAGCUCGUAGAAGACGAGGCUGCUGGAGGUGUUGCCGAAGCGGUGCAGCGUCGCGCGCGCGGGCUCCACCACCGCCGGCGCGAACCCCAACAGCUUCGCCACCGUGUCGAUCACCGCCUUGCCGCCGGAGUGGAUGCACAUGUGCUCGAACGCGCGCUGGAAGUCCGGCACCAGCGCCGCCGCCGCCUUGGGGUUGCCGCCGCUGUACGCCCACGCCACCCGGUACACGUACCUGCAUGCCCAACGACCACGUGCCCGCGCGUCCGGUGAGACCGACCAUGUACCCAAAGAAGUAAAUGUUUGAAGCUUUGCACCAUGCCGGAUCGAUCUUGGUGAAAUUCAUGUAGAUGCUCCGUAGUAAACAGACAUUAAACAACGAUCAUACAGUGUCAACAAGAAUGGGAAAAAAAAAUGACCGUGCAUCCAUUGAAGGCUAGGCUAGAGACACAGAGUGAUCACGUACGAUUCCAUUAAGUUUUGCUGCUGCUUCUCUGAAGAUGCAUGUGGGGUGUGGGUGUGCUACGCUCGCUAUUGAAAACCUCAAGUACGUACUAGCAAGUAUACGAUCGACAUUAAUUAAGUUUGAAGCUACCGCCUCAUAUGCUGAAACCAAAAGUCAAGUCCACAUCUAUACGUGUGUGCAGAAUACCGCAGUAGUACUGUCUGUGCAAUUCAGGAAAUGGAAAGCAUCGUCCCAAAGCUCGGAAACUAAAUUUAGGUCAUAGCGCCAAAAUCAGCAAGGAAAUUAAAACCCUAAAAAUUCAAGUUUAGGCCAUUUCUUCAUUCGACAAACGCCAACUAAGCAUUAUAGGUUCGAAAUCAGUUCUUACUAAUAGACCGAGAAAAUGAGAUAUCUUCUGCUUGUUUCUCUAUCUUGUUUGAUCCGAAUCUUUUUUUCCUUUUGCACAAUAUAACGACAUAACAACUAAUUACCCAAGCGUCGCAAUAGGGACAUUUAUAUUCUAGUGGUUCAACAUCUAUCAUGUCCGACAUAAAUCUUACACCCAUCAUAUUGAUAAGAUUUGAUUUGAGUAUGGGUUGUUGAGGCAAAGGAAAGUUUUAUUUUAGGUGAGGUUUUAGUAAGAUUUGAUUAGAUUUGGGUAUGAGUGGGGAAGGCAAGAUUUUUUUUUUUUUGAUUUAUUUGAGGUUUUGAUAAAAUUUGAUUUAAUUUGAUUGAGUUAAUGCAGGACGUGGGGAGGGGAUAGAGGGGGAGUUGGAUGUACCAACGUACAAUUUCCAACUCACCUUUAGUAGUGGAGAUGUUUUAUCCAUGGUUAUGUACAUCCAUCAAUGCACAUGCCAGUGACAUCCCUUUUCGAAAAAAAAGAAGAGGUCCCAGUUUCUUUAUGAGGAUCUCUAAGCUAGAUGCCUAGAGGACAUUAUGGCAAUGUUUUUAUUUUUUGCCCUAGCAACCGCAUCCAUGAUUGAAAAAGUAACCCGACUAUAUGGUCCCAUGAUUUAUCUUCUUAAGUUGCCCAUGUUCUUUUGUUGCACAAUGUUUCAACAUGUAGUAGUAAUUCGUUCCAAGAUGUAGACUCUAGCAACUAAUUAAAGUGUAAAAUGUCAUUGUCAUAGUCCUUAGUGAUUCUACAACUUAAGUAGAUCCACCCGCAAAAAAAUACACCUUAAGAAGAUCAAUGGAUACAAUGGAUACUAAGGUUAUAGGCUCAACUCUUAAUGGAUAAGUGAGGGUGUAAAUAGAAGCAACAUCAGCAAAAAUGCAAUGAGAGUGUUUAAAACAACCUACAUUUUGGUUAACCUUGAAAACCCUAGUUGUGGGUGUGAGUAUAAGCCAUGAUGNNNNNNNNNNNNNNNNNNNNNNNNNNNNNNNNNNNNNNNNNNNNNNNNNNNNNNNNNNNNNNNNNNNNNNNNNNNNNNNNNNNNNNNNNNNNNNNNNNNNNNNNNNNNNNNNNNNNNNNNNNNNNNNNNNNNNNNNNNNNNNNNNNNNNNNNNNNNNNNNNNNNNNNNNNNNNNNNNNNNNNNNNNNNNNNNNNNNNNNNNNNCCCUGAAUUUUGGCCGCAUACUGUUUGUCGAUGCUCAUUCGGUCAUUUCUCACUAGGUCGAUACGUCCAAUAAUUUUAUGUUGCACAAAAAUAAUGAGCGCAACUUUAGAUCUAGAAAUGUGAAACUGCCAAGAAUGUACUUUUGCAAACGAAAAAUUACAAAGUUUCAAUAAUAUGCAACCAUCAAGUUAAGUUUGAUAUAAAAAUAUGGUAAGUCACGUACUACCUCUGUAACUGAAUAAAAGACGUUUUUAAACUGCAAGAACGUCUUAUAUUUAGUUACAGAUGUAUUAGGGAAACUGCCGAGCUCAUAUUGAAUUUGUUCAAAAGAAAAAAGAGCUCAUAUUGCUGGACUUUUUUAUUGAUAAGAUGAGCCGUAUGCAUCUUUCUGAUGCAGAGGCGGGGUAAACCCCUUUUCAAAAAAAAAUGAACAAUGAUUUUUUUCUUUCUUCUAAAAAGAGCAUAUGCAUUAGAUCAUGGGUGGAUUUUAUUUCAAGGCAGGUAGAAAUUAAUACUGACGUAGGAGCAUUGCUGUGUUUAGGUGAAAAGUUGUUUAUAAAGUGGCAGUGUUGCAGCGAUACCAGACUAGUAGUAAAGUUUUACUGGCCCCUGGAAAAAUAUGGACGGUGCAGUAGAUAUGUUAAAUGCGCGCGCAGAGGUGGGAAGCGUCGCGACGUGGUAGCACGUACGGUACCUGAGCAGCUCGGAGACAGGGAGCACGUAGGGCGCGAGGGUGGCGAUGUGGCUGCGAAGGCCGGCGCCGGCGACGCGCACCAGGUCCUUGGUGAGCGCCACGCCCACGCCGCCGUCCUCGUCCUCCAUCUGCACGGCGGCGUUGUACGCCGCGUCGUCGGCGCCAUGGUGCGUCCGCAGCGUGCGCAGCAGCUCGUACUUGGCGUCGGCCCGGCGCGCGGGCACGUCGGUGAUGAGCGCCGCCGCGCUGCCCACGCGGAAGAUGCAGUUGGUCACCAGCAUGUGCUUGUUGUUGCCGAAGUACCAGUUGAGGCUGGUGUUCUCCGUCACCACCACCAGCGCGUACCCCGGGCGGCACUGCACGCGCAGCAGCCGCGCCGCCAUGUCGAUGCCCACCGUGCCGGCGCUGCACCCCAUCCCGGCGAAGCUGUAGACCUUGACGUCGUCCUUCAUCUUGAAGCGGCGCACGAUCAUGGACGCCAGCGACGGCUGGGGGGAGAACAUGGAGCAGGCGACGAUGAGGACGCUGACGUCGCGCGGGGAGACGUCGGACUUGGCCAGCAGCUGGGACACCACGGUGAAGAGGCCUUCCUCGGCCUCCUGGAUGGCGAACGCCAGCGUCUUCUCGAACUUGCCGGAGAAGAUGAAGGGCGGCGCGAAGGUCUCCUGCCCGAGCCCGGACUUGCGGAAGAUGAGCCGCAUGAAGUCGGCGGUCUCGUCGGUGUAGCGCUUGGAGCGGAGGCCGAAGUACUCGCACACCUCCAGGUUGCACUGCCGGUCCGCGUCCGGAAGGUGGCAGCUGUAGUUGAGCAGGUACACCGGCCGCUGCCGCCGAAGAACGCGCCGGAAGACGGUGACUACGAAGGCGAGCGCCGAGGCCACGAGCGGCACGAGUGUGUGGAGUGGGAGGGAGCGGAGCGACGACACGGCCGCGGCCAUGGACGACGACAUGGCCGAGAGCUAGAGGCGCGGCGCGUGGUAGGGACUAGGAAAGGACUGUGCUGGCAGGCUUUGGGUUUUGGAGUGAAACAACACCUCUUGUAUUUAUAGGCAACAAGCCAAAACCCAUACUAGCAUGGCAAGUGUAGUGUACUAGCGUAGACGCAUAUAUAUACUUGGUGUAUCAGACCAUAUAUAUAUGCAACUAGAAUACAAUCUGGAUUUUAGGCGAAUAGUCAAUAUAAAAUGAAAAAAAAUAUUAAACAAAUAUACCUUGGUUCUCUCUUAGGACAUCUUCAAAGCGGACCAUAGACGUGUUUUGUCAUCCGGUGUGGGUCUGUAUUGGACUCCACUGACCAGUUCGGAUGUGUUUUUUCCCGCAAUUUGAAGGCAAACUUGGGGGAUGGGGAAGGGCUUUGCGGUAGUCCAGACAGCAGCCACGUAGGACUCCGACACCCCCGGCCCAUUCAAAUGUCUCUUUCUAUCCCAUUCUCUUCCACUCCACCCCUGCCCCCCCUUUUUUUUUGCUUUGCAACUGCGUCCUCCUCCUCUGAUGCUGCCGUUGUACCUCUUCAGUAGCCAUCCAGGCAUUGUCGGACAUCCGCAACUACCACCCCCGCGCUCGCUCGCCUUGUACUACAUCGUAGUCUACCCAGGAUCCGUCCGCAACCAAGGACCCUCCNNNNNNNNNNNNNNNNNNNNNNNNNNNNNNNNNNNNNNNNNNNNNNNNNNNNNNNNNNNNNNNNNNNNNNNNNNNNNNNNNNNNNNNNNNNNNNNNNNNNNNNNNNNNNNNNNNNNNNNNNNNNNNNNNNNNNNNNNNNNNNNNNNNNNNNNNNNNNNNNNNNNNNNNNNNNNNNNNNNNNNNNNNNNNNNNNNNNNNNNNNNNNNNNNNNNNNNNNNNNNNNNNNNNNNNNNNNNNNNNNNNNNNNNNNNNNNNNNNNNNNNNNNNNNNNNNNNNNNNNNNNNNNNNNNNNNNNNNNNNNNNNNNNNNNNNNNNNNNNNNNNNNNNNNNNNNNNNNNNNNNNNNNNNNNNNNNNNNNNNNNNNNNNNNNNNNNNNNNNNNCCCCCUGCCGACGAUGUCCAUGCCAGACACCACGCCCAGCAGGUGUUCGGAUGAAAUGCUAGUGAGCUUAUUUUCGAACGUCAUGUCAUUCUUUUAGAGUAUGAAGGAUGGCAGGGUACUCGACCAUGAAGGAUGAGUUGUUGUGCAAUGCAUGGUUGGCCAUGUUCGUGGAUUUCGUAGGCAGGAGCAGAAGGGGGCUCUUCUGGCAGCUCUUGCAUGAUUCGUUUCACACGUGAAAGCACAUUGCACCCUACGACAUGCACAUCAUCCACAUCCUUCUUGAAAGCGUUGCCUUGGCAUGAUCCACCUCCUUCUUGUUUGUGUACUAGCGGAAACCCUAGGUCCGCUUUGGAGAUGCCAUUUGAGUACGGGAUUAGAAGAACACUUUUCGGGUGCUGAUGCCAUUUCUUAAACAUUUGGCAUAUGUAUAAGAUACAACCUAUUGGACUAUACAUAUUGUCUUUUGAAUUAUGCAAUCUCUUAUUAGGUCUCUAAUAGUCGCUAGUAUUAUAGUGCAUGAUACCCCUUUAAUUAUCACAUUUGCAUUUCAUAGUAUAGUGGCCUAGUAUAAUUUUGCCAUCUCAAUUAUUUACUUGUUUUUGUUGAAUCUCAAUAUGAAGUGUGUACAAGAUCUUUUUGUGCUUAAAUUUUUUCGUUAUGGGGUAUGAUACUAUAUAUUAUCACCUCACUCUUCUUUAAUUAUAGUGCAACAUCAUCUCAAUAUUUACGUGGCACCACAAAAACUUUGGGAGUGGUCUUAAAGGGACAAUAAUGUAUAGUCCAUUAUAAUUCAUUAAUUGUAAGUGCAUAUAUCGUGAUUAUUCUUGAAUGAGAGCAGCCAUUGCAUAUGCAUCGGCUUUCAUCAGGAGUAGGUGCACUUCGUGCAUGCAUGCACAUGGGUGUGGGUCGACGUGGCGACUGGCAAUAGAUCCAAUCCACUAGGCAUGACCUACGUUAAUUAAGACGGCUUUUACAAGUCUUGAGAUUCAGUCAAUCAUUAUGCUCCCCCGCACCCAGAGUGUUCUUCCUUUGUGUACACUGUUUAAGUAAUCAUAGUUUUUUUUGAAAACCCCUCCCAUAUAUUAAUUAAUUAAAAAUGUUCAUACAAUCGUCUAUUACAACUUCAGCCACACAGGGCGGAACACUAUUAAGACUCACACCAUCAGACCUAUUAACAAAACUGAAUUUAGCAAUUUCAUGCGCCACCCUAUUGGCCCUUCUGUUAAACUUGGAAAUCUUGAAACUUGUCAUCAACCUGAAAAUGCUCAAUGCUUCCAUCUUCAGAUCAACUAGGGAAGACAAGUCCAAAUAAUCAUAGUUUUCUUUAAACUAAGUUAACUAGUAAACUAGAGAUUUUGAUACAAUAACUACCUUUGUCCUGAUUUAUUAGUUCCCUUGUAUUUUGGGUCAAAUUUUAAUCUUUGAUUUAACUAUAAAAACUUAGCUAUAUACCAAAGAAAUAGCAUCACUAAAACUUCUUUCAAAUAUGAAUCCAACCAGACAUACAACUAAUAUUUUGUUGGUCAAUUCUAUGGUAAAAAUUUGACACAAAAUAUGAGGGGGCCUAAUAAACCCGGAUCAAGGUAGUAACAACUAGAGAUGUUCUACGGAAAGCGUGUGCGUGGCUCCUUCCCAAGGCGACACAACCAGCGACAACACUUAGCCUCAUAAGCCUCUACCUCCUUCCUAUCGUUGUCGCGGCAGCCUCCGCCGAUGGCGGAGGGGCCUGUUUCACCUCAGUGGGCAGCUCACUUGAGAAAGGAACCUUACAACAUCGGGUGGCAAGCGGCACGUCGUCGGUCACGGGCCUUGUCUGGUGGUACGAUGGAAGCCCAUCAUUGGUUCAAGGAUCUUUGGACAAAGCUUUCUGACAUCAACCUCAACGAGAAUAUUGUGGAUGCCAUCAUUUGGAACAAUACUCUGUCGAGUACUCUACAUCUUCGGUCUACCUAGCCCAACUUCAUUACCAAUGUGACUCCCCUUUGAAGUCGUCGGUGUCAAAAUUUUCGGUCCCCUCCAAAGCAUAAUUUUUUGCAUGGCUCAUCAUUCAAGACCGAGUGUAGAAGGCGAAUCGCUUAAGCUGAGGGACUGGCCAAAUUAUGGACUUUGCCAAUUGGGCAAAGAGGGAGUCAGAGACAACGACACAUAUUUUAUUCAACUGUAGAUCAGUGGUGAAGUCAGCCUCAAAAAUCUGUGGGGUCAUUGCUAAUUUUUUGAAUUUUUUUCUUCACAAUGUACAGUGUGUGUACAACAUUUUUAGGGUGUUUUCCUUAAAAGUUCUGGGGUCAGCUGACCCCGUAGCUAACACAUAGAAACGCCAUUGAUAUAGAUACUCAAGGAGCAUCUGGAGCGAACUGGAAGAUGGCUUGGGCUAUAGCAUGUGGACUUCGACGGAUGGAAUAAUUUCAUCUCGGUCAAGGAGUGGUGGAUCUCCACGAUCAACGCCCGCGGCGGCACCAGAAAAGGCUUGGCCUCGCUUGUUAUGCUUGUAUCUUGGGAGCUUUGGUGUGAGACGAGUGCUCACAUUUUUAGGAAUGUCUCGUUGAUGCCGAGCACACGUGUUACCGUCCGAGGCCGCUCUUUUGGGUUUGGCAGGUGCAAAUCAUCUUAGAUCUUUGAUGCCGCAAGAGUAGUAUACUUAUUCAUAAACUCUCUUUUCAAUUAAUGAGACGAGUCAAAACUUUAACCUCCGUUUUGAAAAAUGUAAAUACAUACUCCCUUUUGUCUAGGUGUGUAAGUCAUCUUUCGAAAACCAAAUAAUCCUCAAACACUUAGGCAAGGUACAUUAUCUCUCUCCCCGUUUCUUGUUUCGUCACAUAUCAACCAAUAAGAGAUGUCGGCCGUGCAUGUUUUUAAUGGCUUAAAACUUUCAAACAUGACAUGCAGUGAUUAAUUCAUUGCAUGCAAUGCUAUUAACUAAAAAAUUAAGUUUUUUUGUUUUUUUCUUCGCCUUGGUCGCGAUGCACAAUCUAAGAUGACUUAUACACCUAAACGGAGGGAGUACGACGCUGCUGGUUGUUGUCUGAAAUGUAUCAAAGACGUCCAUGCGAUAGAAACAUGCAUGAUGCUAUAAUGAUGAGACCAUGCGCACUGAUUGAGACAAACCAAAUAAGAAAAUAGAGAAUCGUUGCACACAAGGUAUGCAUCAGAUCUGAUAUCAUAUGACCUUGUCUUUCCUCUCCAUCCCCUUCGUUCCAAAUAGUGUACGUACUAGAGCUAGCGGUGGUUGAUCGUUCGGCGUCUGAUGAAUAUGCACCCAUCCACAACCAGUACACGCAUUUAUAGCCGUCGCUUCUGGCUGCCAUGGCCAUGGGUGGUGGGGUGGGGGUCGUGCGGCAGCCCAUGCCUGCUGUAUGCAUGUGUGAGUGCGCGUUCUCGGAGCGCAGGCAGGCCCCGGCGCCUCGCCGGCUGGAUGUCCGUGCCUGUGCUGUGACCGGCCCGCGCGGGGCUCGAUGGGGGAGAAGACUUGCUGGUUCAGGACCUUGUUGCUCCCUGCCACGGCAACGCCCAGCUCAGGUGGGCACAAACACAGCUGCUCCACUCAACGAACAGUCAUUGGUGGUUGACACGUACCGUCCGUGAAUGCCACGUCGAAAUAUUAAUAUUUGUUCACCGUCCAUAAUUAAGUCGCUCGUAAAAACAAAUCAAAAAGAGAGAAGUACAUACUUUAUUUUUUAUUUUUUAUUCUGAGGGGAUUUUAUUUUUAUACCGAAAAAGGCUUUCGCCCCGCGUUAUAUAUAAAGCAACGAUCCACAGUAAACCGGUACAAACGUACGCCACCACAACACACGCACACACCCAAGGCAGGAUACAUAGGCGCUGAACGCAGCAACACCACCCCUAUCACUACACAAGUAAUUGGUGACUCCCCCGUGAACAUGCCACCACAAAGAGAUGAAGCCGCAUACGACGAACCAUGUACUCUAAGACGGCGCCAUCAGGAAGGUUACGAUGCCGGAGCGACGCCGCCGCCCAAUUUGAGGAUCAGAGUUUUCCCUGAAGCAACAAGACUGACAAUGAGAGCCGCGACGAUGCCUUCAAGAAGGGAACGACCUUUGCCGCCGCCGCCCGAUUUGAGGAUCAGAGUUUUCCCUGGAGCAACACGACUGGCAAUGAGAGCCGUGACGACGCCUUCAAGAAGGGAACGAGUUUCGCCGCCGCCACCCGAUUUGAGGAUUAGAGUUUUUCCUGGAGCAACACGACUGGCAAUGAAAGCCGCGACGACGCCUUCAAGAAGGGAACAAGCUUCGCCGUCGCCGGUCUGUCCGAAGACAAAACAUGUUUUCACCCCGGCUAACACUCACCGCCAUCGAAUGCCACACCCUGGCUACCACGCCGCCCAUACGGUCAUGGCCACCUGGCAGCACCAAGCCACGGGAUCUGCCCAAGAGCGUCGCGCUACCACCAUCAGGGCCGCCACCCCGGCAUCCAAGACCUUGACAUCUCCACACCCAAGACCCGCCGCUACCCCAACCAAAGAGACGAGCGGAAAGGCCCUGCCCUUCGCACCCCUGGACGGCCCCCAGCACCGAGACCCAAAAGGCCGGCCAAAAUUGGCCACCAUCGACCCGUUCUGCUGCACCGGGUGCAAGACGAGCACGGUCCUGCAGCCGGGUGCGAACCGAGCAUGGUCCAACAGCCGGGCGUGAGUCAAGCACAGUCCUGCUGCCGGGCGCGAGACGAGCUCGGUCCAACAACCGGGCACGAGACGAGCUCGGUCCUGCUGCACCAGGCGCGAGACAGGCGAUGGUCUGCAAAUGGGAGAGGGCCAGCCCUUCGACGAAAGUAGGGUCCGAGCGCUGAUACGUCUCCAACGUAUCUAUAAUUUUUGAUUGUUUCAUGCUAUUAUAUUACCCCUUUUGAAUGUUUAUGGGCUUUAUUUUACAUAUUUAUAUUAUUUUUGGGACUAACCUACUAACCGGAGGCCCAACCCGUAUUGCUGUUUUUUUGCCUAUUUCAGUAUUUCGAAGAAAAGGAAUAUCUAACAGAGUCCAAACGGAAUGAAACCUUUGGGAGCGUGAUUUUUGGAACGAACGUGAUCCAGAGGACUUGGAGUGCAAGUCAAGAAGCAGCCGAGGCGGCCACGAGACAGGAGGGCGCGCCCACCCCCUCUGGGCGCGCCCCCUAUCUCGCGGGCCCCUCGGGCAGCCACCGACGUACUUCUUCCUCCUAUAUAAGCCUACGUACCCUAAAAAUAUCCAGGGAGCCACCGAAACACAAUUCCCACCGUCGUAACCUUCUGUAUCCGCGAGAUCUCAUCUUGGAGCCUUCAUCGGCGGCUCGGCGCUCCGCUGGAGGGGGAAUCGACCACAGAGGGCUUCUACAUCAACACCAUAGCCCCUCCGAUGAGUUGUGAAUGGUUUACCACAAACCUUCGGGUCCAUAGUUAUUAGCUAGAUGGCUUCUUCUCUCUUUUUGGAUCUCAAUACAAUGUUCUCCCCCUCUCUUGUGGAGAUCUAUUCGAUGUAAACUCUUUUUGCAGUGUGUUUGUCGAGAUCCGAUGAAUUGUGGGUUUAUGAUCAAGUUUAUCUAUGAAUAAUAUUUGAAUCUUCUCUGAAUUCUUUUAUGUAUGAUUGAGUUAUCUUUGCAAGUCUCUUCAAAUUAUCAGUUUGGUUUGGCCUACUAGAUUGAUCUUUCUUGCCAUGGGAGAAGUGCUUAGCUUUGGGUUCAAUCUUGCGGUGUCCUUACCCAGUGACAGAAAGGGUUGCAAGACACGUAUUGUAUUGUUGCCAUCGAGGAUAAAAAGAUGGGGUUUAUAUCAUAUUGCAUGAGUUUAUCCCUCUACAUCAUGUCAUCUUGCUUAAUGCGUUAUUAUGUUCUUUAUGAACUUAAUACUCUAGAUGCAGGCAGGAGUCGGUCGAUGUGUGGAGUAAUAGUAGUAGAUGCAGGCAGGAGUCGGUCUACUUGUUGCGGACGUGAUGCCUAUAUACAUGAUCAUGCCUAGAUAAUCUCAUAAUUAUUCGCUUUUCUAUCAAUUGCUCGACAGUAAUUUGUUCACCCACCGUAAUACUUAUGCUAUCUUGAGAGAAGCCUCUAGUGAAACCUAUGCCCCCCGGUCUAUCUUUUAUCAUAUUUGCUUUCAAUCUACUUUUAUUUGCAUCUUUACUUUUUGCAUCUAUAUUAUAAAAUACCAAGAAUAUAUUUAUCUUAUCAUAUUAUCUCUAUCAGAUCUCACUUUCGCAAGUGGCCGUGAAGGGAUUGACAACCCUUUUAUUGCGUUGGUUGCGAGUUCUUUGUUGGUUUUGUAGGUGCGUGGGACUUUUGAGGAGCCUCCUACUGGAUUGAUACUUUGGUUCUCAAAACCUGAGGGAAAUACUUACGCUACUAUUGCUAUAUCACCCUUUCCUCUUCAAGGAAAACCAAUGCAAGCUCAAGACAUAGCAAGCGCCGAGGGGAGGGAUCGAAGGCCGAAACAGUCCACCUGCAAACGAGCCGACGCCGAUGAAGAAGCCAACCGUCGCUGCAGUCGGGACCGCUGAGGGAGUCCUGGAUAAGGGGGUAUCCGAACAGCCGGACUAUAUACUUUGGCCGGACUUUUGGAGUAUGAAGAUACAAGACAGAAGACUUUGUCCCGUGUCCGGAUGGGACUCUCCUUGGCGUGGAAGGCAAGCUUGGCGAUUCAGAUGUAUAUCUCCUCCUCUAUAAACCGACUAUGUGUAACCCUAGCCCCCCUCUGGUGUCUAUAUAAACCGGAGGGUUUAGUCCGUAGGAAACAACAACAACAACAAUCAUAUCAUAGGCUAGCUUCUAGGGUUUAGCCUCUCUGAUCUCGUGGUAGAUCAACUCUUGUAAUACUCAUAUCAUCAAGAUCAAUCAAGCAGGAAGUAGGGUUUUACCUCCAUCGAGAGGGCCCGAACCUGGGUAAACAUCGUGUCCUCAGCCUCCUGUUACCAUUAGUCUUAGACGCACAAUUCGGGACCCCCUACCCGAGAUCCGCCGGUUUUGACACCGACAUUGGUGCUUUCAUUGAGAGUUCCUCUGUGUCGUUGCUGCAAGGCUAGAUGGCUUCUCCAACCUUCAACCACGCUGCCCUGGGUGAGACUUUUCUCCUCGGACAGAUCUUCGUGUUCGGCGGCUUCGCACUGCGAGCCAACUCGCUUGGCCAUCUGGAGCAGAUCGAUAGCUACGCCCCUGGCCAUCAGGUCAGGUUUGGAAACCUAAACGACACCGCCGACAUCCGCGGAGGCUUGAUCUUCGACGGAUUCGGGCCCGUGUCAGGAGCGCCGAACAAUCACGACGAGCAUGACCUAGAUCUGCAGUCGGACAGUAUUCGGAACAUCGCACCUGCUUCAGCUCCGGACUUCGUUCCAGAGCAGGCCGUGCCUUCCGAGGACGGGUGGAUGGACCCCGCCCCGAAGGCCGCAUUCUCAUCGGCGUUGGAGCCGAACACAGACUCCUCUCCUCAGGAAAUCUGUACCUCCGGACCCCCGGACUCAUCUCCGGUAGUGUGUUUUGGACCGCGCGCAUCCGUGCCCAUCGAAUAUAAUUGGGCUCUAGUCAUGGAGUUCGCCACCGCGGAUAUCUUUCAGCACUCACCCUUUGGAGACGUGCUGAACUCAUUAUGGUCUCUUUCUCUUUGUUAAGAGACUCCUGGCCGAACUAUGUCCGGCUCGAGUGGGAAGCUGGCGACGAAGAAAUUUGUUACCCACCCACCACCCACUUAAUAGCCACGGUCGACGAUUUGACCGAUGUGCUUAACUUUGACUCCGAAGACAUCGACGGUAUAGACGACGAUGUGGGAGAAAAACAGGAACCACCGCCCACAGGGCGCUGGACUGCUACCUCUUCAUAUGAUAUAUAUGGUGGAUACUCCCAAAGAAACCAAUGGCAAUGAGGCAAUGGGAGAUAACCCCUCGGGGAGGAAAGCAAAACAUGGGCGUCAUCGGCGCCGCUCCAAACCUCGCCACAACAAUACCGACACUGGAGAAGAAAAUCCAGAUGGUGCCGAAGAGGAAUACAAUCCUGAUCAACCCACCUUCAUGCAAGCCGAACAGGAACACAGGCAGGCUAGCCUAGACGAACAGGCGACGGACGGAUACUUGGAGGAUGAUAACUAUAUGCCUCCCUCCGAAGACGAGGUGAGCCUCGGUGACGACGAAUUUGGCGUACCAGAGGAUCCCAUAAAGCAGGAGCGCUUCAAGCACGGGCUUAUAGCCACUGCAAGAAGCCUGAAAAAGAAGCAGCAGCAGCUCCAAGCGGACCAAGAUCUGCUCGCAGACAGAUGGACCGAAGUCCUGGCGGCCGAAGAAUACGGACUCGAACCCCCGAACAGGGGAUACCCAAAGCGUAAACCACUAGAAGAAGAGGCCGAAGAGCCUGAACUUCCAGCACAAGAUGAGGUUGACCGACCACCACGUGGCCGAGAUAAAAUGGCAUGUCAGGCCGGACACCAGCCCGCACCCCCAUGCCGGUUCACUAUGGCCCGGGGCAAUACGCAGGACCUGCGAGAUAUACUGGAAAACAAUGCAGGACAACCAAGAUCGAUCUACGGAUCACGAGGGUGCGCCACAUCUCAGGACACCAAUCGUCACGCUGGACACAAUACUGAUAAAUCCGGCCGGGCCGGACAUUACCGACCAGACCUAAUCGGACUACGCCGUGACAUAGCCUGGCACAAAGACGCCGCACACCCCCUCUGCUUCACUGAUGAAGUAAUGGAACAUGAGUUCCUAGAAGUGUUUAAACCCGUCAACAUCGAGUCAUAUGAUGGCACAACAGACCCCGCGGUGAGGAUCGAGGAUUUUCUUCUCCACAUUCACAUGGCCCGCGGUGAUGACCUACAUGCCAUCAAGUAUCUCCCACUCAAGCUCAAAGGGCCAGCCAGACACUGGCUGAAUAGCCUGCCAGCGAACUCCAUUGGCAGUUGGGAAAAUCUUGAGGACGCAUUCCUCGAUAACUUCCAAGGCACCUAUGUGCGACCACCGGAUGAUGACGACUUAAGUCACAUUACCCAAUAGCCCGGAGAGUCGGCCAGGAAAUUCUGGACUCGGUUCCUAACUAAAAAGAACCAAAUUGUCAAUUGUCCGGACACCGAGGCCCUGGCAGCCUUUAAGCAUAAUAUCCAUGACGAGUGGCUUGCCCGACACCUCUGCCAAGAAAAACCUAAGACCAUGGCGGCACUCGCGACACUAAUGACCCGCUUUUGCGCAGGUGAGGACAGUUGACUGGCUCACAGCAACACCACGCCAGGAAACCCUGGCACUUCAGAUAUCCGUGACAGUAACGGAAAGCCACGGCGCAAUAGACACAAGUGCCAAAACAAUGGCGACAAUGCGGAGGAUACGACAGUCAAUGCCGGAUUCAGCAACUCCAAAUCCGGUCAGCGGAAGAAGCCGUUCAAAAGAAACAAUCCGGGAUCGUCCAGUUUGGACCGCAUACUCGACCGCUCGUGCCAGAUUCACGGCACCCCCGACAAACCAGCCAAUCACACUAAUAGAGAAUGUUGGGUGUUCAAACAGGCCGGCAAGAUAAAUGCCGAGAACAAGGACAAGGGGCUACACAGCGAUGAUGACGAGGAGCCCCGGCAUCCGAACACCGGAGGACAGAAGAAAUCCCCCCCCCAGGUAAAAACGGUGAACAUGAUCUAUGCCACUCACAUCCCCAAACGGGAGCGAAAGCGUGCACUUAGGGACGUCUAUGCGAUGGAGCCCGUCGCCCCAAAAUUCAACCCAUGGUCAUCCUGCCUGAUCACCUUCGAUCGUAGGGACCAUCCGACCAGCAUCCGUCACGGCGGCUCAGCCGCAUUGGUCCUUGACCCAAUCAUCGACGGAUUCCACCUCAGCGAGUCCUCAUGGACGGUGGCAGCAGCCUGAACCUGCUUUAUCAGGACACAGUGCGCAAAAUGGGCAUCGAUCCAUCACGGAUCAAACCCACCAAAACCACCUUCAAAGGUGUAAUUCCAGGGGUAGAGGCCCGCUGCACGGGCUCAAUAACACUGGAAGUGGUCUUCGGAUCUCCGGAUAACUUCCGAAGCGAGGAGUUAAUCUUCGAUAUCGUCCCUUUUCGUAGUGGCUAUCAUGCACUACUUGGACGAACUGCGUUCGCUAGUUUAAAUGCGGUACCGCACUAUGCAUACCUCAAGCACAAGAUGCCAGGACCUCGCGGGGUCAUAACAGUCAAUGGAAACACAGACUGCUCCCUCCGUACGGAAGAGCAUACUGCGGCCCUCGCGGCAGAAGUACAAAGCAGCCUCCUCCGACAAACAUCCAAUUCGGCAACGACAUCCCCGAACACUGUCAAGCGAGUUCGGAGUACCCCGCAACAGGACCGCCAGGCACGCCAGGAGCUCGAUUAGCAACCCGGCCUCCACCCCAGCCCCAUUCAAGCGGCGUUAGUACCAUGCGUACACAACUACGUGCUCAAGAUACCAUGCGCAUAGGUGGAGGCAGGACGACAAUGCGGCCAUAGUGCGGUUCAGCCUCCAUGAGGCCCGCAUACCUUUUUCUUUUUUCAAGACCCCACUUUCGGGCAGCCCCUUCAGAGAGAUCGGAUAACCGGACUCAUCACAGAAGGUACACCAAGGAGGCAUAGAGGCAUCGCACACAAGGGAAUACUCAGGUGGUCUUCUCCAAUGAUCGUUAUACCUGUCCUUACAUACACGCAUGUAGCCUGCCCUUGGAUAGGAUAUGUCAAAUAGUCCUAUUUUUCUGCUUAAUGCAUCAAUUGUACACCUAAAUUUUGCCGUAUUGUCCAAAUAACUUGGAAAUAGUACAUAGUGUCAGCUUCUUGUUACCAUCCUUAUAUUUUCCAUUGAAUAUUUAUUCAAUAUUUGCAUCCGUACACUUUGGUACGGUCAGCUCACCAGGGGCUUCUUAUCAAGCCCCAUAAAAUGGCAAGAAAAGUCCGAACACUUUCAACAGUGUGGCACCCCAAACUUAUAGCAUUAUAUGCAUCAGCUCUGAAUCAUGUCUUGGGUCAAUAGUUGGGUUAGCCCGGAUCCCUUGUUUUGGUACCUUACGUUCCGUUAUAUCGGCUAAGGUAGCGCAGGGAAACUACUGCGAUUGUGUCCCGGUUCUUCCGGACGAGCACCUCAGUAGAGAAAGCCGAAAACUGGCCGUCAUGAUGCGGCGAGAGCUGGUCACUGUUCGCGAGGUAGUAAAAACCCUAAAGGUUUUUUCCGCUUAAGGCGAGGAAUCGGCCUUGCCCGAUUUAGGCGUGUAUAACGCCCCAAUUCGGCUUUCCGAAUACUAGAGGCUUCGCCGAAAUUUAAAAUUAUAGACUUCUAUGGCCAAGUGAGAGUUAUAAAGCCGAAUAGUCCGAUUGCCUGGUUCGCUGCGCUAAACACCUCCUUAAAGGACCAAGAAUUUGGAUAAAGAGUGUUUAGGUUUUCCACGAACACCCCAAUACUAGUUACAAGGGGGCGGAAGCCGACGACUGGCCACUUUCAGGUUUUGAUAAACGGCCGCAGAGAAGGUAAUAUUUUAAAUCAAACAAAGCGUUAUAUAGCGCAAUCAAACUCGUCCUCAUAUUACACAGAUGACAUGAGUACAUUUACUCGAAAAUAAUGUUCUUAGGACAUUCAUUCGCCACAAGCCGAGUGCCUUUCAUAACGCCACUACAAUACAUCUCGGGGUAGCUAUGCUCCUUGCCCUUCGGGGGUCCAUCCUUCACGAGCUGCUCAGCAUCUAGUUUGCCCCAAUGCAUCUUCGCGCGGGCAAAGGCCUGUCGGGCACCCUCAAUACAUACGGACUGCUUGAUAACUUCUAGCCGUGGACAGGCAUGCACCAUCUGCUUCACCAGGCCAAAGUAGCUGCCGGGCAGGGGCUCGCCGGGCCACAUCCGGACUAUGAGGUCCCUCAUGGACUGUUCGGCCGCAUUGUGGAGUUCGACCAGCCGCUUCAGUUGGUCACUCAGAGGCAUAGGGUGUUCGACCCCAGUAUAUUGGGACCAGAACAGCUUCUCCGUAGAGCUCCCCUCUUCAGCGCGAUAGAACUCCACGGCAUCCGAAAUGCUAUGUGGCAGAUCUGCGAAUGCUCCUGGAGAGCUCUGGAUUCAUGUAAGUAAAAGAAAUGACUCCUCCACAUGCUUCCUUUGCAUAAAGAAUGCCUUACCCUCCGCUAUCUUCUUCGCCGCCUGGUUUCCUAGAGGGCCUUUUGGGCUUUGGCCUUGGCGUUGGCCGCGCUCUGGAGGGCCUUUGCAAGCUCAGACGCUUGCGUCUUGUAGUCAUGCUCCAGGGAGACGAACUUCUUGCCGAGCUCCUGGAGCUCCUGCUGUACCUCUCCCACCUGAGCAUCUUGCUUCUCUCGCUUGAUGCGCUCCGUAUCCGCCUUGGCUUCGGCCACAGACAACGCUUCCUUCAGGGCCGCCACUUUGGUCGCGGUCCCUAUCAAAAGCCAUGAUGCUUUUUCUUAGCAUCACCAACUUUUUAUCCUCCAAACGCCAUAUGGACGGGGUUUCUCUUACCUUUGUUCGCCUCGAGCUGCUUCUUCACGAGGCCGAGCUCUUCUUCGGCCUGCCCCAGUUCGCGCUUGAGUCCGACAACCUCAGCCGUGCACGCAGCGGCGGUCAGGAGCAGUGCCUGUUUGAUUCAUUCAGACAAAUACCAUUAGCUUCCUACAGUUUUUUAGUUGACCCUCCAUUUGGCUAUUUUUUCAAAACACCAACCAGAGUAUCAGGGGCUACUGUCUAUCGGGUGAUAUUUUCUCACACUUUCUUUACCUUAAAGCCUGUUAGCAGGCUGGUGCAGGCUUCGGUCAAUCCGCCCUUGGCGGACCGAACCUUCUAAUCACCGUACCCAUAAGUGUACGUGUUCAUCCUCGAUGGAAGCGCCUCGAAGCACUUCCAACAAAUUAUCCGAUGCUGGGCGGAGGUCAUCGGCACGGACGGCUCACCCUCCUUCGCGAGGGACUGCUUACUGGAAUCCGGAACCUUUGUAGGCUCCGGCGCAGUAACCGGCUGGGAGCCAGACUUGCUGUGGCUCCCAUCAGCAUAAUCCAUGGGGUUCUCAUCCCCCAUGUGUCCGACGCCCGAGAUUUUGCCUUGGGGCAUCCCCGGAGCCAUCGCCUCCUGCUCUGGCAUCCUCCGGGAGAACACUUCGGUGUCGUCCAUAGGUCGUGGGGAGGUUGCCAUCGGGACCAAAUUCAUCUCCGAAUCGUUUAGAGACUCCUCCGAAGAGGACUCCUCGAGAUCGGACCCGGCCGGACUGCAUAAACAUGUCCGGCGUCAUUAUAAACCAUGAGGUCAAAGUCGCACGGAAAGUAUUAUGGAAUGCGAAUACUUACGACCUUGCCUGGGGCUUGCCCCUGGGCAGCCACUCCUCGUCGCUGAAAGCGGUGGUAGUGGAGUGAUCGGGAAGGGACGCUUUUCCCUUCUUCGGUGUCCCGGCCUCCCCUGAUGGGGCGGCCUUCCUUUUCUUCUCCUCCCUAGCAUGGGGAGGAGGCAUUUCUUCAUGUUCUCCCCCGUCUUCGGGGGGAGAAUCUUGUCAUCUUCGGAUGACGACUCUAUCACGGCCUUGCGCCGGGGACCUUUUCUGGUCCCCGCGGCCACCUUCUUGGACCCUUCGGCCCCCUCAGUUGAGGCGGCCUUCUUCUUCUUCCUCUCCUCCCCUUCAUGGGAGGAGUGCGCCUCGUCAUCUUCUGGCGAGGCGUCUGGUGCGGCUUCGCGCCGGAGACCCUUACGGGUCCCUGUGGCCUUCUUUUCGGCCUUUUUCUCCGGCACCUUGUAAGGCGCCGGAACCAGCAUCUCCGCUAGGAGUGCGCUCACUAGGCCCUCGGGCAAUGGAGCCGGAAAGUUAAUCCGCUCCGCCAUCUCCACCCAAUCCUGUUCGGUCAGUAUAGUGACCUAAGAAUCCUCCCACGAACAUACCAGGAAGGAAAUAUCAUACAAAUAACCAGAGGACUCACCGAACUGGCGAGGCAGCUUGCGCUGAGCCCCCGGUCCUCGGAAAGGGGAGGAGGAACUUUGCCGGUCUUGAGUAACACCUUCCAGAUUUCUUUGUGCGUUGUGCCGAAGAGCUCUAGCAGCAUCUGGUGUUCGUCCAGGUCUAACUCCCACAUAUCAAAUGCCCGUCUUUGACACGGGAGAAUCCGACGAAUGAGCAUGACCUGGACCAUGUUGACAAGCUUGAUCUUCUUGUCCAUCAUACUUCGGACGCAGGUCUCGAGUCCGGCCAGCUCUGUGGGUUCGCCCCAGACCAGGCCCUUCUUCUCCCAAGAAGUGAGCCGCGUGGGGAUUCCGGAUCUGAAUUUGGGGGCCGCCAUCCAGCUAGCGUCGCGCGACUCGGUGAUGUAGAACCACCCUGAUUGCCACCCCUUUACAGUCUCCACGAAUGAGCCGUCAAGCCAUGUGACAUUGGGCAUUUUGCCCACCAUGGCACCUCCGCACUCCGCCUGUUGGCCGCUCAUGAUCUUCGGCUUCACGCAGAAGAUCUUCAACCACACGCCGAAGUGGGGCUUGAUGCGGAGGAAUGCCUCGCACACGACGAUGAACGCCGAGAUGUUGAGGACGAAAUUCGGGGCCAGAUCGUGAAAAUCUAGCCCAUAGUAGUACAUAAGCCCACGGACAAACGGGUGGAGUGGAAAUCCUAGUCCGCGGACGAAAUGAGGGAGAAAUACUACUCUCUCCCGAGACUUCGGAGUGGGGGUAAUCUCUCCCUCUAUUGGAAGCCUGUGCGCGAUAUUCUCGGCCAGGUAUCCGGCUUCCCAAAGCUUGGUGAUAUUCUCCUCUGUGACAGAGGAGGCCAUCCACUUGCCUCCCGCUCCGGACAUGAUGCGAUCCUACGGAGAAGGUGAGAACUUGGGCGUUGGAGCUCAAGGGUGCGAGAACGGAUGAGCAAAGGAGGAAGAAGGCAUGGGUAAAAACGGGAGAUCUCUAUCCCUUUAUAAAGGCAAUGUAGAAUGUGCGCCUCCCCACUUGCCUCUUGAAAUCUCUUAUCUUUCCAAGCGCCUCGAUUGAUGGCACUGGUUGGGUUACCCAUACCCAUAUUAAUGGAGAUCCCGCGAUAAGGGGACACGAUCUCUGCUUUGACAGAAUUGUCAGCAGAUUAGAUUCGUGGAUUAUUAUUCUCUCUACGGCGAUAUAUGGAAUUUAUCUUGCAGAGACGGACAUGGUCCUUGUGUUCGGAAUUAAUUUUGGAGUAUUCGGAGGUGGAACCCGCCUCGCAAUGCCGAAGACAACCUACGCGCCGGACUCAUCGUCAUUGAAGCCUGGUUCAGGGGCUACUGAGGGAGUCCUGGAUAAGGGGGUAUCCGUACAACCGGACUAUAUACUUUGGCCGGCCUGUUGGACUAUGAAGAUACAAGACAGAAGACUCCGUCCCGUGUCCGGAUGGGACUCUCCUUGGCGUGGAAGGCAAGCUUCGCGAUUCGGAUGUAGAUCUCCUCCUCUGUAAACCGACUAUAUGUAACUCUAGCCCCCUUCAGUGUCUAUAUAAACUGGAGGGUUUAGUCCAUAGGACACGACAACAAUAACAAUCAUACCAUAGGCUAGCUUCUAGGGUUUAGCCUCUCUGAUCUCGUGGUAGAUCGACUCUUGUAAUACUCAUAUCAUCAAGAUCAAUCAAGCAGGCAGUAGGGUUUUACCUCCAUCGAGAGGGCCCGAACCUGGGUAAACAUCGUGUCCCCAGCCUCCUGUUACCAUUAGUAUUAGACGCACAGUUCGGGACCCCCUACCCGAGAUCCGCCGGUUUUGACACCGACAACCGCCAAGCUGCCGUCUAGACACCAGGCAGCCGGAAGGACACACCAUACCUCCAUGCGCCGCGCAUCCCACGACCAGAGCAGCCACCACGCCGGGCCGCUGCCCUACUCCGCGUCGCUCGCUGGGACCAAGCCGAAGGCUCGACACAGCAAGCAACCACCGGCCGCACCUCCGCCCGCCAACCCCGCCGCCAAAAGACGCGCCGCCGAGAGGUGGAGCGCCAUGAUAUGUCUCCAACGUAUCUAUAAUUUUUGAUUGUUCCAUGCUAUUAUAUUACCCCUUUUGGAUGUUUAUGGGCUUUAUUUUACACAUUGAUAUCAUUUUUGGGACUAACCUACUAACCGGAGGCCCAACCCGUAUUGCUGUUUUUUUUGCCUAUUUCAGUAUUUCGAAGAAAAGGAAUAUCAAACGGAGUCCAAACAUAAUGAAACCUUCGGGAGCGUGAUUUUUGGAACGAACGUUGACGGUGUCCUGGACUAGGGGGUAUUCAACGCGUUGUCUCCCGAUCAGUUGGAUUGGGCCGAGGACCCCCAUGGCCGUAUACUCAUGGGCCAGUCCGGACAGCUGCCGCAUACAAGGAAGAAUCAACAAGACUUGGUGAUCAAGACAAGGACUCCUCCCCCACCGGCGUAUUCGGCUAGGACUCUUGUUAUCCUAGGCCUCUGGUGCAUUAUAUAAACCAGGGCCAGGCUAGUCGAUAGACAUAUACAACAACCAUUACAAUCAUACCAUAGGCUAGCUUCUAGGGUUUAGCCUCCUUGAUCUCGUGGUAGAUCCACUCUUGUAAAUACCCACAUUAUCAAUAUCAAUCAAGCAGGACGUAGGAUUUUACCUCCAUCAAGAGGGCCCGAACCUGGGUAAAACAUCGUGUCCCUUGUCUCCUGUUACCAUUGAUCCUAAGAUGCAUAGUUCGGGACCCCCUACCCGAGAUCCGCCGGUUUUGACACCGACAUUGGUGCUUUCAUUGAGAGUUCCGCUGUGUGAUCGGCGAAAGGAUCAAUGGCUCGACUGCAGGUCAACUGCGACGUCGGCUUCUUCAUCACCAGUUCGACUGGUCACCUUGGCUUGACCAAGGACUGCACCCUACCUCCGAUCGUCAUGUUCGGAUGAGGGCCUUCGUCAACACCAACUCCGAUCUCUAUCAAGAUCAUGGAGGAGUCAUCCAUGGAGCCCGGGGGCUCGACGUCAACAUUGCCCUCAGGCGACCGUGCUGUUUUUCUAGACGGCAAACUUGUAUCCGCCGCCACCGCCUCCUCGAGUGUCGCUUAAACGAUUACUUCGGUGGAAUUGUGCGGAAUUAAGUCUACAACAACCCUGCAAAAAUUUCAUCGAGUUCCGAUGGAGGAAUCUCCGGUAAUCUCCGAUAUACCGGAGCCCUGUUGAAUCUGGACGAGAAUCCGGACGAGUUUAGGGCGUGGUAUCCAGCGUCUAGCUCGGAUGUCCUUUGGAGGAUCCAACCGUUGAUUUGCUGCGGAAUUCCCUUAUCUACCACCUGCCAAAAAUUUAGCUCAAUCCGGCCGUCCAAACUCCGGGAAACUUCCGAUUAGUGCAUCGCUUUUUGGAUCUGUUUUCUGCGUAAAAACGAAUCCAACCCGAGUUCGUCUUUUUUAUGAACGGGAUUUCGGACAUCCUUUUUGAAGGAAGUUUUGUAUGGGGUAUUGUGUUUUGUUCCCGAACACAUCCCACUAACUUUAAGAUCUUUUGAACAUGAUCUUCAACAUCAUGCUGGUGUCAAACUAGUCCGGCAAUAUUGCUCCACGGCUGCCGACCUGCGCCAGACACGUCGUCACUUUGUUGAGCCAAGCUCAACUUCUUCGGAUCAUCAUUUUGGCAAGCCGAACAAGAGUCCGGCAUCGCGAAGGAUAAAUUAUCACCAACAUCGCCGCCCCACGGAUUACACAGAGCGGACAUACCGGCAUCGCCGGACGGUCGCUUCAUCAAGCCGGCAUCGACCACGUCAUGACCUGUAUCGGCAGGGCCGCACUAUUGCUUCUUCAAGCUGGUGUCCAUCACGCCGACCUACUUCGACAUCUCAGCUGGACCGGGGGCUUCGCCAUCUCUUCAUCAACCUACUCCGGACACUUCGGCGUCACUAGCCGACCAGGCAAUGGGUGCGCGGAUCGAGUCCCAAUUUUGGGAAUCACCUUCCUUCGGAUUGCUACGACAAAUAAACCAGGUGCUAUUAAUCCUAGUAUUUCUUUUUGCUUGUUUGGGUUAAUUUUUUCCAAGGAAUUAUUACUCUGGUUUGUCCAUCAUAUGUACACAGGUCUAUCAGAUGGUGGCCGCAUUAUCGACGGUCGCAUGAUGGUUCGGUCAGUUUCCAUACAUAGUCCGGCGAACGCCGCAUCCGGAACUCGAAACCGACCUGUGAAUCCAGGCUUUGCCACGCCUUUAUUGCAUUACGCCGAUGACCUGCAUCGACAUCGACUUCGGCGCCAGGCCAUAUUUCUUUUAUUACUCACUUUGCAUAAAUUAUUUAUUACGCAACAUUUUUUUUAAUUCCUAUUAUUACUAUUAUCCCCGGUCUGCACUAUUUUUUGUGCACAGGAAAAUGAUCCAGCCGGACUAUAUCCUUUGACGUCACCUCGGCUGGACGGGGGGCUUCGUCAACACUUCAUUACCCCAUGCCAGGGACUUCGGCAUCACUCUGCCGUCUUGCAUUGACCAUGCUAUGUCACCACUUCACAGUGCCGAGCUCUUUGCUCCGCCACCUCGGGACCGGCUUGGGGGAUGGAACCUUGCCCCGCAUCAAGCUCGGACCACGUCGUCAAUACCAAACACAUUAACCAGCUAAGUUGCCUUCAUGCUCAAAGUUUUAAAUUUCUAACUUGUGUUCAGUUCGACCAAGAAUUAUACUUUUUUGUAAAAAAGUUGCUUGUAAAUUUUUUUUCUUGUCGAAACUUUGUUCGCACACACUUGACGCGCUACCCGCGCUCAUUAUACCUGGGGGCUUCUUUAACAGAAGCUUAUUAAUACGGGCUUUAUGCCCAACACAUGUGUCACACUUCCGCAUGUACCUUUUAUUCACCAUUAUAUGCAUCGAUGUGACUUAAGUUUUGGCCAAGCUGGGUUGCCUGGCUCCUGUGCUUACCCCUACGUUCCCGAUUGUUCGGCUAGGUGGUAAAGGGAGCACCUCUGCGAUUGUUACUGUCGGGUCAGCCGGAUGUGUACCUCAGACUGGGUGAAGCCGAAAGCUAGCGUUCUUAAGGGAAUACUCGGUCGGUGAACUAAAAGAUGAUUUCUUACCUAUUUAUUUACCUGCCCCCAGAUGUUUUUCUGCUCUUUUCGCAGUCCGGACAUGCACUUUAGGGCAUGCCUCCCAGGGAAAGGAACCCCUAACGGAACUAUUCUCCCUGGAAGAUGUUUCUUACUAACCAUGUAAUAUAACAUAACUAGUUGGGCACUUGUCUGAUAAAGCACUAAUGACCCCUACGCCUGGUCUCCACGCAUGCCCCGGUUUUUAUAACCGCGAGGGUAUUCGGACACACUCUGGACUAUUGGGUCCAGAGGUUGAAGCGAAAAGGUCUGCUACGACAAACGAUCUACAAUCCGGCUAGAAGGCAUUCUACAUGUCACCUUACAUUAUAUAGUCAACUUUUACCCAAGUCACUUGGGGGCUCUUAUGUUUAUUUGAGCCGUUUCAUACCAAGUGUUUCUCUUCCUAGCCGUUGCAAAGUUUUUAUUAUUUGUCACUCCUUUUUUCGACACAAGUGUGCGGUCACUAGCCGGGGAGUACUCCGCCUUCGGGAUAGGAGGUUGAAGCCGUAGGCUGACCCGCUUGAAGUUUUGAGAUAGGAUGUGUCAUGUUAAAGCACGGCAGAAGCACCUUUUUUUCUAAAGUCCAAUUUUUGGAUUGGCACCGAACACUUGAUCUAGUUCGGACAUUAAUCUUUUGAAUAAGUUUUUUGGCUUUUCGAGCCCAUGGCACUUUUAAACUAUUUGUGUGUUUUCAGCACAAGUCUCGCAGUGCAACGCCAGACACCUUUUGGGAUUCGGCAAAAACAUUCUCGGAUAUUGCUAUAUAUGCAUCAGUUUCGAAUUGUGUCUUCGGUCAAUAGUUGGGUUGCCCGGCUCCCGCGCUUGCCUCCUACGUUCCGCUUUGUUCGGCUAGGUGUGCAAAGGGAGAACCACUGCGACUGUGCUUCCAGCUCGUAUGGUCAAGCACCUCAGUGGAGAAAGCCAAAAACUGACUGUGACAAUAGGUGUAAACUGGUCAGCGAUCCGAUGACUAUAUUAAAUGACGGGCCAUUCAUUGGCCGAAGUGUUUCCGGCUUGACCUCGACUGUCGCCGAACACUAUCGGGGGCUAUUAACUGGCCUCCCAAACUAAAUCCUCGAUAUUUUGCUCUUACAUUGGAGUAGAGGUUUCAUGAUCAUGCUUAGCAUGACAACCCAAAGAAAGGAACCGAUAGCGGGACUAUUUUCUUUGGAAGACAUUUCUUAUGUUAAACAGUAAUAUAACAUGUCUCUCCGCGUACCUUUGUUUAUAAAACCAUAUGGCCAGAUUGCCUUGUUUGUUGUAAAUCUUUGCCCUCAUAAAGGCUUUAUAAAGUAGGACAAACACUCCUCGGCUAUUGGCCGAGGAGGUGGAAGCCGAUGGUCGGUCAACAAAGUUUUGUACAAUGCGGAUCCGAGCAUUAAUGACGUAAAGUACUUGGAUACAUAGAGUCAUUACACAUAAUUUGUGAUUUUACUAUGGAUAUCGAUCCUUAAUUCGGCCUCCCGUGCCCGCAUUAAGGCUCGGGGGCUACUGGGCUUUGGGCUUAUUAUUUACAAAUAUUAAAGGGGCACAUCAAUCCCCUGAUCUGGUGUUGCCACCCGACCAGUGUCUCGGGGGCUACUGCAUUGCUUGUUCUAUGCAGAAAAUCUUAAGUGCAAUACAGUUUCCGAGGAGAUUUUGAUCCUCAGGUUGGUCGGCCGCACCCAACCUGAGUCUCGAGGACUGAGCAUGCCGCUUUUUGUGUCCCGAAGUAUUCUGCCGAGUUAGGACUUGAUCCUCAGACCGAUUUUGCAAAUCAACUUGAGUCUCAGCGGCUACGGGGAUCAGCGGUCUUAUGUCAUCCUUCAGGUGCAUCUCGGGUUUUAGACCGAUACAUACCUUGAGGGCUACUGGCUAUAUAUCUCGUCACAGAAUAAAUUACAUCAAUAAAAAACAUUGACCAAAAAUCAGCCCAUGACCGAGGUGCUUAACCACCUCGGAAGCAGUUCGACAUAUAGCUCGGAUGCAAGUGGCUGGCUCCUUAGAGGGCAUUUCUGGCAUUAAGCUCAGUUAAACUCCUUCAAACUUCUUUGAACCAAGGUGAUUUGUGACACCUCGGAUAAAGUCCGGCGUUGGAGAUCGGAUACAUAGUCCGGCGUUGGAGCUCGGAUACAUAGUCCGGCGUUGGAGCUCGGAUACAUAGUCCGGCGUUAGAGCUGGGAAGCAGUCCGGCAUUGGUGCUCGACUGCAAAAGAUACCUCGAAUGCAGUCCGGCGUUGGAGCUCGGACGCAAGAGGACGUUGCCACCCGGGAACAACUUCAAACCCGAGGCAUGGCAUAAAAAUAACAAGGCAUUGAUAAAGGCUGUAAACUUAAAGGGGCUCCUCGGAUACCCAAUGCAUAAACUCGUCGAAUGCAUUUCGGCUAUCCUCAAGAUAGAAGAUGAGAAGAUUUGCUGAACCAGUUUUCAAGACCGGCAACCGAAGAUGAAGAACAGUUCGGAAGAAUCGAGGAGCGUCCCUAACUUGAAGACCGGUUCAGGGGGCUACUGACGGUGUCCUGGACUAGGGGGUACUCAACGCGUCGUCUCCCGAUCAGUUGGAUUGGGCCGAGGACCCCCAUGGCCGUAUACUCAUGGGCCAGUCCGGACAGCUGCCGCAUACAAGGAAGAAUCAACAAGACUUGGCGAUCAAGACAAGGACUCCUCCCCCACGGGCGUAUUCGGCUAGGACUCUUGUUAUCCUAGGUCUCUGGUGCAUUAUAUAAACCAGGGCCAGGCUAGUCGAUAGACAUAUAUAACAACCAUUACAAUCAUACCAUAGGCUAGCUUCUAGGGUUUAGCCUCCUUGAUCUCGUGGUAGAUCCACUCUUGUAAAUACCCACAUUAUCAAUAUCAAUCAAGCAGGACGUAGGGUUUUACCUCCAUCAAGAGGGCCCGAACCUGGGUAAAACAUCGUGUCCCUUGUCUCCUGUUACCAUUGAUCCUAAGAUGCAUAGUUCGGGACCCCCUACCCGAGAUCCGCCGGUUUUGACACCGACAAACGUGAUCCAGAGGACUUGGAGUGCAAGCCAAGAAGCAACCGAGGCUCCCACGAGAUAGGAGGGCGCCCCCCUAUAGGGCGAGCCCCCUGUCUCGUGGGCCCCUCGGGCGGCCACCGACGUACUUCUUCCUCCUAUAUAUACCUACGUACCCCGAAAACAUGCAGGGAGCAUCCAAAACACAAUUUCCACCGCCGUAACCUUCUGUAUCCGCGAGAUCCCAUCUUGGAGCCUUCGCCGAUGUUCUGCCGGAGGGGGAAUCAAGCACGGAGGGCCUCUACAUCAACAUCCUUGCCCCUCCGAUAAGUUGUGAGUAGUUUACCACAGACCUAUGGGUCCAUAGUUAUUAGCUAGAUGGCUUCUUCUCUCUUUUUGGAUCUCAAUACAAUGUUCUCCCCCUCACUUGUGGAGAUCUAUUCGAUAUAAACUCUUUUUGCGGUGUGUUUGUCGAGAUCCGAUGAAUUGUGGGUUUAUGAUCAAGUUUAUCUAUGAAUAAUAUUUGAAUCUUCUCUGAAUUCUUUUAUGUAUGAUUGAGUUAUCUUUGCAAGUCUCUUCGAAUUAUCGGUUUGUUUGGGCCUACUAGAUUGAUCUUUCUUGCCAUGGGAGAAGUGCUUAGCUUUGGGUUCAAUCUUGCGGUGUUCUUACCCAGUGACAGAAAGGGUUGCAAGACACGUAUUGUAUUGUUGCCAUCGAGGAUAACAAGAUGGGGUUUAUAUCAUAUUGCAUGAGUUUAUCCCUCUACAUCAUGUCAUCUUGCUUAAGGCGUUACUCUAUUCUUAUGAACUUAAUACUCUAGAUGCAGGCAGGAGUCGGUCGAUGUGUGGAGUAAAUAAAAGUUCUCGGAAUGACCUGAAACUCCACGGAAUGUCUUAGGAUAAUUAAGAAAAAUCCUCGCCAAAGAAGAAGACCAGGGGGCCCACACCCAGUCCACGAGGGUGGGGGGCGCGCCCCCCUACCUCGUGGGUCCCUGGUGGCCCUCCGACGCCAACUCCAAGUCCAUGUAUUGGCUUUCGGGGAGAAAAAAAUCAAGGAGAAGAAAUCAUCGCGUUUUACGAUACGGAGCCGCCGCCAAGCCCUAAUCUCUCUCGGGAGGGCUGAUCUGGAGUCCGUUCGGGGCUCCGGAGAGGGGGAUUCGUUGCCGUUGUCGUCAUCAACCAUCCUCCAUCACCAAUUUCAUGAUGCUCACCGCCGAGCGUGAGUAAUUCCAUCGUAGGCUUGCUGAACGGUGAUAGGUUGGAUGAGAUUUAUCAUGUAAUCGAGUUAGUUUUGUUAGGGUUUGAUCCCUAGUAUCCACUAUGUUCUGAGAAACAUGUUGCUAUGACUUUGCUAUGCUUAAUGCUUGUCACUAGGGCCCGAGUGCCAUGAUUUCAGAUCUGAACCUAUUAUGUUUUCAUGAAUAUAUGUGAGUUCUUGAUCCUAUCUUGCAAGUCUAUAGUCACCUACUAUGUGUUAUGAUCCGGCAACCCCGAAGUGACAAUAAUCGGAACCACUCCCGGUGAUGACCAUAGUUUGAGGAGUUCAUGUAUUCACUAUGUGCUAAUGCUUUGUUCCAGUUCUCUAUUAAAAGGAGGCCUUAAUAUCCCUUAGUUUCCAAUAGGACCCCGCUGCCACGGGAGGGUAGGACAAAAGAUGUCAUGCAAGUUCUUUUCCAUAAGCACGUAUGACUAUAUUCGGAAUACAUGCCUACAUUACAUUGAUGAACUGGAGCUAGUUCUGUGUCACCCUAUGUUAUGAUUGUUACAUGAUGAACCACAUCCCGCAUAAUUAUCCAUCAUUGAUCCGGUGCCUACGAGUUUUCUAUAUAUUGGUUCUCGCUUAUUUACUUUUCUGUUGUUACUGUUACAAUCACUACAAAAUACCAAAAACAUUACUUUUGUUGUCUUUACUUUUGUUACCAUUACCACCACUAUCAUAUUACUUUGCUACUAAACACCUUGCUGCAGAUACUAAGUUUCCGGGUGUGGUUGAAUUGACAACUCAGCUGCUAAUACUUGAGAAUAUUCUUUGGCUCCUCUUGUGUCGAAUCAACAAAUUUGGGUUGAAUACUCUACCCUCGAAAACUGCUGCGAUCCCCUAUACUUGUGGGUUAUCAAGACCUUUUUCUGGCGCCGUUGCCGGGGAUCAUAGCUCUAUUCUUUGAGUCACUUGGGAUUUAUAUCUGCUGGACACUAUGAAGAACUUGAAAGAUGCUAAGACCAAGAUUUUACACUCAACUACGAGGGGAGGUAAGGAACUGCCAUCUAGCUCUGCACCAGAUUCUCCUUCUAUUAUGAGUAAGCUUGCGACACCUAAACUUGCUACUGAUAUGAAUUCUGAUAUGUCGCAUGUUAUCGAUGAUGCCACUUCUUCUAUGCAUGAUACUUGUGAUGAAACCACUUCUAUGCUUGAUACUACUGUGCCCCUUGGUGAAUUUCUUGAUGAGAAAAUUGCUAGGUCUAGAGAAAGAGAAAUUAUUACACCUGAAUACAAUGAUGAGAGUGAUGUUGAAAAUAUGCCUCCUAUUCCUGAAGGUUAUCUUUUUGAUGCAGAAUCUUCUGCCGCUAUUUUUGCUUGCUAAGAUAGAUAUAAACUUAAGAGGUUGCUAGUUAAAUGGAGUAAAGAAUCUCUUAGAGAUAGAAUGAGACCCGACCCUGUUUUUGCUACUUCACCUAUUUGUGUUCCCGAUAAGGAUUAUUGUGAUUUUUCUGUUGAUCCAGAUAUAAUUACUUUGGUUGAAUCCGAUCCUUUCUAUGGCUAUGAAUCUGAAACUGUUGUGGCACAUCUUACUAAGUUGAAUGAUAUAGCUGCCCUGUUUACUAAUAAUGAGAGAUCGCGCUAUCUUUAUUUACUCAAAAAUUUUCCGUUCUCAUUAAAGGGUGAUGCUAAGAUAUGGUUUAAUUCUCUUGAUCCUGGUUGUGUGCAAAGUCCCCAGGAUAUGAUGUAUUACUUCUCUGCUAAAUAUUUCCCUGCUCGUAAGAAACAAGCAGCCUUGAGGGAAAUAUAUAACUUUGUGCAAAUUGAAGAAGAGAGUCUCCCACAAGCUUGGGGGAGGCUUCUCAAGUUACUUAAUGCUUUGCCUGAUCAUCCUCUUAAGAAACCUGAAAUACUUGAUAUCUUUUAUAAUGGACUAACAGAUGCUUCCAGAGAUUACCUGGAUAGUUGUGCUGGUUCUCUUUUCAGGGAAAGAACACCGGAUGAAGCGGAAAUUCUAUUGAACAAUAUGUUGACAAAUGAAAAUAAUUGGGCACCUCCUGAGCCAGCUCCUGAGCCAAUUUCUGAGCCAAUCAUUGAGCCUAUUCCUAAACCAACUCCAAAGAAGAGAGGUGUUCUAUUUCUCAGUCCUGAAGAUAUGCAAGAGGCAAAGAAAUCCAUGAAAGAGAAAGGUAUUAGAACUGAAGAUGUUAAGAAUUUACCUCCUAUUGAAGAAAUACACGGUCUUAGUUUACCACCUGUUGAAGAAGUAUAUGAUCUCAAUUACUUAUUUACUGAAGAACCUCCCGAUAUCCCGACACAAGUAGUGAAGGUAAAUUCUCUCUAUAAAUAUGAUAAAGCUGAAGUCCCUCCUACUAAAAUUGCUAGUCAGUGCUUGGAUGAGUUUGAUAACUUAAUGUUUAAGCAAGAUGACUUCAAUGCUUAUUUUGGUAGAUAAUUAAAACAAGAUGCCUAUAUGAUUAAACGCUUGGGUUAUUAUAUGGCUGAUAUUAGAGGUGAACUUAAACUUGUUAGCAAACAUGCUUCUAUGGUUACCACUCAAGUAGAACAAGUACUUAAAGCUCAAAAAGAAGCACUUGAUGAAAUGGAUAGUAAGAAAAAUGAUUAUGCUGUUAGAGUGGCUACUAGAACCGGUAGAAUGACUCAGGAACCUUUGUAUCCUGAAGGCCACCCUAAGAUAAUCGAGCAAGAUUCUCAGAGAAAUGAUAUUGAUGUGCCUAGUUUUUCUAAAAGGAAGAAAAAGAAAAAUGAUAGGACUUUGCAAACUUCUAGUGAACCUAUCGCUGAGCCACCUGAGAAUCCAAAUGAUACUUCUAUUUCUGAUGCUGAAACACAAUCAGGUGAUGAACGUGAACCCAGUGAUAAUAUUAAUGAUAAUGUUCAUGUUGAUGCUCAACCUAGUAAUGAUAAUGAUGUAGAAGCCGAACCUGCUGUUGAUCUGGAUAACCCACAAUCAAGGAAUCAACACUAUGAUAAAAGAGACUUCGUUGCUAGGAAACAUGGUAAAGAAAGGGAACCAUGGGUUCAAAAACCCAUGCCUUUUCCCCCGAAACCAUCCAAGAAAAAGGAUGAUGAGGAUUUUGAGCGCUUUGCUGAAAUGAUUAGACCUAUCUUUUUGCGUAUGCGAUUAACUGAUGUGCUCAAAAUAAAUCCUUAUUCUAAGUAUAUGAAGGAUAUUAUUACUAAUAAAAGAAAGAUACCUGAAGCUGAAAUUUUCACCAUGCUUGCUAAUUAUACUUUUAAGGGUGGAAUACCUAAGAAACUUGGAGAUCCCGGAGUACCUACUAUACCAUGCUCUAUUAAGAGAAAUUAUGUUAAAACCGCUUUGUGUGAUCUUGGAGCCGGUGUUAGUGUUAUGCCUCUCUCUUUAUAUCGUAGACUUGACUUGAAUAAGUUGACACCUACUAAAAUAUCUUUGCAAAUGGCUAAUAAUCAACUGCUAUACCUAUCGGUAUUUGUGAGGAUGUGCUUGUUGUGGUUGCAAAUGUUACUAUUUUAACGGACUUUGUUAUUCUUGAUAUUCCUGAGGAUGAUAGUAUGUCUAUUAUUCUUGGAAGACCAUUCCUUAAUACUGCAGGGGCUGUUAUUGAUUGCAACAAAGGCAAUGUCACUUUUCAUGUUAAUGGCAAUGAGCACACAGUACACUUUCCGAGGAAACAACCUCAGGUUCACAGUAUCAACUCUAUUGGAAAAAUUCCAUCGAUUAUAUUUGGAGGUUUUGAAUUUCCUCUCCCUACUGUCAAGAAAAAGUAUGAUAUACUUAUUGUUGGGGAUUUUCAUAUCACCGUUGAGGUAACUUAGUGCUAUUCGAAAUUUCUCCAGUUCUGUGUUAAUCGGAAUGAGCUCGAUUAACAAGACUUGAUCAACCUUAUUAGUGGAUUCAUUUUGAUGAUCACGAGAUGGAUGAAACUAGAAGCACAACCUGCUGUACCCUCUUUAUAUUUUCUGUUAUUUAGUAGAAAUAAAGUAAAAUAGUACUUGUCUAUCUGUCUCCCAACUUAUCCGUGCAAUAUAAUAAUUUCCCAAAAAUAAAAGUCCUCAGAAUUCCAUGCCAAUUUAAUAUGAUUUUUUCGGGAAUAUUUAAGAAUUUACUGUGCAAAAAUCACCGCAGGGGGAGCUGCCACCUGGCCACGAGGGUGGAGGGAGCGCCCUACCCCCCUCGGCGCCCCCCUGCCUCGUGGGCCCACAGUGGCCCUCCUCCACUUAUUCCUGCACCCAUCUUCUUCCUCUGUUUCACACAAACACGAAAAACCAACUCAAGCACGAGUUCCAGCCCCCGUUGUUGUGAUUUUCGAUCUUCUUGCUCAAAGCACCUCCCGCAAAACUGCUUGGGGAGAUUGUUCCUUGGUAUGUGACUCCUCCAUUGGUCCAAUUAGUUUUUGUUCUAGUGCUUUAUUCAUUACAAAUUUGUGCUGCAUAGGUGACCAUGUUCUUGAGCUUGCAUGUCAAAUUUAUAUGGUUCCAAGUAGUUCCAAUGCUUUAUAUAUGCUCUAGGCACUUGCAGGAGUUGUUGCUAUCAAUUUUAUUGAAGUUGGUUCACUUUUAUUUGAAGUUACUAAAAAUUUCAGAUUGUUUCAGAAUUAAUGAAGAGAUUUUUGAGGGGCUCGUCGAGCCGAAGUGCUAAGGAAAAACAAAAGGAAGAAGAACAGAAGCCCAAAUUUAAUUUGCCUCGCACCGCGGAGGUCCGGCCGUGUGAAUGGCCUUGCGAUGACUUCUUGAGGAGAGCCGGGAUUUAUGAAGACUUCUAUUUAUUAAUUGAGAAUGCUGGCAUCACCGACUUCCUCCGCGACCAACGUCAUUAGUAUCUCUUACUCACAAAUACUUUUGUGCAAAAUUUCUACUUUUUCCCUAAGAGUUCACCUCCAUCGGUAGAAUUUCAUUUAUAUGACGUUGUUAAGCGGAUGCCAUUAGCUGAAUUUUGCGAAGUUUGCAAAAUACCUUUUGAGGGCACCUUGGAUGAACCACACCGUAAUGAAGUAGAAGCUUUUAUUAACACUAUCACGGUGGGAGAAACCAGGAAGGUUUUUGAUGCAAGAAUCACUAGCAUACAUUUUCCUGUUUUACGCUACUUUGCCUUAUUUGCUAGUCGUUGCCUGAUAGGUCGCGGAAACUGUGGAAACCUUAGUAUUCCUGAUGUUAUCAUUUUGUUCCAUGGUUUAUAUUGAAGUAACUCUGUUAGUAUGGGUGGAAUUGUUGCUAGGCGGUUAAGUCUGAACCAUACUAGAGGCCCCAUCUUUGGAGGUAUUUAUGCCUCACGCCUAGCUGAACAUUUAGAAAUACCUAUUAGGCAUGAGGAGGAAGAGGAAACAUCGCUGCCUCGUGCUUAUUUAGAUUAUAGGAGUAUGCUAGCGCAUGAUUUUCUUAUUAAGAGUCGUGAAGGGGAACUCAAAUAUAAAUUGUACUUUGAUAAACAUCACCCUAAGAUUAUUACUUUGCCUGCUCCCUCUUUGUUUAACUUGUCUACAGGUCCUCACAUCGUUCCGUGGGCGGACAUUCAAGCCUAUCGAAAUCCUGCACCCGCCCCGAAAUCGGAGCCACAAGAUGAGCCUCCAUGACUAUCCGUUUAUUCUUGGGAUCCAGAGGAGGCUGCCAGCCAAUGGCAGCCGGAGCCUUCUUCGUUACAGUAUGACCCUAGCUUCACUUACGGGUAUCCGCCAGGCCAUCCCUGGCAAUGGACCAACUUAGGCUAAAAACCUAAGCUUGGGGGAGUAUGUAUUUCCCACCGACAUUACAUUCAUGUUCACACACACUCAUUGCUAGAUGUCGGUGUUCAUACUCUUUCACUGUAAUAUCCAUGCUAGUUUAUUUUCUUUUUCCUGCUUUCUUCUUGUGUGUUUAAUAAACCUUAAGAAAAACAAAAAAAAUUAGUAGUAGUUUAUUUCCUUGCUGUAGAAAUUAAAACGGAAAACCCAAAGAUAUUUCUCGUUCUUUUUUUGCUUGUUGGGAGCUUUCCCGUGUAAAUAGUUUUCCUUUUCUUUUCUUUGGAGGUCAGUAGGAGAAGACCAUGAUUAAAUUGUUGAAGUGGCUCUUAUGUGCAUGAUUGAUUAUUUAACUUAGAGCCCAUAUUACUUGUCUUCUCCUGGUUAUUCAAUGCUUGCAGAUUCCAGCUUAGUCCAAUGCACGUGCACUCUUAUUAUUAUUCACGUCGUUCAGUCGUGCAAGUGAAAGGCAAUAAUGAUGAUAUAUGAUGGACUUAUUGGGAUAAGUAAAGCUCGUAUGAACUCGACCUCUCUUGUUUUUGUAAAUAUGAUGAUUCAUCGUUCCUGGGUUGGCUAUUAUGAAGUAAGCAUAUUUGCAAUGACAUUUAGAGAUUAUAGUUGCUUGUGCCAUGCUUGAUUAGCUAUGAGUUAUAAUGGUUUACCUUGCAUGCCAACAUGCUAUUAGAAUGAUUAUGAUGUGGUAUGAUGGGAUGGUAUCCUCCUUUAAAUGAAUUGAGUGACUAGACUUGGCACAUGUUCACGCAUGUAGUUGAAUCAAAUCAACAUAGCCUUCAUGAUAUUCAUGUUCAUGGUGGAUUAUAUCCUACUCAUGCUGGUAUUUGGUGUAAAUUAAUUUUGAUGCAUGUUUACUACUGUUGUCACUCUCCCAGUUGGUCGCUUCCCAGUCUUUUGCUAGCCUUCACCUGUACUAAGCGGGAAUACUGCUUGUGCAUCCAAACUCCUUAAACCCCAAAGUUGUUCCAUAUGAGUCCACUAUACCUUCCUAUAUGCGGUAUUUACCUGCCGUUCCAAGUAAAUUUGUAUGUGCCAAACUCCAAACCUUCAAAUGAAAUUCUGUUUUCUAUGCUCGAGCAGCUCAUGUUUCAACUAGGGUUGCCCUUAUCUUCCAUGUUAGGCGGUUAUUCUCAAGAGGAGUGGACUCCGCUCCUCAUUCAAGAGAAAAAUGGCUGGUCUUCGGGAUGCCUAGUCCCAUGCUUUAUGCAAACUAAAUCAAAAUAAUUGCAAACAAAACUCCCCUUGGGACCCGUUGAAUGUUGGAGGCACUCGUUGUUUCGAGCAAGCCAUGGAUUGAUGCUUAUGGAGGAAGGGGAGUAUAAACUUUACCAUUCUGUUUGGGAACCUCCUAUAAUUUGUUUAGCAUGGAAGAUAUCGGCAUCUCGUAGUUGUUGCGUUGACAACAAAAGUAUGCCGCUCAAAAUGUUAUUCAAUCUCUAUUUUAAAAUUGAGCUCUGGCACCUCUACAAAUCCCUGCUUCCCUCUUUGAAGGGCCUAUCUAUUUACUUUUAUAUUAAGUCAUCAUCCUUCUUAUUAAAAAGGACCCACUAGAGAGCACACUGUCGUUUGCAUUCAUUAUAAUUGGUUUAUAUUGGGUAUCACUUGACUGGAUCUCUUUUACCAUGAAUUACUAUGUUUAGUCAGUCCUUGAUCUUUAAAGGUGCUCUGCAUUUAUGUUUUGCGGUCUCAGAAAGGGCUAGCGAGAUACCAUUUUGUUAUAUCAUGUUAUGAUUAUUUGGAGAAAGUGUUGUCAUCCGAGUUUUAUUAUUAUAGCUCGCUAGCUGAUUAUGCUAUUGAUAUGAGUAAUUGUGAGACCUUUGUGUUAUUGUUAGUAUGGUUAGUCCAUAAUAUUUGCUGAAACUUGAGUGCUGGCUUUUCAUGUUUACAACAACAAGAGCAAACAGAGUUUGUAAAAGUUUUUCUUUUUUCUCUUUCAGUUUGUCAACUGAAUUGCUUGAGGACAAGCAAGGGUUUAAGCUUGGGGGAGUUGAUACGUCUCCGCUGUAUCUACUUUUCCAAACACUUUUGCCCUUGUUUUGGACUCUAACUUGUAUGAUUUGAAUGGAACUAACCCAGACUGACGUUGUUUUCAGCAGAAUUGCCAUGGUGUUGUUUUUGUGCAGAAAAUAAAAGUUCUCGGAACGACCUGAAACUCCACGGAAUGUCUUAGGAUAAUUAAUAAAAAAAUCCUCGCCAAAGAAGAAGACAAGGGGCCCACACCCUGUCCACGAGGGUGGGCCCCCCUGGGCGCGCCCCCCUACCUCGUGGGCCUCCUGGUGGCCCUCUGACGCCAACUUCAACUCCAUAUAUUGGCUUUGGAGAAAAAAAUCAGGGAGAAGAAAUCAUCACAUUUUAUGAUACGGAGCCGCCGCCAAGCCCUAAUCUCUCUCGAGAGGGCUGAUCUGGAGUCCGUUCGGGGCUCCGGAGAGGGGGAUUCGUCGCCGUUGUCAUCAUCAACCAUCCUCCAUCACCAAUUUCAUGAUGCUCAUCGCCGAGCGUGAGUAAUUCCAUCGUAGGCUUGCUGGACGGUCAUGGGUUGGAUGAGAUUUAUCAUGUAAUCGAGUUAGUUUUGUUAGGGUUUGAUCCCUAGUAUCCACUAUGUUCUGAGAUUGAUUUUGCUAUGACUUUGCUAUGCUUAAUGCUUGUCCCUAGGGCCCGAGUUCCAUGAUUUUAGAUCUGAACCUAUUAUGUUUUCAUGAAUAUAUGUGAGUUCUUGAUCCUAUCAUUCAAGUCUAUAGUCACCUACUAUGUGUUAUGAUCCGGCAACCUCGAAGUGACAAUAAUCGGAACCACUCCCGGUGAUGACCAUAGUUUGAGGAGUUCAUGUAUUCAUUAUGUGCUAAUGCUUUGUUCCGGUUCUCUAUUAAAAGGAGGCCUUAAUAUCCCUUAGUUUCCAAUAGGACCCCGCUGCCACGGGAGGGUAGGACAAAAGAUGUCAUGCAAGUUAUUUUCCAUAAGCACGUAUGACUAUAUUCGGAAUACAUGCCUACAUUACAUUGAUGAACUGGAGCUAGUUCUGUGUCACCUUAUAUUAUGACUGUUACAUGAUGAACCACAUCCGGCAUAAUUAUCCAUCAUUGAUCCGGUGCCUAUGAGUUUUCUAUAUACUGGUUCUCGCUUAUUUACUUUUCCGUUGUUACUGUUACAAUCACUACAAAAUACCAAAAACAUUACUUUUGCUGUCUUUACUUUUGUUACCAUUACCACCACUAUCAUAUUACUUUGCUACUGAACACCUUGCUGCAGAUACUAAGUUUCCAGGUGUGGUUGAAUUGACAACUCAGCUGCUAAUACUUGAGAAUAUUCUUUGGCUCCCCUUGUGUCGAAUCAACAAAUUUGGGUUGAAUACUCUACCCUCGAAAACUGUUGCGAUCCCCUAUACUUGUGGGUUAUCACUUUGUUGAAUCUUGUCAUGAAAGAUCAAUUCGCCGGCCUUCCUAGUGAAGAUGUCGCUACUCAUCUAAACAACUUUGUUGAUUUGUGUGAUAUGUAAAAGAAGAAAGAUACGGAUAACAAUAUUGUCAAAUUGAAGUUAUUUCCGUUUUCACUUAGAGAUCAUGCUAAAGUUUGGUUUUUGUCUUUGCCUAAAAAUAGUAUUGAUUCUUGGAACAAGUGCAAAGAUACUUUUAUCUCUAAGUAUUUUCCUCCCGCUAAGAUUAUCACUCUUAGGAGCGAUAUUAUGAAUUUUAAACAACUUGAUCAUGAGCAUGUUGCCCAAUCUUGGGAAAUAAUGAAAUUUAUGCUUCGUAAUUGCCCUACUCAUGGUUUGAAUUCAUGGAUGAUUAUACAAAAAUUUUAUGCCGGGUUGAACUUUGCUUCUGGAAAUCUCUUAGAUUCGGCCGCGGGAGGCACGUUUAUGGAAAUCACGUUAGGAGAUGCUACAAAACUUCUUGAUAAUAUUAUGGCCAAUUAUUCUCAAUGGCACACCGAAAGAUCUUCUAGUAAAAAAAGUGCAUGCUAUAAAAGAAAUCAAUGUUUUGAGUGGAAAGAUGGAUGAACUCAUGAAAUUGUUUGCUACUAAAAAUACUCCUCUUGAUCCCAAUGAUAUGCCUUUGUCUUCUUUGAUUGAGAAUAAUAAUGAAUCUAUGGAUGUGAAUUUUGUUGGUAAGAAUAGUUUUGGAAACAAUGCUUGUAGAGGAAACUUUAAUGCUAGACCGUUCCCUAGUAAUUCCUCUAAUAAUUAUGGAAAUUCCUACAAUAAUUCUUAUGGUAAUUUCAAUAAGAUGCCCUCUGAUUUUGAGAAUAGUGUGAAAGAAUUUAUGCUUUCUCAAAAGAAUUUUAAUGCUUUGCUUGAAGAAAAAUUGCUCAAAGUUGAUGAUUUGGCUAGGAACGUUGAUAGACUUUUGCUUGAUGUUGAUUCUCUUAAACUUAGAUCUUCUCCUCCUAAGCAUGAUAUCAAUGAGUCUCUCAAAGUAAUGAUAAUUUCCAUUGAUGAGUGUAAGGAAAGAACCACUAGAUUGCGUGCUAAGAAAGAUAGCUUUAUAAAAGCGUGUUCUUCUAGUUUCCAUGAAAAUAAUGAUGAAGAUCUUAAAGUUAUUGAUGCGUCUCCUAUUAGAUCUAUGUUUUGCAAUAUGAAUUUUGAUGAUUAUGGGACUGAUGAUGAAUCAACUUUGCCUAGAAGGCGUCCCAAGAAUUUGGAGUCUUUAGAUCUUGAUGCUAAAAUUGGUAAAAGUAAGAUUGGAGAAGUCACAACCUCAAAUAUCAUUGAACCUACUAUUUCGGAUUUCAAGGAAUUUGAUUAUGAUAAUUGUUCUUUAAAAGGUUGUAUUUCCUUGUUGCAAUCCGUUGUUAAUUCUCCUCAUGCUUAUAGUCAAAAUAAAGCUUUUACCAAACAUAUCGUUGAUGCUUUGUUGCAAUCUUAUGAUGAAAAACUUAAUUUGGAAGUUUCUAUACCUAGAAAACUUAAUGAUGAGUGGGAACCUACUAUAAAGAUUAGAAUUAAAGAUUAUGAGUGUUUUGCUUUGUGUGAUUUGGGUGCUAGUGUUUCCACAAUUCCGAAAACUUUAUGUGAUAUUCUAGGUUUCCAUGAUCUUGAUGAUUGCUCGCUAAAUUUGCACCUUGAGUAUUCCACCAUUAAAAAGCCAAUGGGAAGGAUCAAUGAUGUUCUCAUUGUUGCAAAUAGAAAUUUGGUGCCCGUAGAUUUUAUCGUUCUUGAUAUAGAUUGCAAUCUUUCUUGCCCUAUUAUUCUUGGUAGACCUUUCCUUAGAACGAUUGGCGUGAUUAUUGAUAUGAAGGAAGAGAAUAUUAGAUUUCAAUUUCCAUUAAAGAAAGGCAUGGAGCACUUUCCAAGAAAGAAAGUCAAAUUACCUUAUGAAUCUAUCAUGCGAGCUACAUAUGAAUCGAGUGCCAAAGAUGGCACUACUUAGAUCUAUCUUCGCUUUUAUGCCUAGCUAGGGGCGUUAAACGAUAGCGCUAGUUGGGAGGCAACCCAAUUUUUCUUUUUGUUUUUUGUUUUUGCUCCUGUUUAGUAAUAAAUCUUGCAUCUAACUUCUGUUUAUAUGUGUUUUUAUCUUUUAAUUCGUGUUUGUGCCAAGUAGAACCUAUAGGAUAAACUAUGAUGAUAGUUGAUUUGAUUCUGCUGAAAAACAGAAACUUUGCGCUCACGAUAAAAAAAUCAAUAAAUCGCAGAAACGUGAUUUUUCAUUGAUUCUUUUUGCUGCUGAUCAAUAAACAAAUUUUCCAGUACUUACUAUUUUGGUAGGAUUUUUAGGAUUCCAGAAGUUUGUGUUAGUUACAGAUUUCUACAGACUGUUCUGUUUUUGACAGAUUCUGUUUUCGUGUGUUGUUUGCUUAUUUUGAUGCAUCUAUGGCUAGUAAAAUAGUUUAUAAACCAUAAGAAGUUGGAAUACGUUAGGUUUAACACUAAAAUAAAUAAAGAAUGAGUUCAUUGCAGCACCUUAUGUGGUGGUUUUGUUUUCUUUCACUAAUGGAGUUUAUAAGAUUUCCUGUUGAGUUUUGUGUUGUGAAGUUUUCAAGUUUGGGUAAAGCUUUUAUGGACUAUGGAAUAAAGGGUGGCAAGACCCUAAGCUUGGGUAUGCCCAAGGCACCCCAAGAUAUUCAAGAAUAGCCAAAUGGCCUAAGCUUGGGGAUGCCCCGGGAAGGCAUCCUCUCUUUCAUCUUCGUUCAUUGAUAACUUUACUUGGAGCGUCGUGUAUUAUAUUAGUCUUUGAUUUUUAGUUUACCACAAUCAUACUUGUUGUACACACCUUUUUGGAGAAGCCUAUUUGAUUAGAAUUUUCUAGAAUACUCUAUGUGCUUCACCUAUAUCUUUUGAGCUUGAUAGUUUUUGCUCUAGUGCUUCACUUAUAUCUUUUAGAGCACGGUGGUGUCUUAAUUUUGAAGAAAUUGAUAGUCUCUCAUGCUUCACUUAUAUUAUUUUGAGAGUCUUUUAGAACAUCAUGGUAUUUGCUAUGGUUACAAAGUUGGUCUCAGAAUGACGAGCAUCCAAGUUGGGUAUAAUAAAAACUAUCAUAAGAAGUGAAUUGGAUGCUAUGAUCAAUUUGUUACUUGAUAACUGUUUUGAGAUAUGGAGGUAUUGAUAUUAAAGUCAUGAUAGUUGGGUGAUUGUGAAUUUAAAGAAUGCUUGUGUUGAAGUUAGCAAGUCCCAUAUCAUGCACGUAUGGUUAAAGUUGUGUAACAAAUUUGAAACAUGAAGUGUACCUCGCUUGUGCAUCCUUAUGAGUGGCGGUCGGGGACGAGCGAUGGUCUUUUCCUACCAAUCUAUCCCCCUAGAAGCAUGCUCGUAGUGCUUGAUUUUUGAUGACUUCUAAAUUUUUGCAAUAAGUAUAUGAGUUCUUUUGACUAAUGUUGAGUCCAUGGAUUAUACGCACUUUUACCUUUCCGCCAUUACUAGCCUCUUCGGUGUCGUGCAUUGCCCUUUCUCACCUUGAGAGUUGGUGCAAACUUCGCCGGUGCAUCCAAACCCCGUGAUACGAUACGCUCUAUCACACAUAAACCUCCUUAUAUCUUCCUCAAAACAGCCACCAUACCUACCUAUUAUUGCAUUUCCAUAGCCAUUCCGAGAUCUAUUGCCAUGUAACUUUCCACCGUUCCGUUUAUCAUCAUCAUGACAUACAUUACUUUUAUCAUAUUGCCAUUGCAUGAUCAUGUAGUUGACAUCGUAUUUGUGGCAAAGCCACCAUGCAUUAUUUUUCAUACAUGUCACUCUUGAUUCAUUGCACCAUCCCGAUACACCGCCGGAGGCAUUCAUAUAGAGUCAUAUCUUGUUCUAGUUUUGAGUUGUAAUUCAUAUGUUGUAAUCAAUAUAAGUGUGAUGAUCAUCAUUAUUAGAGCAUUGCCCAAAGAAAAGAAAAAAGGAAGAAAGGCCAAAAAGAAAAAAAAUACCCAAAAAAAUAAAAGAAAAAUAAAAAAGAAAGAAAAAGAAAUAAAAAGGGCAAUGUUACUAUCUCUUUUCCCACACUUGUGCUUCAAAAUAGCACCUUGUUCUUCAUGUAGUGAGUCUCAUAUGUUGUGCUUCAAAGUAGCACCAUGUUUUUCAUAUGGUGAGUCUCAUAAGUUGUCUUUUUCAUAUUAGUGGAAAUUUUUCAUUAUAGAACUUGGCUUCUAUAUUUCUACGAUGGGCUUCCUCAAAUGCCCUAGGUCUUCGUGAGAAAGCAAGUUGGAUGCACACCCACUAGUUUUCUUUUGUUGAGCAUUCAUUUAUAGCUCUAGUGCAUCUGUUGCAUGGCAAUCCCUACUCCUCAUGUUGACAUCAAUUUAUGGACAUCUCCAUAGCUCGCUGAUUAUCCUCGUCAAUGUGAGACUUUCUCCUUUUUUGUCUUCUCCGCACAAUCCCCAUAAUCAUAUUCUAUUCCACCCAUAGUGCUAUAUCCAUGGCUCACGCUCAUGUAUUGCGUGAAGGUUGAAAAAGUUUGAGAUUAUUUAAGUAUGAAACAAUUGCUUGGCUUGUCAUCGGGGGUAUAGAAGUUGGGAACAUCUUUGUGUGACGAAAAUGAAGCAUAGCCUAACUAUAUGAUUUUGUAGGGAUGAACUUUCUUUUGCCAUAUUAUUUUGAGAAGACAUGAUUACUUUGAUUAGUAUGCUUGAAGUAUUACUAUUUCUUUUGUCAAUAUGAACUUUUAUUUUGAAUCAUUUGGAUCUGAACAUUCAUGCCACAAUAAAGAAAAUUACAUUGAGAAUUAUUCUAGGUAGCAUUCCACAUCAAAAAUAUCUUUUUUAUCAUUUACCUACUCGAGGACGAGCAGGAAUUAAGCUUGGGGAUGCUUGAUACGUCUCCAACGUAUCUAUAAUUUUUGAUUGUUCCAUGCUAUUAUAUUACCCCUUUUGGAUGUUUAUGAGCUUUACUUUACACAUUUAUAUCAUUUUUGGGACUAACCUACUAACCGGAGGCCCAGCUCGCAUUGCUGUUUUUUUGCCUAUUUCAGUAUUUCGAAGAAAAGAAAUAUCAAACGGAGUCCAAACGGAAUGAAACCUUUGGGAGCGUGAUUUUUGGAACGAACGUGAUCCAGAGGACUUGGAGUGCAAGCCAAGGAGCAGCCGAGGCUCCCAUGAGAUAGGAGGGCGCACCCUCCCUGUAGGGCGCCCCCUGUCUCGUGGGCCCCUCGGGCGGCCACCGACGUACUUCUUCCUCCUAUAUAUACCUACGUACCCCGAAAACAUGCAGGGAGCAUCCGAAACACAAUUUCCACCGCCGUAACCUUAUGUAUCCGCGAGAUCCCAUCUUGGAGCCUUCGCCGAGGUUCUGCCGGAGGGGGAAUCAAGCACGGAGGGCCUCUACAUCAACAUCCUUGCCCCUCCGAUAAGUUGUGAGUAGUUAACCACGGACCUACGGGUCCGUAGUUAUUAGCUAGAUGGCUUCUUCUCUCUUUUUGGAUCUCAAUACAAUGUUCUCCUCCUCUCUUGUGGAGAUCUAUUCGAUGUAUACUCUUUUUGCGGUGUGUUUGUCGAGAUCCGAUGAAUUGUGGGUUUAUGAUCAAGUUUAUCUAUGAAUAAAAUUUGAAUCUUCUCUGAAUUCUUUUACGUAUGAUUGAGUUAUCUUUGCAAGCCUCUUUAAAUUAUCGGUUUGGUUUGGCCUACUAGAUUGAUCUUUCUUGCCAUGGGAGAAGUGCUUAGCUUUGGGUUCAAUCUUGCGGUGUUCUUACCCAGUGACAGAAAGGGUUGCAAGACACAUAUUGUAUUGUUGCCAUCGAGGAUAACAAGAUGGGGUUUAUAUCAUAUUGCAUGAGUUUAUCCCUCUACAUCAUGGCAUCUUGCUUAAGGCGUUACUCUGUUCUUAUGAACUUAAUACUCUAGAUGCAGGCAGGAGUCGGUCGAUAUGUGGAGUAAUAGUAGUAGAUGCAGGCAGGAGUCGGUCUACUUGUUAUAGACGUGUUGCCUAUAUACAUGAUCAUGCCUAGAUAAUUUCAUAAUUAUUCGCUUUUCUAUCAAUUGCUCGACAGUAAUUUAUUCACCCACUGUAAUACUUAUGCUAUCUCGAGAGAAACCUCUAGUGAAACCUAUGGCCCCCGGGUCUAUCUCUUAUCAUAUUUGCUUCCAAUCUACUUUUAUUUGCAUCUUUACUUUUUGCAUCUAUAUUAUAAAAUACCAAAAAUAUAUUUAUCUUAUCAUAUUAUCUCUAUCAGAUCUCACUUUCGCAAGUGGCCGUGAAGGGAUUGACAACCCCUUUAUUGCGUUGGUUGCGAGUUCUCAGUGUGUUUGUGUAGGUGCGUGGGACUUUUGAGGAGCCUCCUACUGGAUUGAUACCUUGGUUCUUAAAAACUGAGGGAAAUACUUACGCUACUAUUCCUGCAUCACCCUCUCCUCUUCGAGGAAAACCAACGCAAACUCAAGACGUAGCACCCCACGGGACCUGCCUGGAGCCUGCACGCCGCCACCUUGGCUGCACCAGCGCCUGGCCAAGGGCAGCCAACCCCGCCCAGCCGCAUCGCAGCCGCCGCCGCCACCAGAUCCGCCCGCCGCCGCCCGAAGGCCCCUGCACCUGCUGCUCGUAGCCCCGCCNNNNNNNNNNNNNNNNNNNNNNNNNNNNNNNNNNNNNNNNNNNNNNNNNNNNNNNNNNNNNNNNNNNNNNNNNNNNNNNNNNNNNNNNNNNNNNNNNNNNNNNNNNNNNNNNNNNNNNNNNNNNNNNNNNNNNNNNNNNNNNNNNNNNNNNNNNNNNNNNNNNNNNNNNNNNNNNNNNNNNNNNNNNNNNNNNNNNNNNNNNNNNNNNNNNNNNNNNNNNNNNNNNNNNNNNNNNNNNNNNNNNNNNNNNNNNNNNNNNNNNNNNNNNNNNNNNNNNNNNNNNNNNNNNNNNNNNNNNNNNNNNNNNNNNNNNNNNNNNNNNNNNNNNNNNNNNNNNNNNNNNNNNNNNNNNNNNNNNNNNNNNNNNNNNNNNNNNNNNNNNNNNNNNNNNNNNNNNNNNNNNNNNNNNNNNNNNNNNNNNNNNNNNNNNNNNNNNNNNNNNNNNNNNNNNNNNNNNNNNNNNNNNNNNNCGGCCGUCCGCAGCGCAGCCGCCGCGCCCCGCGCGAGCGCCGCCUCCCAAGGAGGUCGUCACAUCCUGCGCUGCAGGACCGCUGAAGGAGGAAAGAGAUCCCCGCCGCCGCCUACGUCGACCGGGCUUUGCCCGGCGGCGCGCUCCGGCGACGGCGAGGGAGGGGGUCGUGAGGAGGAGGACGGCGGCGGAUUUAGGGUUCGUCCCUCCCGCUCGAGGGAACGGGACGGGACGAGGGGGGAAAAGUCAGAGCUCACUUUAUUUUUAUUAUGGUCUCUUUAUGUGUAAAUCGGUAAUUGGAAAAUCAUGCUUUCAUCCGGCUGCUGCAAAUUACCUUUCUUUUCAGAGUUGCUAAUUCUCAUCUAAUUGGGAAUUUGUCAUCUAACUUCCUCGCCGGCCGACCUAUAAUCUCAGGAUUCGUGUUUUUCAGCGGAGGCUCUCUUUUUUUUUUUCCUUUUUCAGAAGAAUCAGCGCAAGCUCUCAGUGUCCUAGUCCACGCACAGGUCGGGAGAUAGUCUGCAAUCGUGUUUUUCGGCGCGUCCUUUGGGCCGGCUCAUUACGGGGUGGGGCGCUCCUAUUGAUUUCAUUUUUUCCUCUCUAUUUUUCCUUUAAAAAUUGUUCGGGACUUCAAAAUUAGUUCUGAAUUUCAAAAUAGUAUUCAUGCAUUCGAAAAAAUGUUCUUGAAUUUAAAAAAAAUCAUAAAAUGUUGUCAUAUUUCAAAAAAUGGUCACAAUCUCAAAAAGUUUCAAGAAUUUAAGAAUUGAUCAUUAUUUGAACAAAUGUUAAAAUUGAAAUUUUAGCAGUUCUGUAAAACAUUCACAAACUCAAAAAUUGUUCGCAGUUUUUAGAAAAAUCACAAUAUAAAAAAAUCACGAAUUCAAAAAAUGUUCAGAACUUCGAAAAUAUUUAAAAUUUUAAUAAUCUUAACAAAUUCAAAAAAGUUCACGAAUAUUAAAGAUGACCGCAAAAUGAAAAUAAAUAAAAAUGAAAAAGAGAAAAAGAGAAGAAAACCCAAAAUGAUUUUUUUAAAAACCGGUGUGAAAAGGCUCUAGAACCUUCCCAAAAUCGAAACAUGGAGUAUACCGGACAUGAGAACUUUGGUCGACCCAAUGUUGUGCGUAGUGAUCACACGGGGAUGCGAUUGCUCGCUACCCAGCGACCUGCGUCGGCGAUGGGGUUCGACCCAGUCGGGGGCGCCUCUAUGUGCGGCCCCUACAAUUUGCCGCAAUGUGCGACAAAUUUGGUUUUCCUUAGAGGCAUAUUGGAGAUUUUUUUGGCCAGUCUAUUAGGAGACAAGGCCGAGCACAAGGAACUGCAGGAAGAUGUUGUUGUGUCCAACUUUCACGGCAGGUUUCGUAAACCCAUCACCUCCCUGUUCCAAGGCCGACGGUGAAGCGUGCCACGAAGAAGCACACUCGUCGAACAAAUGUUCACCGCAGUGCAAGGUUGCGGGGCAGGUUCAUAAGUGCACUAUUGUUUCGGCCUGUGAUAGGUUAAGAUAAUAUAUUAUUGAUUUAAAAGUAAUAGUUCAUACAGACAAUCAAGCUCUAAAGUAUCUACUUACUAAGAAACAUGUAAAACCCGGCUUCAUUCAUUAGGUUUUAUUACUUCACAAGUUUGAUUUGCAUAUUAUCAAUAACAAGGGCGAAUAUAACCAUGUUUGGUUUAAUCUUAUAUUGCUCAACCACAACAUAAUUUUGUGCAAUAGGUGCAUAUAAUCAUUUUUGGGAGAAGUAAACUCCCAAGCUUCUUGGUAGCCAUAAUGGUAAAUUACCGAGUUUUCCUAACUUGCGAAAAAUAGGCUAAUGACAAAAACAUAUUAUAGCUAAAGCGAAAAUAGAUAACAAGUACUCUAGUAACCUUACUAGGGAAAUAUACUUCCUUGGCAAUGGCGCAAAAAAAGGGUUGAUUGCCGUCGAUCAAGUUUCGGAUGUAAAUAUAGCCUUCUUCCCUAGAGAUCCUACAAUUUAUCGAAUCCAGAAAGUGAUGAUGCUUGAUACGAAAAUAUCUACAAGUACUUGUUAUUUCAAGACGUUUGAGUUCACCUAACAAUUCGCAGAAGCGAUGAGAACACUAAUAAAGAUAUAUGCCAGGGCUUAAGAUUUCAUCUACAGUCGUGUACAUGUGCUCGGGAUACAAACUAGAUAAAUCAACAUCGCACCGGUAAACAUUGUUAUAUAUGUAGUACAUGAACUAUGUGUGAGAUGCGUCCAAAUAACCCCUGGACCGACUGCCGCCGAAUAGGUGUCCAACCAAGACCCUAUCCGACUCAUGGGGUUAUCUCGGUUAUUAUGGAUAACCAUACCAACACAUUGGGCAUUUAUUGACUACACCAUAAUUUCCACCAGAGAUGUGAUUACGACUAUCAUACUAAUCCUAAUACUACCGACGUUUGACAUAGCUUUCAUCUCCUCUCAAUACUUUAACUCUAUGUGUUCUGAUCUUCAGUAUCUCGGAUACCAGCGCACCCUAGGAUUGAGGUAGAGACAAAAUAGUUGGACAACACAUAUACAUAAUGUUCUCUCAAAGUCAACCAACAAUCCCUUAAUGCGCAUACAUGGGGCUAUGAAGCUACGCAUCAGACCUUAGGCCGGUGGAACUACUAGCACAUCGCGAAUAAAUAACGAACAAUAGACAUUGUAAACAAAGUUACUUGAAGAUAAAUGAUUGAAAGUCCUACAAUGCUGAUGAGCGUGAUGUAAUCUCGAUUGGAAGUAAUUAAACUAAUUUAGAUGGAGGCUACGGUGGAAGAGAUGGCGGUGGUGGUUGCGCAAACGCGGUGUAAAUGGGAAUGGUGACAGCUGGAAAGGUAAACUGGCGAACUCCAAAACUCUCGGGACUCCUCGAGUUGAAGGGUUUUCCUCUCCUUUAUAUAGUACAUAUGGAUGGACUAGGAUUUUGGGGUGCCUCUACUAUGAAUUGGAACCGGGUCCUUUUGCGAAAGUCGUCAGGAUGGUGCCAUCGACGCGGCGGUAGGCAGCACGAGUAGCAGUAUGACCAGUGGUGGUCGUACCAUGCACAAUCUUCUUGUUUGGAGACUCUAGUGCAUGCCGAGUCGAAUGGCAAUGAUCUUCACGCUCAGUAUAUUCAAUAUAUGACUUGAGUUUUCAUGUAAAAUCACCCAUUUCUGCAAGGAACAAUAUAUACGAGAUUUGUAAUCCUUUGAACUUAUUAGUCAUUAGCAGGCAAAUCGAUGUGAUCAUUACAAAAUAAUUCAAGAAAAUUCAGUUUAAAUACGAGUGAAAAUGAGUGAAAAAUCCACUCAUCAUCAUGCAGCGCUAGAGUUUCACUGUCGCCACGUCAAGUUUAGUCGCCGGUUUUGGGGCAGGCAUGUUCGAUGGAAUUGAUAGCAAUUGACUACUAGUAUCUUAGAUGCGAAAGUAGGCAACAUUGCAGAGACGAGCACACACGACUGCCUAAAGGAUCGGCCAUGGCGAUCAGAAUCCUGGUAACAAAUUGUAUAGCAGCAACGAGCUCUCCUGAGAGAGGAGGAGCUCAAAUGAGCGUUGCGUGCGAAAACUCUUAAGGUUGUCCAAGGGGACGACAACACACAGUUCUUCCAUAUGGUUGCAAAUGGUAAACAUAGGAAGAAGAAGAUCAUUCAGCUUGAACAGGAUGAAGGAACCAUUGAGGGCCAUGACAAUCUGAAAGCGUAUAUUUCCAAAUAUUAUAAAAACCUCUUUGGACCUCCCAAUACUUCCAUGGUAUCUCUUGAUGAGUCUGUGAUCGAUGAUAUAUCUCAAUUGCAGGCAGCAGAGAACGAUGUUCUCUCUGCACCGUUUACUGAAAAGGAAGUGCAUCUGGCCAUAACCCAAAUGAAGCAGAAUAAAGCACCGGGACCAGAUGGGUUCCCAGUUGAAUUCUAUAAGAAAUGUUGGCAUAUCAUUAAAGAUGAUCUUAUGCCUAUGUUUCACGAUUUUUUCGAUGGCCAUUUGGAGUUGUUUCACCUCAACUUUGGUACGAUAACGUUGUUACCUAAGAAGAAUGAGGCGGUUCGGGUCGAACAAUUCCGACCCAUUUCCCUGCUGAAUGUGAGUUCUAAAAUUUUCACAAAGGUAGGGACCAGUAGAUUGACACAAAUUGCUCACUCAGUGGUUCAACCUAAUCAAACAGCUUUCAUGCCGAGACGACACAUACUAGAAGGCGUGGUCGUCUUGCAUGAAACUCUUCAUGAGAUUCACUCGAAGAAACUAGACGGGGUUAUCUUCAAAGUGAAUUUCAAGAAGGCUUAUGAUAAAGUAAAAUGGCCGUUUCUUCAACGGGCAAUGCAUAUGAAGGGUUUUAGUGAAACCUGGAGGAACCAAGAGGAUACUCAAGUCCAGAAGGGUAGUGUCGGAAUUAAGGUGAACGAUGACAUCGGUCACUACUUCCAGACGCAUAAGGGGUUGAGACAAGGGGAUUCCAUGUCACCUCUUCUGUUCAAUAUUGUGGCAGAUAUGUUGGCCGUCAUUAUUGGCAGGGCUAAUGGUCAUGUAGAGGGUCUAGUUCCUCAUCUAGUGGAUGGAGGGGUGUCCAUUCUAUAAUAUGCUGAUGAUACUAUUCUUUUCAUGGAACAUGACUUGGCUAAGGCACAAAACAUGAAACUUAUUUUAUAUUUAUUCGAACAAUUGUCUGGCUUAAAAAUCAAUUUUCAUAAGAGCGAGGUGUUCUGCUUUGGGAAGGCCAAAGACGAGGAACAUACAUACAGACAAUUGUUUGGAUGCGAUUUAGGUGCUUUACCAUUCAGUUAUUUGGGUAUUCCGAUUCAUCACCGUAAGCUGUCCAAUGAAGAAUGGAAAUGUAUUGAAGAACGAAUUGAAAAAAAACUCAGCUGCUGGAAGGGCAAGCUGAUGUCAUAUGGCGGUCGGCUAGUUUUGAUUAACUCAGUUCUGACCAGCAUGCCAAUGUUUUUACUUUCAUUCUUCGAAAUUUCGAAAGGGGUCCGGAAGCGACUUGAUUUCUUUAGAUCUUGUUUCUUUUGGCAGCCUGAUGAGGCCAAGAGGAAAUACCGCCUCGCGCGAUGGGAUAUCCUGUGUAGACCAAAAGAUCAAGGGGGGCUUGGUAUUGAGAACUUAGAAAUUAAGAAUAAAUGCCUUAUGAGCAAAAGGUUAUACAGGUUAGAGACAGAGCCGGAGGGCAUGUGGUCUCAAAUCUUGCGUAAUAAGUAUUUGCACACGAAAAAGCUUGCCUAGGUUACCAUCAAACCCACUGACUCGUCCUUCUGGAAGGGACUUAUGAGAGCGAAGGACAUGUUCUUUCGUAGGGUCAAAUUCUUGGUUGGCAACGGGAUGUCAACAAGAUUUUGGGAGGAUACGUGGCUAGGAGAGACGCCUCUGGCCUUACAAUAUCCUACCCUCUACAAUAUUGUGCAACGAAGGAGGAGUACGUAUGUAUAAUCCUUCAAACUAUCCCCUUAAACAUCCAGUUCAGACGUACGUUAGUGGGUGAGAGGUGGACAACCUGGAUGCACUUGGUUCGGAGGUUGAUUGAAGUUCGUCUCUCCGACAUGCCGGAUUCAACAAAAUGGAAGUUAACUAAAAAUGGGAUAUUUACUGUGAAAUCUUUUUAUACGGAUUUGAUUAAUUCUGGCCCCCUCUCAAGGUCUUUGCAUAUUUGGAAGGUUAGAGUUCCUUUGCGGAUCAAAAUCUUUAUAUAGUUUGUUCACAAGCAAGUUAUUCUCACAAAGAACAACCUUCUUAAGAGGCGAUGGAUAGGAAACUCGCGGUGUUGUUUUUGUGCUCAGGAUGAGAUAAUACAACAUUUAUUUAUUGAUUGCCCACUUGCCAAGUUACUUUGGAGAACGAUUCAUACAGCCUUUAAUAUCAAUGCUCCGGUAGAUAUUGCGUCUAUGUUUGGGACGUGGUUAGCUGGGAUUGAACAGAACAUGGCAGCUCGUAUUUGGAUUGGAAUAUGCGCGCUAUUAUGGGCCAUAUGGAACUGCAGAAACGAUAUGAUUUUUAACAGACGACACAACUUAACUUUUUUGCAGGUUAUCUUGAGAGCUACAGCUAGGAUCCGUACGUGGUCCUUACUCACUCCUAUGGACUCCAGGGAGCCUUUGGUUACUGGGUGCAACCAAUGGGAGAUGGUGGCUCGGGGUAUAUUCAACCGGUUCGGAUGGCGUUCGCAUAAUAGGAUAGGAGUCUAGAGAGCUUAUCCUUAUUUUUACCGCUCCGGUUAGCUUGUAUCUUUCCAGUUUUUUUUUUGCUCCGUUUGCGAGCUGUAAGACAAUCAUGACGCUACUUUCUGGAUUUUUAAUAAGAAAGCCGUAUGCAUCAUCAUGAUGCAGAGGCCGGGGGCAUGCCUCCAUUUCCAAAAAAACAUAUAUUGCAAAGGAUAACUUUGAUGCUUGUUUUGAUUGAAGACAAUCUAAGGAACCACGGGUGUUGUUAUCCGUGGCAAGAAAGGAAAGUUCAUUGUCGCAAAGAAUUCAAGUAUAGAGCUUGUCCAUGAUAUCCUACAGCCGAAGUAAUUGUAGCCAAGGAAGGUUUGUUACUUUUUUUUUUUUUGCGGAGAAGGAAGGUUUGUUAUUUGGAGUGCGGCGUUUUGGUGUCCAGACUCAUCUGCACCCGGUCAUGAAGAAAACAAAACAAAUACUAAAAAAAUUCAAAAACUUUCAAUUUUUUUGUGUGUGGUAGAUAAUUUGAUGCGUGAGGUUCGCUCUCAUUUUUAGAUCAUUUGAACAUCUGAGCUGCUCUCGGCAAAAAAGACAAAUCGGAUCAGAACAAUGCACGAACAAUUAAUAUUUUUACAGACCUCGAAUUUGUCUUUUUUUAGAGAGCUACUUAGAUGUCCAAAUGAUAUGAAAAUUGAAGCGAAACUCACGCAUUAAAUUAUCUAUCACCCAAAAAAAUUGGAUUUUUUAAUUUGUUUAGUAUUUGUUUUGAUUUUUUUUUGUCAGGGCGGGUGCAGCUGAGCCUAGGCUCAGAAGCGGAUUACCGUGUUACUUGCUGAAUCUUUAGAAUGUAGUAGAAUUGGCGUCAGUCCGAACAACAUGAACCUUAUCAACAUAUUGAAUGAAGAUACCUUUGCAGCAGGAAUUGCAGCGGCAGUGUUUAACGAUUUCUACUAUAUAUCGAGAGAGUUUGUCAAAGUAAGUUCCAUACUUGAGUUCAAAUAGGCCAACCCUGUCUUUGGGCUCCAGGCCGCCGGGUUCGACCCGGGUGUGAAUAUCUAAUGUGUCCGUUUAGGACAAAUCUAGUUGUGACAUAAGCUGAUGUUCAUUUUGUUUGUGGUCUAUAUUUUUUGUCCUAAUUUUUUUUAUUUUUCGUGGCUGCAUUAUAUAUUUGUGGAAGCUUACAUGUAACAUCCUUAAAAAACAAAUCUAAUUAUGUUUCUCAUUCUUGUAUAAAAAUAUGCUGAGGGGGUGCUUGCCCCUCUAGUCUCGGCUUUUAUUUUUGGCAUUGCAAAAUACAAGACAUCCAUAUACUUGGUUAGAUGAUCCUCCUCCACCUAUCAUGUACCUCUACUGGUGAAAGAUGUAACCUUAAAUUUUAAUGAAUAAAGAAAAUAGGUACUUUGAUCAGGGGGAGGUCUAUCCACGACAACUUCAUGCUUGUGCAGUGCAUGGCACGACGUCUACAUGCCCUAAGAGAGACCGCAAUCAUGCUCAAGCUCGACAUAUCCAAAGCGUUUGAUUAUGUGAAGUGGCCAUUCUUAGUGGAGGUGCUCAAACACAUGGGGUUUGGCAAUAGAUGGAUUUCAUGGGUGUGCGGCAUCCUAGCAAACUCAAGCACAAGAAUCAUGGUGAAUGGCACUCCCGGGAUGCCGAUAUACUACAGGAAAGGGCUCCGCCAAGGAGACCCAGUUUCGCCAAUGCUCUUCCUACUGAUAAUGGAGCCUUUACAAAGUUUUUUUGAGCUGGCGGUGGAGCGUGGAUCACUUACCCCCCUUGCAAGAUCAGGUAUGAAGCAGUGUGUCUCGAUGUUCGCGGAUGACGUGAUGAUUUUCCUCAAGCCGGAUGAUAUGGACUUGCAUGUUUGUGCAUCGCUGCUGCAAGUGUUUGGAGAUGCUUCGGGGCUGCGUGUCAACUUGGCGAAGAGUGCCGCCUUGCCUAUCCACUGCUCGGAAGACAUAUUGAACAGAGUGGUGCGGAUCCUUGGCUGUCCAGCGGGUAGAUACCCUAGUAAGUACCUUGGCCUCCCUCUGACUUUACGGAAACAAACUGCGGCACAGCUCGGUGGCCUCGUGGACAAGCUUGCAGGACAAUUGCCGAAGUGGAAGGCGACAUACAUGCCCAAAAGUGGGCGUCUAACUCUGGUGCAAUCCGUCUUGUGCGCUAUCCCGAUCCAUGCAAUGAUGGCGCUCGACCUGCCACAAAAAACAAUAAUAGCCAUGAACAAGAUAUGUCAAGGAUUUCUAUGGUGUGCAAAGGAGCAAGCGAAUGGUGGUCAUUGUGCAGUGGCAUGGAAGCAGGUGUGCACACCAAAGUGGGCAGGAGGGCUUGGUAUCCCUAACUUGAGAUGGCUGAAUGUUAUUGUGCAGUCACGGUGGCCAUGGUUACAAAGAUCCGACCCUAGCAAACCAUGGGCUGAGUUCUCCAUCCCGGUGCCUGAACAGUCCACGCACCUUUUCCGUGCGGCAACUAGAGUAUCUGUGGGAGAUGGAAGAACUACUCUCUUCUGGGAGGAUCGGUGGCUGAACGGAAUGUGAAUACAAGAGCUUGCGCCAGCUCUUCACAACAUGGUGGCCAAACGGACCCGCUACUCGUGUACAGUGGAACAAGCUUUGGAGGAAGGCAUCUGGGCACGGGACAUUGGCCCCGAACUCACUGAGCCGAUGCUACAAGAGUACCUUCAAUUAUGGUCAAGGGUUCAGACCACACAUCUAUAGCCGGGAUGCGCUGACGUAAUCAGAUGGUCCUGGGAGCACAAUGGACAGCAUUCCACGCGCUCAGCUUAUGAGGCCAUGUUUUGGGGACGUGAAGGAAUCUCGACAUCUGCAUUCACUUGGAACUCUGGGGCGCCAAUGCGGUGCCGUUUCUUUACAUGGUUGGCGCUUAGGAAUCGCUGCUGGACCUCCGACAGAUUAGCCCGACGUGGGUUGGACCACCAAGAGACUUGCCCUUUUUGCGACCAAGAAGAAGAAUCCAUUCAACACAUUCUGUUGCACUGUGUCUUCGGCAGAGAGGCGUGGACGGUGCUCUGCCGGGCUUUGGGGAAAUCUGAGUGGGUGAUGAUACGACCCAGCUCGCUGCAAGACUGGUGCACUGACAAGGUCAAGAACAAAUCAGCCCGAAAAGACGUCAGAACUCUCUUCACACUUGUGAUGUGGGAGUUGUGGAAGCACAGAAACGCAAUCGUCUUCGACGGGGCAACUCCAUCCAUAAGGCGAGUGUUGCAACGUUUGCAGGAGGAGGGGAGGACAUGGAAAAAGGCAGGACUCUUCAAGUGCGACACGACGGCGUUCUUUGGGGAGUUAGAUAGGUGGGCAUGUGUGAGGAGUUAGUUCGUGUGUGGGUACACCGGCCUAGCUGGGUGAAACAAGCGUGCAAACACUUUGUAAUUAACAGUUGUACGAGUUCUUUUUACCCCUCUUUCUUCUUUAAUAUAUAAUAUGCACACUCGUGCAUAUUCUAGAAAAAUAAAUGCUGGAAAUAUUCCUGACCCUCUCAUAGAACGGUUCUCCAGCUUGUCGACCUGUGGCAGGAUCUGCAGUCGGUGUCGUUUCGCACCGAUGUGGCAGUAGCUGCUAAUGUAUCAUUGGUUUUGUGUCGCAGAUUCUUCAUGGCAGCCACGUAGGAGAGCAGCUAUCGUAAAAAUGACUUCGAGUUGGAUUAGUAGCCGGGAAAGGAAGGCGUAAUUAAGUGCUGCUGGCGAGGGCUUCCGAGAUGGCCUCAAACUCAUUAAACUUGGCACUUAAGCUUCAAAUGCACGCACGCAAAUCCGGUUUUCGGACGGAUCACAUCACAUACGCAUCCACGGUUUGGAAUCGGCGUCACACCUGGCCUGAGCUCAUCAAUAAAAGGCAGCCAACCUGCUUCCAAUCUUCACCAAUCACCAAUCACCAGCCCUUACCCAGCGAAGCGACCGGCGUCCCCUGUUCCCUUCCCAUGGAGAUUGCCUACCCCUACGGCGGGGAGCUCACCAGGAAGCACGGCUCCGUGACAGGCCAGCCGUUUGCCGCCAAGAUCGACAUCAUGUCCGGCCAGAAGCGCGCGAGGGAGAUGCAGAUCCUUCGGCAGCGGUUCCAAGCAGAGCUCGUCGCCGUCCGUGGCCUCCUCCACAAGGCGGCCGCCGUGCUAAUUCCCGCCUCGUCCCCGUUGGCUCCCCGCGUUAAGGAGAGUCGUCCAGGGUUCUUGGCCGAGGAGCCGCCGGCCAAGAAGAGGAAGGCGUCUCCUCCCGUUCCUGUGAUCAAUCGCAAGAAGGCGCCAACGAAGAAGAAGAUGACGGCCUCUGAGAGGGAGAUGCUCGCGGAAGACCUGGAGCUGUUCGUUGCGGAAAUCCCCGAUCACAUCGUCCAGCUCUUGCAGAAGCACAGCUGCGCCACCCGCCCCGGCGAAAUCGAGAUGGACCUCCACGCGUUGGACGACGCUGCUGCUGUCGAGUUACAGGAGCAGGUUGACAAGUUCGCUCGAGAGAGGAGGUCGGCGAAUCCGUCGCCCCAAGAACGCCACCAAGACGGCCCUGAGGCGAUGAACGAAGAGGAGGACGAAGAAGUUGACAUCUGUGGCGGCGUCUCCCCCUUGGUGAUCGUGCCGCAACCUCUGCUGCAAGAACGCCACCAAGACGGCCCUGAGGUGAUGGCCGAAGAGGAAGAGGAGGAAGAAGUUGACAUCUGCGGUGGCGUCUCCCCAUUACCGAUCGUGCCGGCACCUCUGCUGCUCGUCGAAGAUGAAACAGCCAGCGGCAGCCCAAGCUCCAGCAGCAGCAGCAGCAGUUCAGAUACUGAUUCCAGCGACAGCGAUUCAGACACUGAUUCCGGCAGCAGCGACUCGGGUUCAGAGCACUCCGGCGGCAGUGACUCAGAUUCUGAUUCUGACGAGAUCGUCGACAGUCCAGCACCGGCCAUCACGCCUCCAACAUGUGAGCAGCUCGCCCGUGCUCUGGAAAGGCAGCGAAAGGAGGCCACGUCCCGGGCGAGGGAGAAGGCCCGUCAGGAGCUGCUCCACAUGGAGAAGACGGCAAUGCCCGACGAUACCCUACACCGAGAGGAUCUGAAGAGGCUCGGCAUUGAUGAGUACAACACGGCGAAGCCCAGCAACUUGCUGCGGCAGAUUGGGCUCUACCUCAAGGUUGACGAAGACUGGAAGCAGCAACGCCGUCAAAGCUUCCACGAGGAUUUAGAGGAAGGCGAGAUUCGGUAGUGAUCGUCGUUGCUAGCAAGGUCCUAUAACAAGUGAUGCUGUUGCUGAUGGCUUGAUGCCUCACAGAAAACUUGUAGCUCUCUUCUGUAGAUUGUAUGUGUGCUGAACAUGAUUGGAUAUACGAAAGUACAUGAUCAAUUACACUGAGUAUCAACUAAAUUAGUGAUGUCUUCUUUGUAAACAUGUUUAACAGAUAUGUCCAUUUCCAAUAUCAAUCAUACUGAAUAUUUAACAUGAACCGCAAGCAUAUAUAAUAAUGGCAUAUAAGGACCACUAAAUUUAGAAAAAAAAUUGAGAAUAGGACCACGAAAUUUCAAUCAAGCCACAUAUAUAAAAGAGAGUUUUUAUAACUCGGAGGCUCAGUAUUUCUGAAAAGACAUCUUCACAUACAUAUGGAGAUUAAUAUCACGAUGUAUGAUUGAUGCCUCAAGACCCUGAAUGAUAGCAUCACCUUAUACAUUCAAUAUAUAAAAAAGAUACAUAUCAAGGAGGCUUGUUCCAGUGGCACCGAGAUUCGAGCCUUUUCAGUUUUCGUUUUGUGCCUGAAUUUCCUACUAAUGAAUAUGCUAACUAGUUCCUCCUUGACAUUCUCAUUCUUUAUACAACCCGCUUGCACCAUUCUCAUUCCCAACUGCGAACCAUACAGUUCUUCAGUUAAGCAUCCAACAACCUUCAGCUUAAUCUUCAUGGUUGUUUUCGCCUUCAGAAUCUGUUUAAUAGCAGGGGUAGCUUAUAACAAAUCCAUAAGAGUAUGCUGCCGAGAAAGAAAAUAAAUCUAACACCAAGGAAAUGAGCAAGAAAAGAAUCACUGACCGGAUCGAACAUCCUCACCAACAUGACCUCUGGACUGAAUUUGUUUGACAAGCAUCCGGUAAAUCAGUACCCACCAAUAUAUGUGAAAGACUAGAAGUGAAAACAAGAGAGUGUUGAAAAGAUAGUAGUAUGAGGUUCUGUAGAUUUUUUUGUUCUCCUUGUCCAAGAUCAUAGCUAUUUCAUAACUGAAAAAGACACAAGACCAUUGAAUUGAUCAACAAAUGCUCUAAAAAAACUAAGUAGAGUAAUGCUGCUUCCUAAUCAGGUAAAGUAGCACCACAUGCCAGAACAACCAAGAAUGUUACCUUGUGCUUCUUAGAAUCCAGAAAGGAAACACUAUUAGCCGAAGAAAGAUCCACGGAGCCACAAAAAGUAGAAAUGCUACAACAGCUAGCCACUCACAGCUACUGUACUUCGCCAUCUUUCCGAUCUCUAGGAAUAUAUCACUUGCAUCAUGGAGGGGUAAAAUGACCGAGCCAGGACGAGAUAAUCUGUUUGGAAGUAGCAACAACUUCAAGUUUGACUAUGCUGUAUAUUGUUAUGGUAUACAAGGGCGAUUACACUCAUCUGCAUACCUGCAAAUAUAGGACACAACAAUCAGAACAACAAUUGCCACACGGUGAGACAUCAUGACUCCGAAGUCCUUGCGUCUUGUUUCCCAGAACAGAAGAUCAAAGAUAGAAUAUACGUAAAAUCCAGCGGCAUACAUGUAUACAGACUUAAGCUUCAGCCUGGAGAGAAAAACAAACAAUGUUGAAAGCAGCAGCACCGACAAAGCUUCCAAGAGGAUAUAGAGGAAGGCGAGAUUCGUCGUGAUCGUCGUUGCUAGCAAGGUGCUAUAAGAAAGUGAUGCUGUUGUUGAUGACUUAUUGCCUAACAGAAAGCUUGUAGCUCUCUUCUGCAAAAUGUAUGUGUGCUGAACAUGAUUGGAUAUAUGAAAGUAGAUGAUCGAUUAUGAAGACUAUUAUGUUAUGCUCCAAAUUCAAGUAUAAAGAGGGCGGCUAACUUCUGACGAGCGAGCGGAGCGAGGCCCGAUCAAUAUUGACCUAGGUUACCUGUGUUAUAUAUACCUCUUGUAAGCCGCCACACCGGAUAAGUUGAUCAGUUGUAAAUCCCCGGCGUUUGUAACCUCCCCGAUAUAGUGAAGUUCGGCUGGCUGGCGUCUGUGGUUUUUUCCCCUUCGUGUUGGAGGGGUUUGUAACCUCAUUUUCGAAAAUACAUGAAAUAUUUUACUUAAAACUCAUGAGGAUUUGAAAAAUUCACGAAUAUCUUUUAUUAAAUAAGUCAUUUUAUUAAAAUCGUUAACCAACCUCUUACAAUCUAAUCACACCCCCUCCCUCCUCCCUCCUCCCGCGACGCCCUCGCGGGCGCACCGGAGGCUAACCCUAGCUGCCGUCGGGGCUCCCGUCUUCCAUUCAUCCCCUCCCUCGCCGCCGCCAGGGGCGCGACUUGGCGAAGUCCUGCCGGCGGCGGGGUGCUCUUCCUCCCCUCGCGCGGGUGGCGAGACGGGGGGCAACUCAUCAGGGCCUGGGUGUCGCGCUAGGUGCCGGGCGCGACGCAGCGAUGGUGCGUUGGGCAGCGCGGGUGGUAGCGGACGCGCCUUGGUCGCCAGGGUCGGCGACGUCGAGGCCAGAUCUGGGGCCUGUCGACGCGGCUUCAGGUCUUUGCCCCUGCCAUGGCCACAGCAGGUGGUGGUGCGACGCAGCAGUGGCUGGUUGGUCGGCGGGCUGGCCGGGAUCCAGGGGCUUCGACGGCUGGACAACGGCAGGCAGCGCAGAUCGGCUCCUCGAUGAGCCUCUUCACAAUUGGCGGCGGUCCUUGGGAUCUCUCCUUUCCGGUGGGCGAGUGUGUGUUGGUGGCCUCGCGUGGAGUUGCAUUCAUCGCCGAGGUGGGGCGACACAAGAGGUGUCCGGUGGGAAGGCAGGCUGGAGGGAUGGGAGGCGCCGACGAACUCAGGCCACCUGUCACGGGCACAUGGAUGUGCCGACCUGGAUGCGCCCGCUCCCCCUCCUCCCCCGUUCCUUGGUUGUGUGUGGGCUACGGGGCUCCUGCUUUGUUCGAGGCGGGACGUAUGUUGCGGUCUCUUCGGUCGGGUGCGCCCUUUGGCCCAAAGCCGAUCACUUUGGUCGGUCUUGGGGGUGUCUCGAUGCAGAGUGGCAGCCCUGGGGGCGGGAGGCACAGAGUUUGUGGGCAGAACUUGCACCUGGGGUGCGAGCGAGUGGCCAUGGCCACGUGGGUGGGUGGUCGCUGGUGGUUGGCGGAGCUAGGAUGCGUCGGAGGGGUGGUCGUGCCGGGACUUGCCCAAUCUUGUAUUGGCCAUUCGUGGACACUGUAUACCUUCAUGAAGGCUCUGUCGCCGUGUCCUUACUCUUUCGAGUUGCACCGGGUGAAAACUCGAUCUUUGGGAUCAAAUGAUGGCGGCUAUAAGUGGUCGUUCCCUUCUAGGAGGCACCAUCUUGGAGUCCUUGUUCCGUUGUUUCCCGUCUCAACUCUCCUCGGACGAGGUCUCUAUUGGCUUCAAGCGGUUCGUCCUCGCGCAUUUGUAGUGGCACGGUAGUCGUUGGGGGUGGUGCGGCGGUGCUCGGCACCUUUAUAUCUUGCCUUGGGUGUGUGUGUCGUGUGCGGUGGUGGCGUGAGUUUGUAUCGUGGUGCUUGUGGAUCGGUGUUUUAUAUAUAUAGCAGGACGAAAGCAUUUUUCAGUAAAAAAUUGUUAAACAUUUUUAAUUGAAAAACACAUAAAAUAUAAAAAUGUUGGCUACAAACAGUUGCUCAUUUUAGAGACUUGGCUGCAUUUUAUGGAUCAACAAUGUUGAGAGGAGCGAACCAACCUGUGAUUGGAUGGUUAGAGGGACAGUGGUAUCCCCAAUCCACCAAGGUUCUCAAGAUAACAUGCCGGCUGAGUCUCUCAGAGGAGCUUAUCUCUACUCCUAAUGGAGCAGUUGGUAGUCUCCGCGGUCAAUUUUCGUCCCACCAGAGACGGGUUUUUCUCGUCCGUUUUUUUUUCGCUGGUUUUUUUGUCACCUCCCCACCCCACCUCACCCCACCCCACGCACGCACCCUAUGAAAACCACCCCGCAGGCCGUUCCUCUCGAUCCCCUCCCGUCGCCGCCGCCUUUCCUCUCGAUCCCCUCCCGUCGCCGCCGCUGUCCUCUUGAUCCCCUCGAGUAAGCGGCGCCGCCGUUGGCUCCCGAUCUCCUCCAUGGCGGAUUCCCACGGACGCCGCGGCAGGGCAUGGUCGCGAUAAUCGCAUGGAGGGUCGCGUCGAGGAAAGCGACGACCUCGCAGGCAUCGGGUCAAGCGGCUGGCCCUUCUUACGCGAUUGCGCCGUUUUUUUCUUCCGCGGCAGAGGUUGGUGCCGCCACGGCCGCAUCAUGGAUUGCGUCUGUUUUUUUUUUGCGCUGGAUCCUGAUUUGGCGGGAUUUUUUUCCCAGGCAUUGAGCGCGCGCUGGACGGCGGGAACUGUCGCGUCAAGGAGGACGCUAUGGACGGUGGAUCCAGGGCGCUGCACGUCGCUGUCGGCCACGGGAGGAUGUCAUACCCUUUGGGCGCAACAAACUCUUGGCCAUAGCCUCUUCGGCUUUUCACAACAAGUUAAUACUCUCUACACUAGCAUUAGUACUAUUCAGUAAUCACCGCUUUAGCUUCUGAAUAAAUUUUUAUAUGAGAUCUAGCCGGUAAUCGUGCAGGCUUUUGUCUAAAGUUUUUUCUUUUGCAAUUUGAAAUAUAUAGUAAGUGUGAAUAUCACAUAAAUGGUUGGCAUCUAAUUUUCCAUCAUGUUACUUACGCAUAAGACUUGUAUCUCCUUUCUACUGACUAAUGGUGAAUAGACUCCUUUUGUGAAUUAAGAUCAUUCAGAGAUGAUAAUGAUUGUAGCUUGCAUUGCAUGUACGGUGGUGUACCUCUUGAGUUGGAGAAUAUCUUAGAAUUUAUUGACUUGCAGCUAUGGCAAUGACCAACACAGUUUUUGCGUUUUCUUUUUUGUUCCCACGUUUCUUGUUGGUGCUGGUGUAGGUUUUCUUCUUCAAUAAAAUACAUAGAAGCAAAUCAGACUGGUUGCAAAUAUCAUGCUACUUCACCAGAAAUUAUGUUUUCCAACUGAAAUCAUUUUUGUUUACUAGGCGCUAGCUAUCCCUGACAACAAGGUAAGAGACAUGUUGUUUCCAACUCACCCUUAAUUACAGUUGAGAUACUUGCACAAAAGACGUCUGCAAAUGUUUUAUUUUCUUAACAUUGUUUUAUCAUAUCCUUUCAUAAUUUCAUCAGGAAAGAGAUGCAUAUGAGAGGAAGAGAGCCUCCCCCAAGCUCUGUCUAGGCGAUGCACGGGAAAUUUGGAAACUAUCAAGGAGAUGUCGAAUGAUGAAUAUACUCAGACACUGAGACACAUUCUAAAACGUGUUUACGCAGGUUAGUCCUGAUCAUCCUUAUUUUUAAACCUGAAACAUUCUUUAUUAUUGUAGGGUUCUCUAUAAUCCCAUGUUUGUGAAGUCAAUUGCUUAGUUUGAUUGAGAGUACUUAAGUUAAUGCGCAUGUAUACUUUUCUAGAUCAUAUAUUAAUUGGUUGGACUCUUCAUGUACACUAAAUGUGAAACUCAUUAUGAUUCGGAAGUCCUGGUAGCUUGUGACAUAAUUGAUGUAUUUUAUAAGUCAUGGAAUUUGUUGUUAGCAACAUGUACCUGCAGAUUUGGGGUAAUUUCCAUUUCAACAUUGUUUUUGUUCUUGGACAUUCUGGAUCAUACUAAGAUACUUCGGAGAGAUGUUCCAGAUUUAUUCUUUUGAAUUUCACUAAUUUCUUUCCAUGGCUUCAGAUUCACCAGUGCGUUCGUUACUGCCAUUUUGAGUCACUAUUGGUGCCUAUGAUUUGGAUCAUUAACAGUUCAAUUUGUUUAGGUGAUGGGGCUGCCGCCAACCUGGGCCCGCUCAAGAAUGGUGACUCUACAGGAGGGGGAUGGAGUCGCGGAAGCUUCCGUGCUAUUGGGAGCGACAGUUCCACAAUGAGCCGGUCUUUCGUCACCUCUGAGUUGGAGGAUGUCCAAGGCCGGAAGUGUUCGUCACCACUAAGCCGUGGUAAGGAAUUUUUUGCCCAAAAAUAUAUUGGUUCUUAGCUUCCUAAAACUCAGGAAUAUUUUAUCUUUCUCAUAUAUUUUAGUUCAUUUUAUGUAGGCUGAGAUAAUACUGGCGCGAUGUCCAGAUUUGGAUCUCUCAUGUCUGAACAUUUGAAACGCCGAGUACUCCAUGAAAGCUUGCCUAGCCGCUUUUGUGCAAUAUUAUAUCUUUGGACGUUUGCACUUCCGCGGCUCUAGACAUGAGCUUCCUUAUAUGGUAAAAAAAUGAUGGUCGAGAGCUCCAUUCAGCUUGUGGAAAUAAAUAAUCUCCCAUAUUUAUUAAAUUUGCUUGCUUUGGCAUGUUACUUUAUCUAUAUUUGAAAUAGGAUAUUCUUUGAUAUGUAAUUUUAGGAAAUAGUUGGUUUUCAAUCUUUUUGCUUGAGAUUCAGAAGAUCCAAAACUGCCUAAUACAAUGGCUACUCUAAUCAAUAAAAUGAGUUACAUAUAUAUUCAGAAACUAUGUUGAUCAGGCUACUUAUAUGCAUUGGAAAACCAUUAGAUUCCUUGUUGCAUUAACAUUGACAUCCACAGUUACUUCUCUGUACAUAUUUAAAAUGUAGAUAAAAUGUAUAUCCUCUAGCUCUCAUGUGUUUUAGUCUCUCUUUUCUCUUUAUGUUGUAUCACCAAUGAUGAGAGAGAGACCGGGCCAUGGAGAGGGAGAGAGAGAGGUCUAAAUGAUUGUAGCCAUACCAGUUUCAUGUUUCCAUGUAUGACAUUAUACUAGAUAGAAAACAGUAACUUUGUGUGGGUUGAUUAUACUAAAUACUUCUAACAUAAUAAUCUACAUGUAUCAAUUGUUUAUGCCCAUUACUUGCGUACACACUAUACCAUAGUAUUUUAGUAGUGCACCCUAUAAAAAAGCAUCAAUGCACAUUAUAUCUCACUUCUUGCUUUACAUGUGAUUUUCUACCUUCAAAAGGUAACAUGAGCACCUUGAUUUCCUAUCUGUUUAGACACAUAUUUCUUUCAGGGGUUAUUUUUCAAACAUCCACAACUCCUGCCUCUUACUUAAUACACUACAUUCCUAAAGCUUCCCAAAGAUAGUACAUGUUUAAAACAGUUUAUGUCUUUUAGUUUUACAAGCUCCCUAAAACUAAACCGAUGUGGAAUAGGUGUGCCUGCCUGCUUUAAAAUGUGAGCUACUUAUAUAGAUAUUUUUUUCCUCAUCAUUCUUAAGUAUUUCCCCUAAAACUGGGUUAUGCAUAGAUGAUGACUGCUACAACUCAAAGUAAAUAUUCUGAACCUAACUAAAGGAUUCUGGUGAUGGUGGCACACGCACUAGCAAGUAUCUAAUGCAUAUACAUGACUUCAUAUUAUUUAUCUUAUUCACAUUCACAUACUAAUAUAUUCAUGAUUUUCUUUUGCAUUGUAGAGUGCUAGCGUGCUACAUUGCAGAGAAAGCUUUGAGAAAAUGCUUUGUUGGGAUGAUAGACAAGAAUAAUCAAUCCUCAUUCCAAGGUUAGAUUUGUACUUCCUUCCCAGUUCUUCUUUACAAAGGACCAAUCCUCUUACUUUAUCCAUUCAUGUUGUCUUAAUUUUGUUCCUUCAUAGAAAAACAUUUUCUCAUUUCAAUCUUUCUCCAUUUGGUAUGAGUGUGGCACAUGCUCUUAAUUUUUUGACUAUUCUUGGUUGAUUAAUGGUUGGUGUAUUGCCUUCCACUUUGGAUUAUUCUCAAUCCUCUUGCUUAGGCUAUGUGUACCAUUCUGUCACAUGCCGCCAUCAAUCUGAGCAAAAAUUAGUGUAGAUGAACCGAGCUAUUUUAUUGUAAGCUGUGUAUAGACCUUCAUGGGAAAAUAAUCAUGUAGUUAAUGUUUUAUGCCAUAUCUAUCCAGAUAGGUGAAUCCUCGCAAGUUGGUCCCGGUAUCUAAAUAGGAUUGUGCCAACCUAGAGCCUUUUCAGAUUGUAGCAACUCUGUUUGGGGUUUCCUUCUACCUAAUCAAGGCUCAUUCCCGUUUGCUUUGUCCUUAUCUCCUUUUCUGUCAUAAAUUCUUCACCUAUUCAAGAAGCUCAUUUUUUGUUAGUUGGAACAACUAAAAAAAUCAGUGUGCUUUAUCAGGAGUUGUGUAAGUACUAAUUAUGCCAACCUGGGGCAACACUCUAAUGGUUUCUCCACAAAGGAUGCCUCCUGGAGCUCUACUUCUCUCCCACCCCCAACACCGGUAAUAGUAUGAAAAUCCUAUUACUAAAUAGCUUAUUGUUUGAUGCUUAUGUUUGUUGGUGUAGUAAUCAUUUUUGAAGGUCCAGUCCUGGAGGAUGUUACUCGAGGCUUCCGUAUAGUCGAGUGAUUUUGCUUUUGCAUGCUAAUAAUACAAUAUAGAUGGAUAUAAUUGGCAGUUAUUAGUGCAUAUUAUUUUGUCUCAAUACCAUAAAUUCAAUGUAAAGGUUUGCAUUAUUAUUGUCGAAUCUAAAUUACAUUAAAGACUUGAACAGGGAAUGAUGCCUCUUUUAACUGAUUGGUGUGCUUUUUUAACUCUCUUUAAUGAGAAAAUCAUAGUGUAGUUGCAUCUUAUAUUUUGAUUGGGCAUGUAGGUGUGUGCUUCCUCACGAACCCAACUUGGACUUAUCUUCCUUGUUCAAGUCACAAUAAGGGAGUGAGACAGUCUCCCCCCUGCCCCUCCCCUGCCAUGGCGGACUCCGGUGCUGACCCUGUCGACCGCCGCGCGACCCUCUCCGGCGAGCGCGUGUCCUCUGGUGACCGCUGGCUCAGCUCAGAGAGCGAGUCCCCGGCGCGCUCGUACAGCGAAGUCGCCCGCACUCCGUCGCCCCCGGCCCCGCAGAGGCAGGCUCCUCCGCGCGCCCACCGCUCCUCGGCGGCGCGCCCCAGGCUGCCGGCCAGAAACCGCCUUGGCCCCCGCUCGGAGGUACACCGCGUCUCUGGCGGAGAUGUGGUGGACGAGGACGGAUACCAGCUCCCUCGGUGUCGGAACCGCCGCCGUCGCCCGCGGCAGGCGGCCACCCCCAGCCCUCCGGCGCCCCGCCGCCGGAGCCCCUCGCCUGAGGAAGUCGCCGGGCUCUGCUUUCGUUGCCUGGACCAUCGCCACCGGGUGCGCGACUGCACCAACGACAUCCGGUGCCGCACAUGCCUGCAGUCUGGGCAUGACUCCCGCUCCUGCGACCCAUCGCGCCGGGACGUGGUGCCGCAUCGUCAACAGCACGGCAACCCGGCUGGCCGGGCACGCGUGCAGCCGUCGUCCGCGCUCAUCCCCCUGUCGCCCCCCGCAACAACUGCCACGGCGACACCUACGGUCGACGCGCACCCGCCAGAGCCUGUGCGGAUCAUCAUGGCACGCACCGUCGAGAUGGAGGACGCGGAGACGGUUCUGUCCCGCGCGAUGGUCGCGUCCAUCACCGGCAAUCGACCGUCCGUCUCCGCCGAUGAGGUGGCUGCGCUGCUCUGGGACUCAUUCGACCUCGUCGACGGUGACUUCACCGUCCACCGUCACCACCCGGAGGACUUUCUGAUCCUGUUCAGCUCGCUGGCCAUCAAGGAGCGGCUCGCCGGCGACCACUUCAUCCGCUCGCCACGCUUCUCCCUUUCGAUGCGGCCUUGGUGUAAGCUCGCGCACGCCGGCUGCAGCGAGUUCGAAUUUCACGUCGAACUCGAGCUGCGCGGUGUCCCCACUCAAGCAUGGCACCUCUCCACCGCCGAGCAUAUCCUCGGGCAAAGCUGCUGGAUCGAACGCCUCCACCCCCACACCCGUUCCCGCGCCGACCUCGCCACCUUCCGGCUAUCUGGGCGCACACAUGACCCUGACAAGAUCCAUCGCGCUGCCAUUCUUGAGGUGGUCAAGCAGGUGCCGGCGGCCUUGGACUCCGACACGCCCACCAUCAGGAUCCUGACUUACCCCAUCUCCAUCGCGCUAGCCUGCUCUAUCAUGAUCAGACCGCCGACGACUACAAGGCCCUCGGGCGAAGGGCCAGACCAUGAGCGCGGCACCGACGGGAACCGCGACCACGCCCCUGACCGCGGCCCAGGUCGCGCGCGCCGCCGCGGACGCAAGCGCAGACGCACGGACGCGCCCGCCACCGGUCGGGCCGACGGCAUGGCCAUGGACGACCUGGGCUGGCGCGUCGCUAGGCUGGCAAGGUCAGAUGGCCUAUCCUCGUCGCCGACGUGGCCUUCCGGCGCCGGCUCCGGCGCGGCGCCGUCCGCGAAUCCACUGCGUACGGGCAUGAUGCCCUGGCCUGGACAACGAGGGGGCCACCGCCCGCGUCACCACGCCAGAAGAGGAAAAGGCAGAGGAAAGCAAAAGGAGCAGUCUGCAGAGGGCCCGUCUGGCUGCACUGACGCGGUCGCCACAGACGCCCAGCUGGGCCUGGUCGGGCCGCGUGUCGACCCACAACAGGCCGCGAGUUCAAAUCUGGUGGCUGGCAACGAUCCCAAUGACGAUUUUGUGGGGCAUAGACCGGCCCCCCCCUGACGCACCGGCUUGUCGGGAUCUGGCCCAUGGUUGUUGCGCGCCUGUCGCCUCGCAGGAGAGAUCUGCAGCGCUAGAGACCCGGUCGGGACAAAGUGGAGAUACCGCCUUACCCGAGCCAGAGGAGGGGCUGGAUUCCGCUGACCAGUCCGCCGCCACCAAUCCCUCUCGCGAUGCCUCGGGCGGGGAAACGCCCCCUCUCGGCGCCAACCCUCCCGCCCUUGCUGCUGGGCCGUCUCCACCUGCUGCCGCGCGGCCGGCCCGCAGCCCAGCUGGCCCGAUUGCGAUUCUGCAGCGGCCCACGCCUACACCUCCCCUCCUGCUGCCCACCGAAGACCAGCUACCCCGAAACGCUGGGGCCGCGACAAACCAAGGCCCAAGUGGCCGCACGUCGAGCCGCUUCGCAUCGCCUCCAAUUACACUGCGGCGAUCCCGAAGCCGCACUACGCCACAGCCAUGGACCCUUGGAGAGUUUCUGGCCACCGCCACGAAACACCUCAACGCCGCCCUGCCGGCCCCUGGAAAGAAGCCACGCCGACCACUCAACUUCGCCCCUCGCCGUGGACGAUCUGCAACUACGACUUGCCAACCGAGCGCCCCUCCCACGGCGGAGCGGCGCGCCCACGUGCAAAUCCUACGCACCCUUGGGAUCAUAAGGAUCGAUCAGAAGAUCACUGCCGCUGAGAUGAAAGCCUAUGACGGCAUGUUCGCGGCACCGCUACCCCUGACGGUACUCAAGGCCAUUGCCACACUGGUUGACCGGGAGAUCCCAGUCUGCAUGGCAUCGGCUGUGACCGGCAGCGUCGACGUUGCAUGUGAAGGCUAGACCAGUAUACGGGCGCCCGCCCGUCGAUCCCGUUCCCAUGGAUCACGGCCUUAAGAUCGCUAUCUGGAAUGUGCGCGGCAUGAACGCACGGGCUCGGCGACAUGCUAUCCGGUCGCUGCUGGACACCACCGGGGCCUCCAUUGUUUGCAUUCAAGAAACGAAAAUGGAGUUGAUCUACUCGGCUAUUGUCCUUGAUGCGCUUGGUUCCGAGUUCGAUGACUACACGUACCUCCCAGCCGAUGGCACGUGGGGCGGCAUCUUGCUGGCGUGGAAGAGCAGGGCCGUGACCAUCACGGACCCAAUGUUCACCACUAAUGCGAUCACUACUAAGGUGACCACGGUCACUGGCCCUCCUUGGUGGCUAACGGUGGUAUACGGACCCCAGGAAGAUGCAGACAAGGUUGCAUUCCUGCAGGAGCUUCGCGACAUCCGAGCCGCCUGCCCAGGCCCGUGGAUGGUUUGCGGCGACUUCAAUCUUAUCCUCCGCGACGAUGACAAAAACACGGGCACCGUCAACCGGCGCAUGAUGGGCAAAUUCCGCCGUCUCACAAAUGACCUCGCGCUCAAGGAGAUCUACCUCAACGGGCGGCGCUACACACGGUCCAACGAGCAAACACCGCUGACGCUUGUGCAGCUCGACCGUGUUCUUUGCACCGCUGAUUGGGAGGACACGCACAGCGGAUGCCACCUUCGAUGUAUUGCGGCUGUGGUGUCGGACCACGCCCCGUUGCUGCUGGAUUGCUCGCCCACGCCCACCUCACAUCGGAGGUUCCAUUUUGAGGAAUACUGGCUACGCUUGGACGGAUUCCAUGACGUGGUGACCGCAGCCUGGGGCUCUACACAUCACGUCGAUCCCUUCCACCGGCUCAUGCUCCGGCUACAGGCAACGGCGGCUAGCCUCACUAGCUGGAGUUCCAGGUCUACGGGCAACAUCAAGGCCAAGCUGGCGAUAUCACGGGAGCUCAUCUCGCGCUUCGACCAAGCCCAGGAAUCGCGCAACCUCUCGCCACCAGAGGCCUGGCUCCGCAAGCAGCUCAAGAUAUCCUACCUUGGGCUCGCUUCCAUGGAGCGCACGAUCGCCCGGCAACGCUCUCGCAUCGCCAACCUCAAGGACGGCGACGCCAGCACCAGUUUCUUCCACCGGCAAUGCUCAUUCCGUCGGCAGAAGAACCACAUCUACAGCCUGGCCGUGGAAGACAGGGUGCUCACGGACCACUCUGACAUGGCCGAGGCAGCCUUCGCCCAUUUCGAGGCCUUGCUGGGCACGGCGACCGCCCGGGAGCACUCGCUGGACCUGUCCCAGCUCAUUGAGCCGACCGACCUCGCCGACCUUGAUGCACCGUUCAGCACCGAGGAGAUUUGGGAGGCUGUCAAGCGCCUCCCCGCCCGUAAGGCGCCAGGCCCAGAUGGGUUCACAGCAGAAUUCCUACACGCAUGCUGGACUACCAUCAGGCAGGAUUUCCUUGACGUGUUCCAGCAACUUUAUGACAUGCGAGGAAGGGGGUUCUACAAGCUGAACCAAGCAUUGCUGACGCUGCUGCCAAAGAAAGCCGACACCCAUGGGCUGCGCGACUACCGGCCGAUCUGCCUAAUUCACCUUGUGGCCAAAAUCUUCGCCAAGGUGCUCUCGAUCCGCCUCGGUGCCAAGCUGGACAACCUAGUUAGCCGCAACCAAAAUGCUUCCAUCUCGGGAAGGAGCUUGCACGACAACUACGUCCUCGUCAAGCAGUCACUCAAGCUGCUGCACCAAUUGGGAGCUCCGAGAGUCAUGCUCAAGCUCGACCUCACGCGCGCCUUUGAUUCCCUGUCAUGGCCAUUCCUCUUUGAGGUUCUAUGCCAGUAUGGAUUCGGGAACAGAUUCUUGGAGUGGACGGCCAUCCUCCUGUCUUCUGCGAGCACACGCAUCCUCCUGAACGGCGAGCCCGGCCCACCCAUAUGGCACCGGCAAGGGCUCCGGCAGGGCGACUCCAUGUCCCCGCAGCUCUUCGUGCUCGCGGUCGACACCCUGGGAUGGCUCCUACGACGCGCUCACUGCCUGGGCAUCCUGCAGCCACUACACCCACGGCGCCACAUCCCGGCGAUCUCCCUCUACGCCGACGACGUCAUGGUCUUCUGCCACGCCACGGCGGAUGAUACCACUGCGAUCAGGGAGAUCCUCGCCUUGUUCGGCAGGGCCUCCGGCCUGAAGGUGAACUUCACCAAGAGCUUCGCCACCAUCCUGCACGGCGACCAAGCAGCCACGGAGAUGAUCGCGCACCUCGGCUGCCCGGUGGCGACUCUCCCCAUCACCUACCUCGGCAUCCUCAUGUCCACGCGCCGCCCAUCUGUCGCCCAGCUACAACCCAUGGUUGAUGCGGUUGCAGCGCGCCUACCGACCUGGAAGGCCUGGCUGAUGACUAAAACCGAGCGCCUCGCGCUAGUUAAGUCGGUCUUGAGUGCCAUCCCAGUGCACCAACUGCUUGCGUUCGCGCCCCCCAAAAAAACUCUCAAGCAGAUCGAGAAGAUUCAGCGUGGUUUUCUUUGGGCUGGACGCGCCGCUGCCAAUGGCGGACACUGCCACGUGAACUGGAACAGAGUUUGCCGCCCCAUCGAGCUUGGGGGCCUGGGAGUGCGAGACCUCGAGCGCGCCAGUCUCGCCCUGCGACUACGCUGGUUAUGGUUCUCCAGAACGGACCUGGGGCGAGCAUGGCAGGGGUUGGACCUUCAAUUCUCGCCCACGGAACGUGCCCUGUUCUGGGCAUCCACGCUCACGCUCAUUGGGAAUGGGCAGACCGCCCUGCUCUGGGAGGACCGAUGGAUAGGUGGCCAAUCUGUGCGCGAGCUCAUGCCUAACCUCUACGGCUGCAUCCCCAAGCAACGACGGAAGACGAGAACCAUGUCGGACGGACUCAAUGGCAACUCUUGGGCACACGACAUCCAAGGCAACCUCGGCCUCCACGAGAUUGGUCAGUAUCUGCAGCUCUGGCAGAUCAUGCAGCGCACUGAGCUCUCCACCACACCGGACAGGUUGAUCUGGAGAUGGACGGCGAGUGGCACCUACUCCGCGCAGUCCUGCUACACGGCCACCUUCCAUGGAUCAAUGAGCUGUCAUUCCUGGAAGCUAAUCUGGAAGUGUUGGGCGCCGCCGCGGGUCAAGUUUUUCCACUGGUUAGCCAACCAGGACCGCUGCUGGACGGCAGAGAGGCUGGCGCGCCACGGUCUCCAGUAUCAUCCCCGCUGCCUCCUAUGUGACCAGCAACCGGAGACGAUGCGACAUCUGCUGCUAGAAUGCCCCCUAGCCCGACAGGCAUGGCACGAGACCCUGGCCUGGCUACGCAUACCGGCCCCGAUCCCAACACAGGAACUGUCGCUUACGGAUUGGUGGAACCAUGCCAAGGAAGACACGCCGCCGAUCCUUCGCAAGGCCCUGAAAUCUGUCACGCUGCUCGUGCCUUGGAUGGUCUGGAAACACAGGAACAGCUGCGUCUUCGACAACACGGCUCCAUCCCUUAACACGCUCCUAGAUAGCAUUCAGGACGAGGCCCGCUCAUGGGCGGCAGCUGGGGCACCUGGUCUCCGACUUGUGCUGCCCCAAACCUGGGAUGUGCAUUAAUCGACCUGCUGUAAUCCACACAUCCUCAGAUGUCUGUAACUGAACCUCCCCCUUUUCAAUGAAAAGAAACGCAAGGCUUUUGCGUUUUCUCGAAAAAAAGGUGUGUGCUUCCUCGCUUUUCCCUUUCUUAUAAGUUGUCCUCAUUUUGUUGCUUCUAUUUAGGUUUGGAUUUUCUUCAACCCGCAAGGCCCAUCCAGUUGUGAGCUACAAUGAAUUUGUAAAGAGUUGGAGGAGACAACAUUGCACAUCAGAGGUACGCUGAAUGUAGCGAGGCAACCAUGAAUUGGGUAUGUUCACACGAGGGAUGGGAGAGGAGAGGAACAUUAACAUUUUUCAUGUUUUGGAUGAAAAUUUCAAUUCAUAGUUUCUCUGUAUGUGCCAACACACUAGCGGUACUGAUGGGCUUAGGAUGAAAGUAGCGCCAACAGAAUCAGUAGGUUGGAUGGGAAGGCGGUUGUUGCCCUUGUCCCUUGGUUUGUCCCUUCGUGCUAGCCUACCGUGGCGGCCUCACUAACUUGCUCACUACGAAUACGAGUUCGUGGGGUCGCGAGUUGCUGCAGAUUUGUUUUUAUCACUUUUUACAAUAUUUUUUUAUGUAUCCCUAACUUAAUGAGUCAUUUUUAUCUUUGAUUUUCCAUAUACGCCAGCUUAUAUUGAUUGCAACAUCGUGUUAGUCAUCCAUGAUCUUCAAAAGGAUUUUCUACUAACAACAGAAUAAUUAGUACCACCAGUAACCCUUCUAUUUAGCCACCUUCAGGAUAAUUGUAAAUGGAAUUUGGUUAUUCAUGUAUACCACCAGUAGGACUCGAUAUUUAUGGAUUGUCAAUAGCCUCAUCUGAUUGCUUGAUGUACUUAUAUCGUGUUCUUUUCAGUCUCCAUUUCAUCUGAGCAGGGUGGUGAGGGACAGAACUGGUCAUGUUGGAAGUCAGUUUAGUGCAUCAAGGAUGGGAGGUUCAGAGAUUUGCAAGAGGUGAUGGAGGAUGGUUAGUUAUUAUGGCUCAUCAUAUAGUAGUGAAAGACGAGUACAAGCACAAGCUUAUUCAAAAAUUGCAGUUCUUGACUACAUGGGACAUAUAUUUUAUAAUCUUUUUCAUUUCUUCUAAGAGGAUCAAAUAUGUAUUUUGUUCUUCCCAAUGUUCUGAAGGACGAUGUUGGCAUUGAUAUAGUAUAACAUACAUUUACAAUUAUGAGUGCUCUCGAUACUUGGUUCAAGACUUCUCGAGGAAAGAUUAGUUCGUGAACUUUGCAUCUUUAGCUCUUCAAUUAAAACCAUUAAUGAUUAACAAGAUCAACAUUUAUCAAGAAGAGUCUGGAAAUGCCGAGUGGAGGAGAAGCAAUGCAGGGGGUUGGUGGGUUCAACUAUGGGUUGCAGGGGUCAUCAAAUUAGGCACGCUAUACGUCCGUGGGUGUGUCCCGGACAAUGACAGGUCACCCCUCGAACCGUCACGUCCAUAGCCUCGAUCUUCAUAUAUGAUACCCCAAAUCCAUACUAUGCAUGCAACAUGAAACAAACUACUUUGACCAUCAAGGAAACAAACAGACAUAUAAAUCUACAUAAUCGGGACAUAGAUAUCCACAUAAUCUGACAUAGAUCAAAAGAGCACCACAAUUAGCCGAUGAACAUAGUUCUAAACAAAUGUUACUAAAAAUUGUAACAAAGUCGAAGAGAAGGACGCACUUCUUCGCCACUUCCUCGUUGCUACGGAUGUAGCUGUCAAUGUAGGCGUCCAUGGUAGGAGAGGGGGGCCUCGCAGCCGUCGAUGAUAUUGGGGGAGUCAAUCUAGCCAACCAUCCUUCGAACGACGCGGUUUUGCUGCCUCACGAGCUUCGCCGCUUUUGCAUCCGCUGCCGCCCUCUUCUCCGCCUCGCGCACCGACUUCUCGAGCUCGAGGCGGAGGGCCUUGGUGUUCUUCUGAUGGAUCCGACGGGCGUCUAUCUCUGUCGUCAUCAGGGAGCUGUUUGUAGAUAUCUGUGAGGAGCUACUUCUCAUCGGUCAUCACUGACAAUCGGCAACGACAUCGAGAGGACUAUGCGACCGCAUCCUACGCUGGCAGCCUCUCCCUUGCACGUUGCCUCUCACGGCGGGCUGCUGGUGCCUCUUUUUCGGACAUCCGCGUGCGUGUCGCCGGUGGGGCGAGAAUGAGCACCCACGGAUAACCUUUAGGAGCUAUGAAGAUGAGAGUUAGGAGGUCGGCGGUCCAGUGGCGCAGAGCCGGAUGAGCGCGCGAAGCUCUGCGCGGUGCCCAACGGGCCCGUGCUGGCAUCCACGCUAAAAUGGCGGGUAACAGGUGAUGGAGUUGAGCCCGAGCUGUGUCCAUGUCGCUCUCCUCUCAUGAAUGAAGGCGUUCCCAGUCGUCCUCUUUGGCAGAUCUAUCGCCUCCAAUACUGCCGAUGCUCGACAUUAGGAAGGACAACGGAAUGUACAUGGGCUGGAGGGGAAUCAAUGGAGUGUGGAUCGAAAGUGAAGUGGAACUAGGAUUGUUCCGGGUGGGGAUUUUAGUGGGACGGAGGAGUCGGUGUGGGCCAACGUGGACUGGGCUGAUGUGGUGUACACGUCUGGGUGCGCCCAGGCCUCCCUAUAUUUUUCCCAGAUUUGGGUUGGAUAUGAUGGAUGCGGGACUGCCAGGCAUAUAGGGUUGUUAUGAGGCAUCGGUCAGCGUCUUUUUUUGACCCGUUAGUGACCGAGCCAUGCAACCAGUCUUAUAAGGGCGGUUUGGGGUGCUCGGGAUGUAGAUACUCUCAGAUGGGGUGUAGUGGAGGUGGUUGGAUCAACGGAUGAAGAAAGAAGGAAAACAUUUGAAGGAAGAACAACGGCAAGCGAGUUUGACUAAAACAUAAAUUUCUUUUUAGUUCGCUUAGGCACUUCUUUCGAAUUUCCAUGCAUUGGGACCAUACUAAUACAUUUUAUUUGUAUUAUCAGUAUAUUCAAGAUAACAUUAAUUUAUAAAUGAGAUUUGUCUGGCUCCUUUUUUAUGCUCACAUGGAAUGGUAAAGAAUUAGUAAACCCAAUUUGUACGACGAGUAUUCUCUAUUAUACAUUUCAAGACCUUCGACUUGAAUUAUUCGUGCCAACUGCAUAUAUUGCUUGUGCAUGACAUGUAUGAGUUGAGGAAGACGUUUUUAUUAUACUUGGUCAAAUAUUGUGCCAAUGAAUAAAGUCAACAUUUCUGAUAUUGUGCAAGAAUUUCUUCAGAGCAUCAAAUAGAUCUUAAUUUGUAACCGAUUUUUAAUUGGAUCAUCAUUCUAUAUUGUAUUCUUUGUCAAAUUGCCUUUUUGCUAUCAAUUUACGUUGCAAGGGAAGUGGUUUAAACUCUUAUACAAUUGUGGUUGUACUAUCUUUUCUCUACAUGUGAAAUUGUACAUAAUAAUUGUUUACAUAACUCCCUAAAAUAUUUGAAAAGCCCAUGGCAACGCACGGGCAUUCUACUAGUCGGGAUAGGGUGUGUGUGUGUUCAUAGGGAUGAGUGUAUGCGCGUAUGUAUAAGCGCUUGCGUCUGUACUGAUGUUAAAAAAACAAUGUCCAGAGAAACUGUUACAAGAUCAUGUGGCGCAGCAAGCCGAACAUGACGUCCAAAAUUUAAAUCGAGAGAGUAUUUCGCUAGACUUCAGCUUCAUGAUCUCUAUCUUGACUGUCAUAGAUGAAGUUGCAUUCCUCGAAAUUACACGAGCAUUGAUUGGGUAUUGUUCCAUGAUGCGCCCUGCUUUAUCCGAGAUAUCCUUUACAACUUUGACACAAUCCAAAGCUAUUAGAAUCCGCAUGACUAGUAGAUCAUCGGCAAUGUCUUGGUUCUUGGGCUGCCCGACAUGCUAGGUCUUCUAAAGUCGGUAUAUCAAUUAUGUCACUAAAUGCAACUGAAGAUGAGUCAAUAUAGAGGUUGCUUUGGUCUCAUCAAAUAGCCUCAAUAGCUUCCAUUUAAAUACAUUAUAACUGAGCACUUUUCCUGCUCUCUCAUGCCAUUAAUAUUUUUAACCGUUGGAUGUGCUGUUUUGACGAUUCCUGGCCACUGGAUGUCGUUCUAAUCCCGCUGGGUUACGUACGCUGGUCACCGAGCGCUUAACACUGGUGGGCCGCUGCUCCCGGAACUAAUUCCGAUGUUUCCUAUGACUUGGGCCAAAUGGGCUAGGUUCAUGUCUGGAGGGAGAGGCCGCUACUCCGGAGACAAAAAAUCCAAAGUCGCUCGUUCACCACGACCUUGACCUUGCCUAAUAAAAGAAAAAAAAAACUCAACCUUGACCUUACCACGAAAAAAAAAACCUCGACCUUGACCUCUCCUCUCAAUCCACCUCGACCUAUCCUCUCCGGAAACCCUACACACGCCGCCACGCCGCCAUUCCCUCCGGCUCUUCGGACCUCGCCCCAUGCAGCCGUCCCUGAAGUGAAACAACGCCUCCGCCAUCGCCCAGCCACCGUCGUAGUCCUCCUUUUCCUGUCUUUCCCCAAAAGGCCAAGACGAGUGCAUCAGGGAGGGGUCACCGCCCCGGCGAUGCCUACUCUGGCCAAUAUCACCUCCGCUCACCCAAUCAUGUGUGAAGCACAAGCUUCCGAUGCCUCUGCUACCUUCCCUAUUCCCGCGCGCCUCCUACUACACCCGCCAUCCCAACGACCUCUCGAAUACGCAGGUAUUCCACCUCCACUCACCGAUCUAUCUGCGUCCGGAUUUAACAUAUUACCUGCUCGUAUGUUUGUGUGAUGUUUGCCAUGUCAUUUUGUUGUGCAGGUAGCAAGGUGAAACUCGACCGCGAAGUACAUGGAAUUUUUGUUUCGGAUAUAUGUUCACAAUACUACUCCAUCACUUCUCAUGUUUGGAGAUGCCAGUUUUAUAUAACUGUUCGUUCAUGCAGAGGUAGAAUUGUUUUGAACAUGAAAAUAAGAUCAAAAUCGUAUAUAGUUGAAUGGAUAAAUGACACUAUAAAACUCUUCAAAUUUUCUGCAAUGACGACCCUUUGUUCAGCGAAAUAAGUUAACAUGUAAUACUGCUUUUGGUUUCUUAACAAUGACUUUAAAUAGUUUUAGAUUGGUGAGUAAGUUGUUGUUGAUUUCUGUUAUUUAUUUCUACAGAUUUUUGUAAUAGUCGACACUCAAUUCUUUCUUUGUGCACACAUCAUGUGCCUGAAGUUGUGCAAGCAACUAGAACGAUAACCAACUAUCUAGAUUAAUGGAGCAUUUCACACCACAGUUUUGCAAUGUUUCUGCUUUACAAAGAGCAAUAAACAAAGACGCAGAAGGGUAAACCUGGCAUGGCCACUGACCACUAAUUUCCUGCCCAGGUGAUUUUUAAUAUGUUUGUUAACUCAGUGCUAAAUUUAUGAAUGUAGACUCGAAACUACUUUAUCCUGCUCAUGCAUGCAUUGACCAAUUUCCGGAAGAGGAGAUUAAUAAGAUGACAUUGUGUAAAAAAAAACAUGAUAGCUCUUUGAAUCGAUAUAAGUAACCAACAUUUUUAAGAAUAACAAUUAAGUUGAAGCAAAAUAACUAGGAAUAUUUCAGAUUAUUUUUUUAUCAAAAUGGGAGAGAUAUUUGAAUCAACAAUUGUAGUACAACUCUUAGAUAGAGGAAAAUGAUGAGGUAAAGUUUUGGUUCCUGCUUUGAUAUAUUACUCAAUGCCCGUAUUAUUUAUUUCUCUAUGAAAUUUGACAUAUUAAGGACACUGAUUUUACACCUUCGCUUGUUUGUUCCAAACCGUCAGACUUGGGAACCAUGUUAUUACUUGUUAGUGAUUAUACUGUGGAACUGUAUCCAAUGACUAUUUUUUCUCCGUGUGUAAAUAUGUCUUUGAAACAUCUUUUCUUUUCACAAUGCAGACUUGGAAAAAUAUGUGUUCCUUUUAAUUUACAUAUGUUCUGCUAGAUUCCUUAAUUAUCACUACUCAUCUUAGAAAAUACAAGAAAUAUCUGUAAUUCUACAUUUGGAUUACCUGGAGCUAAAACACGUAUGUGACAUGCAGGUAUUGUGAGAACAUUUCCGUUUUUUGUGCAAAGGAGAUGUGUGGGCUGAAGUAAGUAGUACCAUCUAUUUCCUUCAAUUUGUAGAGUCUGAUGCGUUGCAGGAAUUGUAAAAAAGAAUGGUUGCCAUUUCUUCAUUUUUUACUAUAAUACGGCAACAACAGAAUUACAUAAAGCCUCGCCUCAGGAUUUUGAUAUUUGUUUUUAGGGAGAACAAUUAGCUUUGGUCUGACAACGAAUAGAUAUGUAAAUUCAAUGUGAUUCGCCUUAGAAUGAACAUUCCCUUGCGAUUCUUAAGAUCUUUGGAUGAAUGGGUCUUGAUAGUGGUCUUUAGGUGUUCACAUUAUAUAUGCUUUUGUUCUUCGGCACCUAACAAGUAUGAACAUAGGCAUGCAUCUUCCAACUAUUACUUUGUCAUACGCUUAUUAUGAUGUGUACAAAUUACAUCAUUGUUUAGGACCCAAUAAGUAUGAACAUAGGGCAUGCCUCAAUAGGUUUAUGUCAAGUCUUCAGUUUAGUCUGCACAUCUGUUCAGUUUUUUGUUCAUCAGAUUGAUGAUGUAGAUUUAAGUGCUUGUGAUCGCUAUGCAUCUACUUAAAAAAUUAAAAGUACCAUUAACUCUGCAAGUUGUUGUCAUCAUAUCAUUAUUUUCUGCAGUUUCUUUCAGCCUUUCACGUAAUUAAGUUUGUAAUGUACACUGCGAGUUGAGGCUUUUAUUUUCCUUCCUCAAUCCCUUUUGCACUUUCAUGGCUUAUUAAAUGCUGAUUUUAUAGAGUAAUGAUCAAACUUAUGAGAUGCUAGAAAAAUCUUUAUAGCUGGUAGGGGUCGGAUACUAUUGGAUGUAUUAACAGCAGAAGCUUUGGUUCUAAGAUUCGGCCUAUCCCUUGCACAGAAGGCGGGAUCGAUGCAAUCGUCUUGUCGUUAACUCUGACAAUAUGGAGGUGAUUGACACAAUGAAAAAUGAAGGACAUUCGGCGGCAGCGGCGACAACAGUGUUCGAUGAUUGCUAUUUCUUAGCUGGUGAUUUUCCUCUUUUAGGUUCGAACAUUGUAAUUGGGAAGCUAAUAAGGUGGCUCAUGAACUUGCUAGGCUAGCGAAAUUUUCCAUCACUAGGGAUUGGUUUGAGGAAUGUAUGAGUGUUAUUAUACCUUUCCUAAUCGAGAUGUAACAAUUACUUCUAAUUAAUAAAAUUGAUGUUUAUCAAAAAAAGAUAACCUUACCAAUAUAGAAGAUGUUGCGUAAAAAAGAUCAAUAUUUUGUUUGUGUGUACGAGAAUUGGAUCAGAGUUUCAAUUGGUGUUUCACUUACUGAUAGGAGUUCAGUUCUUUCUUGCCUUUGUAUAUUAACCACAAUUCUUAUUAUUCCAUUGGAAAAAUGGACGGGCGCAGCAACGCGCGCAGUCAUGGUCUAGUCGUUUCUUAAAACUGUACCAUCAACAUUGAACUUUUUUUUUUUAACAUUAAUACAGACGCAAACGCUCAUACAUACACGCAUACACUCAUUACACUCAUUCUUAUAAACGCACACAUACACACCAAAAAAAAACAUUGAACUUCCAAAACCAACCGCUGAGGCAAACACUGGGUUCUGGACAUGUUAACCUGCGAGAGCUAUGUGUGAGAGACAUAUAACUCCGACUCGCAGUAGGCGAGCGCAAGAUGGUCCGGCCCAAUAGCGGUUUCUGGGAGCAGGUUUCAGUGUUUUUUUUCUUUUCCAUUUGGUUUUUUUGUCUUCUUUUUUAUUUUCGGUUUUCUAUGGUAUUUUCAUUUUUCGGUUUUAUUUUGUUUUCGUUGUUCUUUUCUCGGUUUUCUGGUUUCUGUUUUCUCUUUUUGAUUCAUCGUUUUUUUAUUUUUCUUUUUUCUUUUUAUUUUUCCUUUUCCUACACGUAUCUACUUUUUCACGCACAAUAUAGAUUUUCUGUCUACAUUAGGGAUAUUUUUAUUCAUGUUUAGCAUUUUUGAAAUAAGUUAUUAACACUUCUCCAAUAUAUAUGUUUUAAUGACUACUUUUUUCAUACACACUAUAUAUUGUUUGCAUACAUCAGUAACAUUUUUAUACACUUUUAACAUUUUUUAAAUAAAUUAUUAACACUUCCCAAUAUAUAUGUUUAGUUGACUACUUUUUCAUACAUGUUGUACAUUUUCUGCAUACACCAGGAACAUUUUUUGUACACCUUUAAAUUUUCAAAUAAAUAAUUACAUUUGAAUAUAUGUUUUGAUCUCUAUUUUUUUCCCUGUACGCCUUAGAUUUUCGUAUACAUCAGUAGCAUACUUAACAAUACAUGAUUACAUUUUCUCAAUAUAUGUUUUAUAUGUCUUUGCGUUCAGAAAACUGCACAAUCUUGCAGCAAAAGUUGUGUUUAAUAUUUUUCAUAUACAGAGGCGAGCCGAGGCUUUUCGGACGAUCAAAACUUAAGAUUGUCCUUUUCUGACGAGAGGGCCCCUGGUACCUGAUCUUGCAGCAAAAGUUGUGUGCACGUUAGGGACCACAAGACUGAACUCAACUUUGAUAUUGCGGGGCGGGACACUCCUAUUUUUUUUAAAUGUUUAGGAUUUCUAAAAUAGUUCUCUAUUUCACAGGUUUGGAAAAAUAUUCCCAAAUUAAAAAUUCUUGAAUUUCAAAAGUAAUUCAGAAAUUACAGAAAAUGUUCAUAUAUUUUAAAAAUGUUUACAAUCUCAAAAGGUGUUCAUGGAUUUAUGAAAUGGUCAUGAUUUGAACAAAUGUUCAAAUUAAAAUGUUAGCAGAUUUGUAAAAUGUUUGCAAUUUCAAAAAAUUCACAAUUUAAAAAAAACAUGAAUUCAAAAAUGUUCCUGAUUAAAAAAAAUGUUCAUGAAUUUGCAAAAAUGUGUUCACGAUUUUAAAAAAAUGUUCACAAAUUCAGAAAAUAUUCACGAUUUCAACAAUGUUCACGUAUUGAAAAAAUGUUCAGGAAUUUGAAAGAUGGUCGCAAAAUGAAAAAAGAGAAAAGGGAAAGAGAAAACCCAAAAUAAAAAGAACAUGCAAAAAA
RNAcentral lists this long non-coding RNA (159695 nucleotides) under Triticum aestivum (bread wheat). RNAcentral describes it as "long non-coding RNA (TAES_LNC007260)". The stretch from base 61919 to 62004 matches the Rfam family "MIR1120/MIR1122 microRNA precursor family". Lineage: Eukaryota; Viridiplantae; Streptophyta; Magnoliopsida; Poales; Poaceae. The record is from RNAcentral.